This 124481-nucleotide long non-coding RNA is filed under the name Capsicum annuum. RNAcentral describes it as "long non-coding RNA (CANN_LNC010613)". The record is from RNAcentral. Lineage: Eukaryota; Viridiplantae; Streptophyta; Magnoliopsida; Solanales; Solanaceae.
UUUGAGUCCUCUUUUAUUAGUAUUGAUUCAUCAGUAUCCAAAUCAUAGAAAGAACAAGCAGUCACGGCCAACACUCGCAACUUUACAAGAUCCCAAAUACUCGGUAAUAGUACCAAGGUUGAUCCUUUGUUUUCAACCAUCAGGGUUUCUAGAUUCCAGAGAUUUGAGAAAGAUGAAGGCAGAGAUUUAACUUUUGUCCCAAUUCUUAAGCACCUCAAAUGAUUCAACAUGCCAAUUUCAUUCAGCAAAGAAUCUUUCACCAUCAUAAAAGAGGGAUGCAGGUCCAACACUCUAAGAAGCCUCAAGUCUCUUGCGUGACAUGCAUCAGAAAGACGAUCUUCCAUCUCGUGUCCAACUAUCAACAAAGAACAGAGGUGCUUACCAGAAUGCCUUUUCUUUUUUGAAUCGAGCAGGACGAAAUUGUUAGGCCCAAAGUGCUCCUUAUCGUAAUCAAUAUUUACUAUGCGUGGCAUCAAAUCUGAAGAAGAAAAAGAUGGAUCACUUGAACUAAUCUCACCAAACAACUUUUCUCCUCUUGCUUUUAUCAAACAAAAGUCGUGCACAAGAUCAUGAAUUUUGCAAGUCGGGACAUCACCUAUCUCAUUGAAAGCAAUUACCAAGCUACUAGAAAUUAAAUUAUCCAAAUAAAUUUCCAUCAGUUCAUCCACACUCUUCAUCCCUGUUUGUUCAACAAGCCCUUCAGCACGCCAAAGCAAUUUCAAGAUAUCUCUGUCAAUUGCUGUAUCCUUCACAGAACGUGCUAGGUAGAGGAAGCAUGGCUUCAGGUGAUGAGGUAAAUGGUCAUAACUUAAUUCUAUAACCUUCAUCACAUCAACUUCACUUCUUAAAAUAAAGGAGCUCAAAUUAUUUUGAACUUCAAGCCACGCAGACUUUGUCUUUUCCCUCGCUGCAAUGACUCCAGCAAUCAGAUCAGCAACCAAAGGAAGUCCCUUACAAUUUUCAGCUAUUUCUUUUCCAACUUCCAGUAGUUCAUCAGGGCAACUCUGAUCUCCAAAUGCUCUUUUCUCUAUUAACUCCCAACUUUCUUCUGGACUUAGCAAUCGAAGGUUAAGAGGAUCAGUGUUGCCCUUUCCAUGAAAAGCCACUUCCUUUUGUCGAGUCGUCAAAAUAAUUCUGCUUCCUUUCUCAACUUCAGGUAAAGGUCUUGUUAGAUCAUCCCAUGUAGUAGUAUCCCACACAUCAUCUAACACAAUUAAGUACCUCUUUCCAUACAAUUGUUUCCGCAGCUUAUCGGCAACAUCAAUUUCCUCGCUGAACUUCAAAUCCGAGCUAGUAACUUGAUUAAAAAUUUUCACCAGCAACUUCGUCUCGUCAUAUUCUUGGCCGACUGUGCACCAUGCACGAAGGUCGAAAUGACUACAAACUGAUUCAUCACUGUAUACUUUGUACGCCAAAGUAGUUUUACCCGAACCCGGCAUACCAAUGAUUGAAAUGACUUCUAGAUCUUUCGGUCCACUGGUGAGCUUAGUAAUUAACCAGUUUGUCUCCUCCUCAAAACCUACAAUUAUUUUACCAGUUGUCAAUGACUUGCUUUCAACUGGAUUCUUGGGAGAGUUUACAACAAUGAGGCUCUUGUUCUUGGGAAUCUUCUCCGGUAAAUUGGAGACUUCUUCUUUGAUAAGCCUGAUCUUUUUUAUGGUGAUGGGAAGUGAGAAAAUAAGAUGUAAGAGACCCUUAUCUCUUACGAUAAUAGAAUCAAUGACAUCUUUAACCUCAUAUGCCACAUCUAAAACACGUGACCAGAGAUCUUUAUACAAUCCUUGCUCAACAUUCAAGAAGAACGAUCUUAUGAAUUCGAGGGCUUCUUUCACCAGUGCAAUUUCUUCCUUUAUCAAAGCAGUUGAAUAAGAAUUGGAAUUUAGCAGAUCAUUCAAGUGGAUGAGUAGAAGAUGCAUGAAGAGAGGUUGUCAUGAUGCAUAAAGUCCUCGGGCAUAUCAGUAAGAAUAAUCAAUUGGAAUUCUAUCAUGACAUUAAUGUUUCGAGCCCCUGAAGUGCUUGCGGUAAUAACAGUUACCAUGUGCUCUUGUAGAUGAAUCAGAUACUCUCUCAGAAUUUCCGGAGAGGUUUCAAGGAGUUGCUUAAUAAAGCGUCCAACUUCUGCUGAUGGUGAAGCUUUCAAAUUUGUAUAACAUAUUUGGAUUACCUCCAGUUCAAUUGGAAUAAUCUUCAUGAGUAGAUGAGGUAUCUUGAAGACUUUAGAGUCUUCAUUAGUUAGAUCAUCCCAGAGGAAGAUUCCAACUUUUUCAGCCAUAUGUUGAAGCUGAGAUAAGACAUAUUCGACAAUCUCGCGCUCAACGUAACCAUUCAAACUCAACCCAUGGAAAUCUCUUAUGUUGGCACACACUUUCUGAAGAAUAUCAUACUGAGUCACCAAUGGAAAAAUCUGUUCAGCAAGAUACAUGGAUAGAUAAUGGAGAUUCUGGAGGAGGAAGUUCAACUGCUCGUCAGUCAUGGUGGCACUUGAUGUAGAAUGAUGACACGAGCUGAUACAAUCAUCGAUAUUAUCCAUGAGUCUUGGAAGGACAUGAUCCAUGUUGUAUUUACACCCGACGUUGUUGUCAACAUCACCCAAAAUUGGUUGAAUUAGAUUCUCAACCUCUUGUCUUGACACACUCAUGUUAUCUUCAAACUGCUCCAAGUCACAAUGAGAUAGCUGGACAUAAGUACAAAUACCUGUCAGCUCAAGUCUCAGGUUUUCAAUUUGAUCUGCUAUGUCGACAGCAUUUUGACCUUCUUCAUACUUUAACCUCUCCAUGAAAUCCAGAACGUUGACCACAUCCUUGCGAAGAGCAGAAAAUGACACCUGAAAAAUGACCAAAUAUUAUAUCUAAUUUUCAUAGCGAACAUAUAUACCAUGCAAUAUUUACACUAUAUAGGCAACCAACACAUGCACAAGUAUUUUGUAUGAAUUUGAUGUUAUCUAUUUGACCUAAUACUUCAUCCAAAAUUAUCGGAUACUUGUUAUAUGCUUUAUCUUCUACAAAAAAAAAUUCAAAUAACACAAAUCAAAAUAAUGGGAAAAGGUCCAAAUAUACUACAAACCAUUGACCAAAUAUGCCCUCCCCUUAAAAAAAAAAGGUUAUUUAUACCUGUGGCGUAACACAAGUGACUCCAAUUUGUCCUUUUUGACUAAUGGAAGUGAAAUAGUCGAUGUUAAAAUUAUUUUUCUAAUUUUUUUUUUUUUUUUUUGUUAAAACAAAAGCGACAUGGAUUUAAUUAAAUGAAAACUGGCCAGAAUUAACCCCAUCUACUUUCAAAACUUGUAUACAUUUAAGAGAUAAGCAUCCAGUACCUCCCAGAACUAUGAGCAAAGUUAUUACAACACACUUCAACUUCACAGAGAUCCUAUUAGCCCUCGUAUUUUGUCACUCUUUUGUGCUGACGUAACACCUUUAUUACAUAAAAAAGGGUCCACGUCAAAGUUGCCACGUCAGCUAAAAAGAUUGACAAAAGGUGUCACGUCAGCUUAAAAGGUUGACAAAAAUAUGCUAAAAUAUAGUUAGGGGGUAAAGUUAGAGUGUGUCAUAGUAAAUUUGGUCAUAGUUUAGGGGUACUAGAUGUUUUACUCUACAUUUAAUCUCCAUUUUACAAUCUGACCUUUCAGUAAAUUGUAUUUUCAGGAUAAUUAGCACAUAGUUCAAUGACUUAAGUGUGAUAAAAGUUUAAUUUUGUGACUAUACUGAUAAAACAAGUAAAGUUCAGUGAUUUUAGUUAGUUAAAAUUAGUUUAUAUAAGUAACUAAUUAACAGAUACAUACAUAAGUAAAGUUCAGUGAUCAUUACAUACCUCAAAAUUGUUUGCUUUCCCUUUCUCUAUUUCUCCUUGUUUUUUCAUGACUGUAAGUGUCUUUCAAGUUUCACUAGCCAAAUUUUACGAUCUGAUGUAUAAAAAGUAGAUAAAAAUUUCAUCAGGUGAAAAGCAAAAAGAAGCAUAAAAUUAAUUUCUUUAUCAUUUUUAUUUCUACAGAUCUUAAUACCAGAAUUAAACAAAGUAAGUUUAUGAGAGACUAACCUUAUCAAUUGAUGAAAAUUCAGAUAUAGUUGCUUUGUUACUCUAUGUUUUUGUGUACUCUCGAGAAAACUAUUAGCUUGAAUAAUGAAAAGCCGAAAAUUAGAAGAUAGAGAGAGAACAAAUGAUUGAUGUUAGGUAGAAAAUGAUGCAUGGUAUUUCCAAAACAGUUUAUAAAGCAAAAGCAAAUAGGGCCUCCAACUUAAUCAUACUCUCAAGAGGGAAUAAUAAUCUGCAAUAGGGAGUUUUGGCCAUGAAAUAGCUACUGCGUCCGUUUAAAACAGAAUGAUCUACUUUCCUUUUUAGUUCAUUCUUUUUUUUUUUUUUAAUACUUUAAUUUCAACUUUUCACCUGGUAUGUUUAGGACCACAAGAUUAGAGGACAUUUUAGUACAUUUGACACAAUUUUAAUUUAAGGCCACAAGAUUCAAAAGUAUUUUUUAUUUUCUUAAACUUUGUGCCAAGUUAAAGUAGGUCAGUUUUUUAAACAGAGGGAGUAUUUCUUUUUAAGAUAAGCAUUCAGUAUUCUUCCGAAUUAUGAUCAAAGUUUCUACAACAUACUUCAACUUCACCGGGAUCCUAUUAUCCCUGAACUCAAUUUUAACGUAUUUUUGUCACCCUUUUGGGAUGACGUGGACCUUUAUUACAUAAAAUGAAGCCCACGUCAAAGGUGUCAUGUCAGCUAAAAAAAUUAACAAAAGAUGUAACGUCAGAUAAAAAGGAUGACAAAAUAUGCUAAAAUUUAGUUCAAAGAUAAUAAGGCCCGCGUAAAGUUAGAGUGUGUCGUAGCAAAUUUGAUCAUUCAGAGAAUAUUAGAUGCUUUACUCUAUUUUUUGGUGUUCCGUAUGGCCAUAAAAUUUAGGAAUUUCAAUAAUCUGAAAAAUACCAAAUAACUGUUUUCACUCCAAAUUACUCACAAAAGUUUAAAAAUAACCCCAAUUUAUAUUCGUUUUCUCGUUGUGACCUUUUAUUUUUUACUAAUCGUCUCCUUCCACAGUUCUUUUUAUUAUCCAUAGAGUAGUAUGUUUUUGUAGUGAAGAAAAUAAUUUUAGCACUGAAAAAAGGUGUAGAAAAAACCAUGCAUAGUGUUUUCAAAAAGUCUAGAAAUUAAAAGGAUGAAACAAUGGGUCCUGAAAGCUUGUCUACCACAAGUCUAAAAGUAAAAAGAAAAGUAAGUUAAUCAAAGAGAUAAGCAUCCGGUACCUCUUCGAACUUUGGUCAAAGUUGCUACGACACACUUCAACUUCGUAGGGUUCUAUUCCCUCCAAACUCAAUUUUAGCUUAUUUUUAUCACCCUUUUGUACUGACGUGGAAUCUUUAUUACAUAAAAUGGGACCCAAAUCAAAGAUUCUACAUCAGCUAUAAAGGCUGACAAAAGAUGCCGCGUCAACUAACAAGGUUGACAAUAAUAUACUAAAAUUUAGUUUCAGGGAGUAAUAGGAACCCCGUGAAGUUGGAGCGUGUUGUAACAAAUAUGACCAUAGUUCAGGUAGUACUGAAUGUUAUACUCUUAAUCAAACUCUCAAUAGUUGGUUCACUUAAUAUUUUUUCGUUCGUUUCAUUUUGUUUGAUACUAUUUUCUUAUUACAUUGUCAAAAUAAUAUUAACAUUCUUAUAAUUUCUUAAUUAAAAACUUUUAUAUUCACACAAAUAUUAUGAUAUGUUUAUUAUUAGUACCAAAAUAAUCAGACAUCAUGCUGAAACUAACCAAGCAAACCUCGAAAGAAGCUAAAGUCUAAAAAGGAAAAAAGAACACAAGGCAAUCAAACUUCUGAAUUUGUUAUAAUCUUACCUUUUGACCACUUAAUGUUUAGCUAACAUUCCUAUCUACCACUUAAUGUUUAUUUUAGUUUUGCUUUUUAGAUUUCUUUGGUGUUUUUACGCUUGGUCUUCGUUUUAUUUUUGCAGGAAAUAUAUUUUCAAAGUAGGAAGUUGACAAAGGCUUGGGAACAACUUUUCCAUUAAUGUAGGAGAGAAGCAAUCCUUCUCCCCUGAAUUCCUCAAAUCCGAGAAGACCAAGAGAAUUCUGCUCCUAUGGCUGAACAACAAGCAGCUCGAAGGACAGUUAGGGAAGUGGCAAUUCCACUUCCGACGAACUUGACUUCCCCAAUUCAAAGACGGGCUGCUGGGGAAAUUUCGAGUAAAAGCACAACAAGGUACAACUUCUAAUCAGCAAUGGACAGUUUGCAGGGAUUUUACACGAGGAUCACAAGUCCACUUACAAAAUUUCAUUGAGCUUACUGAUACAUUCAUUUCGACUGAUGUGAAUACAGAUUAUGUGAGGUUGACACUUUUUCCCCAUUUCACUGUUGGGGGAAGCUAAAAGGUGGUUGAAUGCUGAGCCGGCCAAUUCAAUCACAUCAUGGGAUGGCUAAGCCAUAAAGUUCCUCAUCAGAUUCUUUCUAUCUGGCAAGACUGCGUGGACUACGUGGUAUAUAUGUGGCACAACACAUUGAAGGGUUCACAUAGGCACACGCGUGUGCCACGUAGGCACUAAGGUUGUCAAAAAUACGAUUUUAAUUAGUCUAGGAGUAAUAGGACCCUCCUAAAGUUCAGAUGUGUCUCAACCUUUUCGCGUAUAGUUCAAGGAGGAAAUAGAGCAUUUUCCUUUUUUUCUAAUUAGCUUUGAUAUCGUGAUGAAACAAAUUGUAUCAUAUACUCAUUGCCACAUAAUAUUUACAACAGUUUGGUGGCACAUGGGAAGAUCUACACAAGACACGUUUAGAACAACAAGUUUCGAAUUUAUGUUUAGUAAACUAGUUGUUCUCCUUUUCAACAUUAAUCAAAAAGUUAUAGAAAAAAAAUGAUGCAUAGUAUUUAGAAAAGUCUAGAAAGCAAAAGCAUUAAAUCAAUUUUAAUGAAAUCUCAUUUGUCUGCCACAAAGUCUAAAAGAAAAAAAAAGGAAAGAACACAGUGACAUAUAUAAUUAGGUUUAAUUUAAUUUAGAGAUAAGCAUCCAAUACCCCGAGCUAUGGCCAAAAUUUCUACGGCACACUCCAACUUCACAGUAGUCCUAUUACCCCUAAAUUCAAUUUUAGCGUAUUUUUAUCGCCCUUUUGUGCUGACGUGACACCUUUAUUACAUAAAAUGAGGCUCACGUCAAAGGUGCCGCGUCAACUAAAAAUGUUGACCAAAGGUGCAUGUCAUCUUAAAAGGUUGACAAAAAUAGGCUAAAAUUUAGUUCAGGAGGGUAAUAGGACCCUCGUGAAGUUAUUAUGUGUCGUAGUAAAUUUUGUCAUAGUUCGGGGGAUUACUAGGUGAUUUACUCUUUAAUUUAAUUAGAUAGCUAAUCAAAAUUAUAGGAUAUUACUUUUGCCGUUUCACUUUGUUUGACACUAUUUUCUUAUCAUCUCAUCCAAAUAAUAUUAAUAUUCUUACAAUUGGGUGCUCUCGGUGGGCAGGGCGGAUCUAGGUUAUUUGGUGUAGGUUAUCAUAAACCCACUAACUUUUAUGUCGACCAUAUAUUCAUAUUGAGAAAUCUGUUACAUAUAUAAGAAAUUUUUAUAUCUGUUACAUAUAUAAGAAAUUUUUAUUGGUGGGUGGGGGAGGAGUGGAAUGUCAUUAUUACUUAUUUUUCGUAUUUCCAUCGAAAUAGUCAUUUUGCACGUAUAACUCUUCUCUAACUAUCAACCAAACAAUCCCUAAUUGUAAUAUCAUGAGUUAGAAUUUGUUGUCGCCCAUUCAUGUAUUGCUAUUGUACUAUUGACAAUCUGCAACAAAAACGGAUUUUUUUUGCGAUAACAAUGGUGUCCAUGCCAGCUUGCGCACAGAUCGAUAAACUUAGGUAUAUAUUGAAAUAACGUGGCCAAAAGAUUAAUGACGACUAAAUUUUUUGCAUAAUUUGCUGGUCAGCCAUGUAGAGAAUGCGAUCCCUUUGGAUGUCCAACUGUUCAGUAAGUUUCGAAGCAUGUAAGCUGCUAGCUUAGAAGUUGCCAGGGCUUAAUGCUGAAGUUAUAGAUGAGAGCGGUCAUCCGGAUACGAGACCAAAACGUUGCCCCGUUGAGAAACUUCACAUACAUAGGAAAGUGUCAGGAAGGAGGUUCUGUGAAAACCUAGCUUGAGCAGCUAGGACUCCAUUAGUGGAUCUUCGAAGAAGGAAGAGAGAACAAUCAUAGAAUUUUAUAACUGUUUUCAAGUGGUUACAAUGAUGUGCAUAUUAAGCCGUUUAUAGACUGAGUUAUAACGGAAGCUAACUUUGUUCUCGAACAUUCCUGUGUGCCAGAUCGGUGUGACAGCUCCCCUAACAACUAACAACCAACUAUCUAAUCAAUCAACUAACUCAAUCAUAAGCUAAUACAGUGAAACACUGAAACAAUAGUUAAUACUAAAAACACGGUGAAGAUGACCAUCAACAACACGCCCCCUCAAGCUGCAGGGUAAAGGCUGUUAAGCACCCAAGCUUGCCUAAGAGAUGCAAAUAUUGAGAUUGACUCAGGCCUUUAGUCAGUGGAUCAAGAACCUGGUGUUGAGUGUGUACUUAUAAAAUGACAAUCUAUCUCUAUAUGUUUAGCUCUUUCAUGAAAAACAGGAUUGGCUGCCAGCUGAAUGGCCGAUUUACUAUCACUCAUGAGAGUGACAGGUAGUGGGAUUGGUACUUCUAACUCAGAAAAUAGGGCAAGGAGCCAAGUAACUUCAGCUGCAACAGAAGCCAUACCUCUAUGACCGUGUGUUGUUUCUUGGACUUCCAGGAAACAAGAGAUUCUCCAAACUUGAUCGCAUAGACUGUGAUAGACCUCUGGGUGUAAGGACAAGCAGCCCAGUCAGAAUCACACUAACAAGUUAAGAUGGAUGUAGGUUUAGCUUGUAACCAAAUGCCUUGACCAACAGUUCCCUUCAUGUACCUGACCACCCUGGUAGCUGAUUCCCAAUGAGAUUUCUUAGGAGCUUGUGUAAAUUGACUGAGAGUUUGCACUUCAUAAGAGAUGUCUAGUCUAGUAAGGGUAGCAUAUAGCAAUUUGCCAACAAGUUUCUGACAAGGAGUGACAUCAUGCAAGGACUGAUCACUAAUAACACCAUUCACUUUGUCACAUUCCACUGAAGUCAACCUCAAGUUGGACUCCAAGGGAGUAGGAGCAGGCUUAGCACCAACAAGGCUUGUGUCUUAAAUUAAAUCUAAAAUGUACUUCCUCUGAUUCAAGAUAACACCUGAGCUUGUUCUCAUCAUCUCAAUUUCCAGGAAAUAUUUGAGCUGGCCAAGAUUUUUCAGCUUGAACUUCUGAUGUAAAUUUUUCUUAGCUUCCUCAAUUAUCUGAUUAUUGCUCCCUGUGAUGAGUAAAUCAUCAACAUACAACUGCUUCUAACAAGGAAUAUGUUAGCUUAAUGUUCCAUUGCCUGGAAGCUUGUUUACGACCAUACAAGGAUUUAAGUAAUUUGAAAACUUUAGUGUUCUCUGGUUGCUUAAAACCAUCAGGUAACUCUAUAUACACCUCUUCGUCUAAAUCACCUUGAACGAAGGCAUUGUAAACAUCCAUUUGGAACAUGUUCCAGCCUUUAGAUACAGCUAAAGCAAUGACACAUCUAACUGUAACCAUCUUGGCAACAUGUGAAAAUGUGCCAUGAUAGUCCAAGCCUUCUACCUUACUAUAGACCUUUGCAACCAACCUUGCUUUAUAUCUCUUCACCUCACCAUUUGCCUGUUAUUUGACCUUAUACACCCAAUUUGAGCCUACUGUAUGUUUUCCAGGCGGCAAAUUAACCACCUCCCAAGUUUGAUUUUCCUCAAGAUCCUUGAUCUUUUGCUUCGUAGCAUCAACCCACCUAUAAUCUCUUGCUGCCUCUUUGAAGGUCUUAGGCUCCAGAACAUAAGUAAAUUUGGCCACAUAACACUGAUAAUGAGGGGUUCACAUGGUUAUAUGAAAGGUAAUUUGACAUAGGAUAGUUGGUACUAGUCCAAGACCUUCUGAUAGUAGCAAAAUCUUUCAUCUAGGCUGGUUGUUUAGUCACUCUACUAGUUCUUCUGAGUGGAAAACUCUCUACAGCAGGUGAUGAAUCAUUAGAAGGUGCUUCAUCUGAACAUACUGUCACAAGACGGGGAAGAGGAACAGGAAAACAAGAAGCUGAAACAGCUAAAUGGAGCUGUAAAUUGAUGCCAGAAAACAAACUGCUGAGAAGAAGAGCUGAAACUUGUUUUAGUACUCUUAUUUUUCUCCUUUAUUGAACAUUACAUAGACUACACAUAUAUAUAGUGCGUGUAUAAGGAAUACAAACUGCAAAACAAACAAAAUAUCUACUAACUAGGAGUAGGGGUGGCAAACGGGCGAGUCGGGUCGGAUAUGGGCGGGUCGAAAAUGGAUCAUGUGAAAAUGGAUAAAAUUCCGAUCCAACCCAUAUUUGAUAUGGAUAGAAUGGAUAAGCCCAAUGGAUAAUAUGGAUAUUCAUAUUAUCCAUUACUUCUUAUUAUGUAAAGACAAAAAUACUCUUAUAUUACAAGAAAAACUACAUGGCUUAGCAAAGAUUUCUAAUUAUUUAAUUUAGACUAAGUUUUGAUUAAUUACAAUCCAUAGCCUCUCUUGCUAAUUAAAUGCAACUCAUAAUCUCUCUCCUUUAUUUCUCCCUUGAUUUUCUCUCUUUCUCUUUCAAUUUUUUGUUAUCCAGCUCUUUUUCUUCUCUUUUUCUUUUUCUUUUUUUUUCUUUUUCUUUUUCAUUUUUUUUCUUUUUUUUUUCUUUUCAUCGUUCAUCAUUUUUUCUUUUUCAUUUUUUCAUCUUUUUUUAUUUUGUUUUAUAAUUUGUUUUUUUGUCAUUUUUUUUUGUAUUUUCUUUUUCUUUUUUUUUUCCUUGUUUCGUUUAUUUUUUUCAUUUUAUUUAUUUUUUUGGCAUUGUUUCCUCUCAUUUGUUGUUGUUGUUGUUGUUGUGUUUUAUAUUUAUUUGUAUCACACUAUAUACUUCAAAUAAAUUUAUUAUUUGUAUUUGAAUAGUUUAGACGUGACUAUGUAUAUUUUAUCAUUUGUAUUUAUACACAAACAAGUAUAUUAAUUAGUUAUAUUUACUUGAUUCUAAAAUAUACAAAUAUGCAUGUAUCAUUUACUAGAAAUGUAUCGUUAGUAUUUGAAUGUCAAAUUUAUCAUUUGUAUAGAAAAAAAAAUCAAACUAGAAAAAGAGGGGAGGGGGGAGGUGUGGGGGAGGGGGCAAGAAAAAGAAAAAAAUACAAAAAGAAAAUGAGAAAGAAAAAAGGAAAAAGGAAAAAGAAGAAGAAAAAAGAGAAAUAAAAGUUAGAAAUAGAAGAGAGAGGAAAAAACUGAAAAGAAAGAAACUUAAAAGAAAAAAAGAAAAUGAAAAUAGAAAAAAAAGUAAAAAGUAAAAGAAAUGAAAAAAGAAGAAAAGGGUGGUUCAAAUAAUUUAAAUGAAAAAGGUCAAUUUUGUAAAAAAAAGUUAAAAAAUUAAGAAAAUAAAAAUUUUCAAAAUGAAAAGUAUUUUCUAUUUCAAAAAAUAAAUUGAAAAUGUUUUUCUUCAUUCCAAACACUCCCUUAAUAAAUAUACUUUAAAGGUUGCUACAUCUUCACAUACGUCAUACUUUAAGGAGAGUGAUAUGUGGAUACCCAUGGGUUAUCCAUAUUUUAGAAUGGAAAAUAUGGGUUGACCCAUAUCUGAUCCAUUAUUAAAUGGGUUGGAUAACCAACUCAUUUAACAUGGAUAAAACGGAUGGAUAACCAUAUAAUUUAUCCAUUUUGUCACCCCUAGCCACUAUGAUUUGGAUUGAGAUAUUAUUGUACAGAACCAAGAAGGGAGUACUUCAGUUGCAUCUCUAAAGUGGUAGACGAGUAAUAUUUCUUCCAGUCCUAUUAUUGAAAAAAGCACAAUUAAGAUGUUGAAUUAACUUCAAAUUCUCCAGUUUUGAAGACCAGGUCACUAGCUGAAGUUUAUGAGCAAUGCAAUUUUGCUCUUGUGAAACCAUCUUCUUUUGAAGAAGCAGCAAGUCAUGAAGCUUGGAUUUCUAAGGAGGAGCAUGCCAUGAUUAAUAAAAAUAAUACUUGGGAGCUGGUUGAUAGGCCCAACCAAAAUAACGUCAUCGGUUUUAAAUAGGUCUACAGAACGAAGUUCAAUCCAGAUGGCCCCAUCUUCAAACAUAAAGCUAGACUUGUAGUUAAAGGCUAUUCCCAGCAGCCUUGAGUGGACUUUGGAAAUACGUUUGCUCCUAUCGUGAGACAUGAAAUAGUAAGAUUUCUAGUUGCUCUUGAAGUAUAUUACAAGUGGAAAAUCUACCAUUUAGAUGUCGAAUAUGCAUUUCUAAAUAGAUUUCUUGAAGAAGAUAUUUAUGUUGAGCAAUCUGAAGGUUUUAUAGUUGCAGGUGAAGAAGACAAGGUGUACUAGCUUAAAAAGGCUCUCCGUGGCCUUAAACAAGUUCUGAGAGCUUGGUAUAAUAGGCUGGAUACUCAUUUGCUAUCUCAAGGCUUCAACAAAAGCCUAAAUGAGCCUACUUUAUACUUCAAAAUGCAAGUUGAUGGGAGGUUGAUUGUGAUAUCCGUUUAUGUUGAUGAUCACAGGUGAAGAUUCUUUUGUGGUUCAAGAAGUUAAAAAUAUAAUGCUAAAAGUUUUUGAAAUAUCUGAUCUAGGACAGAUGAAGUUCUUCUUGGGAAUGGAGAUUUUUCAAUCUUCUGAAGGAAUUUUCUUGUUCCAAAAGAGGUAUGCCUUGAAUCUCUGAAAAAGAUUCAAACUUGAUAAGUGCAAACCUGUUGCAACUCCAUUUGUUGUGAAUGAAAUGUUAAUGAAGGAUGAUAGAGAAGAGCGUGCAGAUUUAAAACUUUAUAGGAGACUUAUUGGAAGCUUGUUGUAUCUGACUGCUACCAGGCCAGAUGUGAUGUUUGCUGCUAGUCUACUAUCCCGAUAUAUGCAAUGUCCCAGCACAAGCAUUUUGGAGCUGCUAAAAGGGUGUUGAGGUAUAUUAGAGGGGCAACUGAUUAUGGCAUUUGGUACAGAAGUGUGGAGAAUAGAGCUCUUAUUGGCUAUUCAGAUAGUGAUUGGGGUUGAUUCUUGGACGAUUACAAAAGCACAUCUGGUUACUCUUUUUCAUUUGGUUCAGGAAUUUUUUUAUUCGAGCACAAAGAAGCAGGAUAUCGUAGCUCAGUCUUCAGCUGAAGCCGAGUAUGUGGCUACUGCAUCUGCUACAAAUCAAGCAAUUUCGUUAAGGAAAAUCAUGUUUGAAUUGGAUCUUUUGCCAGAAGAACCAACAGUGAUCUAUGUGGACAAUAAAUCAACCAUUUCUAUGGCUGAAAAUUCAGUGCAACAUGGAAUGAUGAAGCAUAUCAAUAUCAGAUUUCAUGCUUUGCGAGAUGCCGAGAAGAAUGACCAAGUUAAAAUGGUGCAUUGCAGAAGUGAAGAACAACAAGCCGAUAUUCUAACCAAGGCUCUUCCUACCAACAAGUUUGAGUUCCAAAGGACGUUGUAGGGAGUUUCAAUGAAAAAUCUUAAGGAGGAGUAUUAGGAAAUUAAGAUUUGUCUAGAAACUCUUAGUAGAUAUUUUUGGAUUCGUCUAGAAGCUCCUAAUUCGUAGAUAUUUUUGGAUUUGUCUAGAAACUCUCAGUUCGUAGAUAUUUUUGAAUUUGUCUAGAAACUUCUAGUUAGGGGUGCCAAAAUGGAUAAAUUAUAUGGUUAUCCGUCCGUUUUAUCCAUGUUAAAUGAGUUGGUUAUCCAACCCAUUUAAUAAUGGAUCAAAUAUGGGUCAACCCAUAUUAUCUAUUCUAAAAUAUGGAUAACCCAUGAGUAUCCACCAAUUACACCCUCAUUAAAGUAUGACGCAUGUGAAGAUGUAGCAACCUUUAAAGUAUAUUCAUUGAGGGUGUGUUUGGAAUGAAGAAAAAUAUUUUCAAUUUAUUUUUUGAAAUAGAAAAUAUUUUUCAUUUUUAAAUUUUUUAUUUUCUUAAUUUUUUAACUUUUUUUUUUCUUUUUUUACAAAAUUGACCUUUUUCAUUUAAAUUAUUUGAACCACCCUUUUCUUCUUUUUUCAUUUCUUUUACUUUUUUUUUUCUAUUUUCAUUUUUUUUUCUUUUUAGUUUCUUUCUUUUCAUUUUUUCUCUCUCUCUUCUAUUUCUAACUUUUAUUUCUCUUUCUUCUUCUUCUUCCUUUUCCUUUUUCCUUUUUUUUUUCUUUCUCAUUUUCUUUUUGUAUUUAUUUCUUUUUCUUGCCCCCCCAACCCCCCUCCCUCUUUUUCUAGUUUGAUUUUUUUUCUAUACAAAUGAUAAAUUUGACAUUCAAAUAUUAACAAUACAUUUCUAGUAAAUGAUACAUACAUAUUUGUAUAUUUUCGAAUCAAGUAAAUAUAAUUAAUUAAUAUACUUGUUUGUGUAUAAAUACAAAUGAUAAAAUAUACAUAGUCACGUCUAAACUAUUCAAAUACAAAUAACAAAUUUACUUGAAGUAUAUAGUAUGAUACAAAUAAAUAUAAAACACAACAACAACAACAAAUGAGAGGAAAAAAUGCCAAAAAAAUAAAUAAAAUGAAAAAAAUAAACGAAAAAAGAAAAAAGGAAAAAGAAAAUACAAAAAAAAUGACAAAAAACAAAUUAUAAAACAAAAUAAAAAAAGAUGAAAAAUGAAAAAGAAAAAAUGAGGAACGAUGAAAAGAAAAAAAAAGAAAAAAAAUAAAAAAUGAAAAAGAAAAAAAAAGAGAAGAAAAAGAGCUGGAUAAGAAAAAAUUGAAAGAGAGAGAGAAAAUCAAGGGAGAAAUAAAGGAGACAGAUUAUGAAUUGCAUUUAAUUAGCAAGAGAGGCUAUGAAUUGUAGUUAAUCAAAACUUAGUCUAAAUUAAAUACUUAGAAUCAUAUCUUUGCUAAGCCAUGUAGUUUUUCUUGUAAUAUAAGAGUACUUUUGUCUUUACAUAAUAAGAAGUAAUGGAUUAUAUGGAUAUCCAUAUUAUCCUUUGGGUUUAUCCAUUCUAUCUAUAUCAAAUAUGGGUCGGAUCGGAUAUUUUAUCCAUUUUCACAUGAUCCAGUUUUGACCCACCCAUAUCCCACUCGACUCGCCCGUUUGCCACCCCUAAUAGUGGCUAGACUCGUCCACCGCAAGUUCUUUACUGCUAAGCACCUUCUUCGUACUAACAUUAUACACUUUGUACCCUUUUGCAGUUGUGUUAUAGCCCAAAAAAAUACAAAGUUCUGCCUUGUUGUCCAAUAUGCCUCUUUUAGCAUCUAGAACAUGGGCAUAGCACACCGAACCAAAUACUUUCAAGUGUCUCGCAGAUGGAUUUAUAUCCCCUCCAUGCUUCAAAUGGUGUCAUGUCUUGGAAUGCUGUAGUUGGUAACUUGUUUAGCAAAUAGACUGCGGUAUUGACUGCCUCAGCCCAAAAAUAUUUAGGCAUUUUCUUUUCUGCCAACAUGGAUCUCGCCAUCUCCAUCUCUGUUCUGUUCUUGUUGGAAGAAAGAAGAGUAAAAGAAGCAGAGAAACUAAUGAGAGAGAAAAAACUCGUACUAAUUUUUUCUACUUCUCAAUUCAACUGCAUAAAACAAGACGACCUAGUGCCAUUUUAUUGGCUUACAAUUUAACAAUUAAAGCUAAAAAAUAGGAACUAAAGAUAGUGGUGAAGCAGCGGUAAAACACUGCUAACAACGUGCCCACUAAUUUCCUAAAACAGUAAAUAGAAAAAAUACAGAAAUUGACUUAGUAAAACAUAAUUCCACUAAGACUAAAAAAUAGGACCUCUAAGACUAAAAAACAGAACCAUAAAUAAUAGAUUUUGCAGUGAUUGAUUAUUUGAAGAACUAGUCAACACUCCCCCUUUCUUCAAAAUCACAUACUCCUAUUUGUAGCCUGAAGAAGUCAUGCUUGUUUUGCGGAAGUGAUUUCAUAAGAACAUCAACAACCUGAUAAUUUGUGCCAUAAAAUUUCAAGGAAAUUAUUCCUCCAGCAACUAGAUCGCGAAUGAAGUGAUAGCGGAUGUCGAUGUGCUUCAUCCUAUCAUGAAAUGCAGGAUUUUUUGUCAUAGCAAUUACUGCCUUAUUGUCACACCAUAUUUUAGUUGGACCAAUCUGCUCUUGUUGAAGAUCCACUAACAAUUCCUUAACCAGAUAACUUGGCAACCAGCGGAAGUUGCAGCCAUGUAUUCUGCUUCCGAAGAUGACAAGACGAUUGUAUCUUAUUUCCUUGAACACUAUGAGAUUGCUCCAGAACCAAGACUAAAGACAUUUCCAGAUGUGCUCCUGCAAUUUUCCAAGCUACCUGCCAAUCACUAUCAGUAAAACCAAUUAAUUUGAAAUCUGAAACUUUUGAGUACCAAAUUCCAUAGCUUAUUAUGCCAGCAACAUAUUGCAAGAGCCUUUUGGCUGCACCCAGGUGUUGCUUCGAAGGACUAUGCAUGAACCAUGAAAUCAAACUGAUGGAGAAUGCUAUAUCGGGCCCUGUGUAUGAUAAGUAAUUUAGACCACCAACCAGGCUUCUAAAAUAAGAAGCAUUUGUGGCACUUGUACCAUUAUCAAGUACCAUUUUCUCAUUUAUAUUCAUGGGCGUGGGGGAUGGAUUGCAAUUCAGCAUGCUGAACUUCUGUAAAAGUUCAGUAGCAUAUUUUCUUUGUGAAAUAAAGAUUCCAUCCGAACCUUGUCUCACCUCAAGCCCAAGAAAAUAAUGCAGCAUACUAAGUCGGAUAUUUCAAAUUUACCCAUCAUGCAACUCUUAAAUUCUGAAACAAUAGAUUUACAAGAGCCUAUAUAUAUAAUAUCAUCGACAUAAAGACAAACAACUAGAAAAUAACCAUUACCUCUCUUCUUCACAUAAAGUGUGGGUUCAUUCUUACUUCUUCUGAACUGUUGUUCUUGAAAGAAGGUAUCAAUUUUGCUAUACCAUGCCCGUAGAGCUUGCUUUAGACCAUACAAUGCCUUCUUCAGUCUGUAUAAUUUGCUCUUCCCUUCACUAGAUAAGAAACCUUCAGGUUGAGAGACAUAUACUUCUUCAUGUAAGUUGCCAUUUAGGAAGGCAGACUUAACAUCAAAUUGGUACACAGUCCAACCAAGUUGAGAAGCCAAGGCUAAAGUAGUUCUAAUCAUUUCAAAGCGAGGUAUCGGUGAGAAUGUCUCUUAAAAGUCGAUGCUUUGUUUCUGGCAAUAUCCUUUUGCAACAAGUCGGGCUUUAUGCCUUUUCACACUUUCAUCAGCAUUGUACUUCACUUUGAAAAUCCAUUUUAGCCCGAUAACAUUCUUCCCUUCAGAAAAAUCAACCAAUUCCCAAGUCUAAUUUUUCUCAAUGGAAUAGAUCUCUUCGAUCAUUGCAUUCUGCCACUCAGGUCACUUUGAAGCUUCUUCAUAACAUGUUGGUUCGGCAUCUAAUAAGGAAAAACUGCAAGAUGCAUAAAUAUCUUGCAGCGAUCGAAACUUAAUUGGUGGUGUUUCGCUGGAUGAUGCCGAAGAUGGAGAGUGGGAGCUCAUUGGAUUAGACUUAUUGCCGCUAUUGCCAUGAGAAGAAUGAUUAGCAUCACUGCUGGAAGAAGAGGAAGGAUCAAAACCUGUAGAUUCAAGAAUCGUAGUAUGCUCUCCUUCUGAUUGGACCGGAAUAUCGAUUACUGAAUCUUCUUUCUCGCCAUUCCACUCCCAGGCUGCUUCUUCGUUGAAAACAAAAUUCCUAUUAAUAAUCACUUUGCCACUAGUAGGAUUAUAUAGUCUAUAUGCUUUGGAUUGAGGACUAUAACUAAUGGAAACGCAUUUCUCUAAUUUUUCAUCUUGUUUAUAACAUAUAUUAACCAAAGCAUAAGCUAUACAACCAAAGACUUUCAAGUGUCUUACUCGUGAUUCCAUCCCGUCCAUGCUUCAUAUGGAGUUCGAUCCAAAACAACUUUUGUUGGAGAGAAGUUCAGGAGGUACACAACUGCAACCACUGCUUCUCCCCAAAAGUGAACUAGAAGUCCCCUUCCAUUAAGUAGGCUUCUGGCCAUCUCAACCGUUGUACGAUUUUUUCGCUCGGUGAAUCCAUUUUGUUGCGGCGAGUACGGUGUUGAAAGGUCCCUGCGAAUUCCAUUCUCAUCACAAAAUAAAUUAAAAUCAUUAGAUAAAAAUUCACCACCACGAUCUGUGCGAAGAGCUUUUAUGUUGUAGCCUGAUUGCUUUUUCACGAGAGCCUUGAAUUUCCUGAAAUUCUCAAAUGCUUCAGAUUUGAACUUGAGAAAGUAAGCCCAGCUCAUACGGCUAUAGUCAUCAGUAAACAGAAGAUAGUACCGACUCCCACCUGAUGACUCAGUUUUCAUCAGCCCACACAAGUCAGCAUGUACAAGCUCAAGACAACUACUAGCCCUCCAAGAUUUUCCUACUAGGAAAGAUUUUCUACUUUGUUUUCCAAAUAUGCACCCUUCACAUAACUCAAGAUCACCCACUUUUGGUAAAACAGCCACCAUUUUCUUUCCAGUCAACAAUUUCAACCCAUUAAUGUUCAAAUGACCAUAUCAAAGAUGCGAAAGUUGAGUUUCCUUAACACCUUUAGAAACUAACACAUUUUUAACAAUAUUUGAAACAUUAAGGGGAAACAUAGUGUUCUGAGUCAUAGGCACAAUUGCAAAGUUUGACCAGAUUUCUUGUCACUAACAGUGCAUGAAUCAUUAUCAAACAGAACAGAGUAACCAUUAACCAUCAAUUGUCCAAUACUUAGCAAAUUGUAAGCCAAACUAGGAACAAAUUGCACAUCACAGAUAAGUUUAGAAUUACCCUGCGUUGUUUUGAUGGCUAUGGUACCCCUGCCUUCAACUCGUACUUGCUUGUCAUCACCAAGUCGAACUUCACUUUUUAUCGACUCAUCAAGAUCUCUAAAUAGAGACUUUGUACCAGACAUAUUAUUCGAGCAUUCACUAUCAAUAAUCCAUUUAGGAAUGAGCCAUGAACAACUUACUUUCAUCCUCUACUUUCUCAGAGAGAUUGGCAUGCUUCUGUUCAUCUCUUUGUUUGGUCCAACAAUAUGCUUCAGUGUGGCCAAAAUUCUUCCAAUACCAGCAUUGAAAGUUACUCUUGGGUUGACGUGACUCAUUAAAUUAUCCUCUACCUCUGUCGCGGCCUCGACCUCGUCCUCAAAAUCCGCCUCUUCCUUUACCUCUACCAGGAAAAUUUGAGGAUUUUUCUUUGCAGAAAGAAGACUCCUCUUUCACUUGGAAUGCUUUUUCUUCAACCUUCUCAUAAGACCUGUUUACCCUAUCUUCAUCAGCUAACAAAGAACCCAUUAAUUCAUCAAACGUAUAGUCAGAUAAGUUCUUAGAUUCUUUGAUAGAAGCAACCACAUGCUCAAACUUACUGGUUAAAGACCUCAAAACCUUUGCUACAACAGUUUCAUCAGUAAUUUUUUCUCCAUAAGACUUCAUCAGAUUAACAAUUGCAGAGACUCGAGACAUAUGGUAUUCACGGAUUCAUCGUUUUUCAUGCUUAUAGUUUCAAAAUCACGAUGUAAAGUUUGCAAUUUAACUACAAUUACCUUCUUAUCUCCCAUAUACUUCUGUAUCAAAAUUUCCCAAGAUUCAUUGGAUGUCUCUGCCGCGAAUUCUAAGGAAGAUGUCAUCAUGAAGGGCUUGUUGAAUUAGGAACAAUGCCUUCGAAUCCUUCCUAUGAUUUUCCCGGAGUUGUUGUGCAUGACCUUCAUCCGGAUCCGAAAAUCCAUUUUCCACCAAGUCCAAUAGCUCUUGAGACUUAAAAGGAGUCUUCAUCUUAAGACUCCAAAAUUGAUAAUUCAUCCCUUUAAAGAUUGGAAGAGGAUGAUAAUUUGAAUUGGUGUUCACUGCCAUUUUUUCUUAUCUGAAGAUGAUGGAUUUCUCUCACGUUUUACAAUCUCUCUUUCUCAAUGGAUUUCUCUUACAUUUUACAAUCUCUCUUUCUCACCCUCUCUCUGGCUCCCAGGUGAAGAAACUUGGCUGCUCAGGAUACCAGAAAUUGUUGGAAGAAAGAAGAGUAAAAAAAGCAGAGAAACUGAUGAGAGAGAAAAAACUCGGACUAAUUUUUUUUACUUCUCAAUUCAACUGCAUAAAACAAGACGACCUAGUGCCAUUUUAUAGGCUUACAAUUCAACAACUAAACCUAAAAAAUAGAAACUAAAGAUAGUGGUGAAGCAGGGGUAAAACACUGCUAACAACGUGCCCACUAAUUUGCUAAAACAGUAAAUAGAAAAAAUACAAAUAUUGACUUAGUAAAACGUAUCUCCACUAAGACGAAAAGACAGUACCUCUAAGACUAAAAAAUAGAACCAUCAAGAACAGAUUUUGCAGUGAUUGAUUAUUUAACUAGUCAACAGUUGUUCUUCCUCUCAGAAACCCCGUUCUGUUCUGGAGUGUAGCUAAUAGUGAGUUGCUGUUGAAUACCUAAUUUUUUACAAUACUUGCUAAACUGAUGUGAAGUAUAUUCAUCUAAAUUCUUUGAAAACAGAAAACACCUAAACUUUGUGUAACACCCCGUACUUUCAUGCUAGAAUCUAGACCAUCGUUCCUAUGCGUAUAGACCCGAACUAGAUAAUUCCUUGUUAAUAUAUGUGUGGUUGUCAAUCCUAUAGUGUGAAAUACCUUUGAAUAUGAAUUGAGGUCACAAAAUCCCCUAACGCUAAGACAAGUUGAAAACAUUUAUAGCGAUUAAGUUUCAUUGGAUGUUUAAACUUGGGUCAAAUUUCAUCGACCAUAACUUCUUGUAUAUAUUGAAUUAGAGAUCCUACUAUUUAUAAAAUGAAAGGUCUUUGAAGUAUCUUUCCAACGAUACCAAUUUUGCCAAAAUCCAAUACUCGACCGAAAAGUUACAGCCAUUUUCGUGAGAGAGGCAGUAGCUGCACGCGAUUAGCGUGCAACGCACGCUCCAUCGCAUGCACCUAAUUUUUAGGUUUUUUUUUGCAUUUUUAAGGGAAAUUUGGAACUUUACCUCACCCAAGGUCUGCCCAUAACAUAAGAUUCACACCCCAAAAGCAGAAUACACUCCAUAAUUUAAUUUUUUCGCUCAAAUUAAAUCUCUAAAUCCUUUCCCUCAAGAUCAAGAAUCAAGAUCUUAAGUUCAAGACUCCAAGAAAAUUUUCAAGAUCUGGGUUCCAUGUAUCAAGAUCUAGGUUCCAUAUUUCAACUCUUAUAGUCUAAGGUACGUGGGGUUCAUCCUAAAAACUACAUGGGCUUGUUGAAUCUCUUGAAUAUGAUUUAAAGAUUAUCAAGCAUGAAUUUUAAGGGGUUUUGGAACUUAUGCUUUAAAUUUCGCAUUUUGGUUGUUUUGAUAAUAUUAUUGUUUUGGCCUUUAGGCCUUUCCCCCUUAAAUUGAUUUACAUCUUUAUGUAUAUGUAUGAAUUUAAAGAUUGUUUUGAGAGCACCAAUUAUAAAACCCCUCUCUUGUGAUGAACUAAAUUUUAUGAUCUUGUCGGGAAAGUUGAGUUGAAAGGCAUGUUUUAUGUUUUGAAAGUAGUUUUCUCAAUAUUAUAGUAUUUGAACAUGAUUUAGAGAUGAUGAGAGGGUGUUUCUUGAUAUAAUUAUGUGUCUUGUUUUAAAGAGAAAGAAUUGCAUGUGAUUGAGAAUUUUGACAUGACCACCUUGUGUAUUUGAAAUGUUGAAAAAGAGAGUUUCUUGUAUAUGUUUACAUGAGCUUUAAGAAAGAGUUUUUGAAAUAAUUUAUUGAUAUGGUGGUCCCAGACUUACGUUUUGAAAUAGAGAUUAUUAUUUGCUAUAAAUGGCUUAGAGAAUGUGACUGCAAGUUAAUGGUAUGACAAUACCAUAUAAAUUUAUGCCAUAACAGAACUAGAGACUUAAGAGUCUGAUUUCAAAGAUUGCAUGUUGUAAAGAAUUAAAAAUGGGCUUAAAGAGGGUUAGGUGGUUACCUGAAGAGGGAACGAGUAAAACGGCUCAUAGCCUAAAAACUAUAUUUUGCCGAUAUGAGUAUGUUACUUUUGUAUGCUGGCGAUAGCCCUGUAGCAUAGUAGAGAUUCAGAGACUCCGACCCUUGCAGCAAACUUGGGUUGGGGGCUUGGCUGCCGAGUUAAGGGCAGAUUCUAUAUAGCCCGUGGAAAUACAGAAUUGUAGGGUAUACCACCUAGCAUAGAAGUAAAACAAAGAGUGUCACAGAGUUCAGAUGAUUUUAUAGAGUCCUUUAAAAGCGCCCAUGUGAUUCUUACUAUGUGACAUAUUUAUGAACUAUUUUUAAAUUGCUCUCAUUUAUGUUGAAUAUCAAUUAUAAUUUUGGAUUCGCUCUACGAACUAGUACAAUUGUAUUGGCCCCCUACCUUCCAGGGUCUAAGGCUUAAAUCUAGAGGUCCAGCUAAGCAGUAGAAAUUUUAGAGAGAAAAGACUGUGUAGUGGUGAGCCUUCUAUAUUCCAGAAGGCUUGGUUAUUUCAGACUAUGUCAUUCAUUUUGUUUUUGGGUCUACUGGGGCCUUGUCCCAAAUUCAAAUAAUUGUCAUUUAUCAUGUCUUAGAGAUUUCGCAAACAGGUUCAGAUAUUGUCUAGCUGUUGAUGGCUUUUACUACUUUCCAUCUUUAAAUUGAAAUCAAAAUGACCAUGAUUCUGUAUUAUAUUUCAUUUCGCAUCUUCUUUUAUUGUAUUUACGUUGUGCAUGACUACCAGAUAGAAAGGGGCGUCCGGGCCUUUAUGGUUUGGGAUGCUCAUCACGGCUAGGGCCUCGGUUCGGGUCAUGACACUUUGCUACUUAAAAAAUAGACCCAUGUAAUUCGAGUUAGAUCAUCUAUGAAGAGAAUAAAAUAUUUAUUCCCACUCAAAGAAGACGUCCUCAUUGGUCAACAUAUAUCUGUAUGAACCAAUUCUAACUUUUUAUUCGCCCUCCAAAGACUUUAUUUAGUAAAGGAUCGUACGUCUAUGCAAUUUACCAAAUUGACAUGACUCACAAACAUCUCGGCAAAUGUCAAUUUUGGGUACAUCAAGCACCAUACCCUUGGAUUGCAUAUAAACCAAUGAACUAAGGUUGUAAUGACUGAAUCUUUUGUGCCAAAGCCAGGUAUCACUCAUUUCAACAUUCAAAGAGCAACUUUCAGCAGAAUAGCAUGGAAUUGGAAAGGAAUUACCAAUGAUGCUAAUUUUAGCUACUUCACGACCUUUAGAAUCAUAAAUGACACAUUUUUUAUCCUUAAAAGUAAGUGAAUAACUAUUGUGAAACAACUGAGCAACACUCAACAAGUUUUGAGUCAAGUUUGGCACAUAAAGAACAUCGUUUUUGAUUUUCAUACCUUUGUUCGUAAGGAAUUUUACUGAUCCUCUUCCUUGAGCUUUCACCAGUGCACCAUCUCCAAGCUUCACUUUGGUCCUAUUAGACCGGUCCAAGCUAACAAAUAGAUUUUCAUCAAUUGCCAUGUGCCUUGUGCAUGCACUAUUGACAUACCAAUUAUAUUGAUCAACAUGUGAUGUAUGCGAAGCCAUGAAUACCUUCUCUGAUUUUUCAACUUGAUGAUCUUCUGCCAAAUUUACUCGUUGGGAAGACUAACCACGUUGAGCUUGCUUUUGCCUACAAUACUUCUCAAUGUGUCCAUACUUCUAACAAUAUCUACAUUGAAUAGGAGACCUCUUGGACUUUUACUAGCAAUUCUUCUCCAAGUGGUUUGUCUUCUUACAAACACCACAAGGUGGAAAUUUUCCUUUCCUUGAUGAUUCACCUUGGUAUUCACAAGGUUUUGCCUCUCCAGAGUGUUCUAAAUAGACUUUUUUUUCCUUUCUUUUGUUGCUUGAAUUCAUGCCUUACUUGAAAGGCAUCUUCGACUGUCCCUUCACUUCUCAUGGUCACCCGUUGCUCUUGAAUUUGUAAUUUAGAGAUCAGCUCAGUUAUUGAAAGAGUAGUCAAGUCACAAGAUUCUUCAAUAGCUGAGAUUUUUUAUUUGAACUUGUCCGGAAGGCUGACCAUGAUCUUCUCUACAACUUUCUGAUUUGGAAAGUUUUCACCAAGUAUCCUUAUUUUGUUCACAAUAUCCAUCAGCUUGGAAAAGUAUUCCUUCACAGUAUCCGAAUGCUUCAGCUUUAAGAGCUCAAACUCCCUCUUCAAAGCUAAGACCUUAACAGACUCAACUUUGUUGCUUCCUUUAAUCUCCUCAUUUAGCUUAUCCAAGGAUUCUUUUCCUGUCUCACAAGCCAUAAUCCUUGUAAAUAUCACUUCCGUAGGACUUGAAUGUAUGCAAAUGAGAGCUCUUGGAGAUCUAGUCACCACCUCAUCAUACUUUUUUAUUUCAUUAAGAGUUGUGUUGUCUCUCAAUGCCUGGACAGCAAGUUCUCCUCUCUCAACGACAUCCCACAAGUUGAGAGCCUUCAAAUAAGCCUUCAUUUUAAUGGCCCAAAUAUGGUAAUUCUCCCUCGAGAAAAUCAAAGGACCUGUUGUUGGUUGAUUUUCCGGUGCCAUGUUUUUCAGCAAAUAGAUCUAAUAAAAAGGAGUUAAAAAUAAGAUGAGUCAAUCAAAGAAAACGGAUUCAGAUCCCAUAAGAAAUGGGCUCUGAUACCAUGUCACAAAAAGGGGAAGACGAACAGGAAAACAAUAAGCUGAAACAACUAAAUGGAUCUGUAAAUUGCUGCCAGAAAACAAAUUGCAGAGAAGAAGAGCUGAAACUUGUUUUAGUAAUCUUAUUUUUCUCCUUUAUUGAACAUUACAUAGACUACACACAUAUAUAUAGUGCGUGUGUGAGGAAUACAAACAAAAAAACAAACAAAAAUAUCUACUAACUAGGAGUUUCUAGACAAAUCCAAAAAUAUCUACGAACUGGGACUUUUUAGACAAAUCCAAAAAUAUCUACGAAGUAGGAGUUUCUAGACAAAUCCAAAAAUAUCUACUAAAUAAGAGUUUCUAGACAAAUCUUAAUUUUCUAACACAUACUUCUUCUACAGUAGGGAUGGAACAAUUUUGUCCUUCUGCUGCUGGUGAUGAGGAUGCGUUAGUAUCAGGGAUGUAGUGAACUGCAUCUUUAUUGUCUAUGUCAUUAUGUGAACAUGGACCAUGCACUUCAUUUAGAGGAGAACCCCGAGAAUACUGGUAAUACAGAAGAAUUACAAAGGUGAGCAUUAGCAAAAGGAAAGAUAUGUUCUCUGAAGGACAUAUCUCUGGGUACAAGGAUCUUUCUUGUAGAAAUAUCCCACAAUAUGUAACCUUUUUGCAACUCUGAGAAAUCUAGCAAGGAUAGCUCUAGCUAAAAAUUUAUCACCUUUAGGUAAGUUUGAGGCAUGACAAAGGCAUCCUAUGACCCCUAGGUGUGUCAAUCUAGGCUCCUUACAAUACAAUAAUUCAUAUGGAGUCUUGUAGCCUAGAACUAAAGAUGGCAAUCUGUUCAUCAAGUACACUGCAACCUCAAUACCAAAAUCCCAAAAUUUAAUAGGUAGUUUUGACUGAAAUCUGAUAGCUCUGGCAAUCUCCAGAAUGUGUCUAUGCUUCUUCUCCACAGUCCCAUUCUGUUGUGGAGUAUAAGGACAUCUACUUUGAUGCAAUAUGUCAUGGUGUUGAAAUAACUAAUUAGUUUGAUGAUUAAAUAACUAUGUACCAUUAUUUGAUCUCACAACCUUAACAUGAGAGUCAAAUUGAGACUUGAUCAUCAAUAGGAAAUUUUUAAUGGCAACAAUAGUUUCAGAUUUUAACUGCAACUGAUAAACCUAUACAAAUCUACAAUGAUCAUCCACAAUUGUAAGAAAAUAAUGUUUUUUGUCAAUGGUAGGGACAUUAAAUGGUCCCCAGAGAUCCAUGUGAACAACCUUAAACAUAGUAGAUUCUCUAGAAGUACUAGAAGGGAUAGGGAGUCUAGCUUGUUUAGCUAGGGGACAUACAGGACAAUUAUUGAGAAUUUCACUAUCAUUCCUGUAAUCCAUCAACUUUAGGUGUCUCAAGGAUUGAGAAGAAGGAUGUCCAAACCUGGAAUGCCACGGCUUGACAUCAGGUAUUGUCACAUUAGCUGUUAUUGUUCCCUUUGAGUUAUUGUUAGAGUUGUGACCCGAAUUUUGUUGAUCCGGCCCAGAAAGUUUCGCGGUACGACCCAUGUUUGUGAUUUUCAAUGGGGUUUGUGGUGGUAGCACAGGGAUCAGGCCGAUAGGACUUAUUUGUAUGCAUGAAUUACAUAAGUGCAUUUAGUGGGUUGUUUUGGGCAUUCAAAAAUUACCUCUCUCCACAUUGUACUCCUCUUCUUUCAUAGUGAAAUUCCUCUACCUCUGCCCAUGGUUUUUCUAGCAAGGGUUUCCACGUAAAUCUGUGUGGUCUUGUUUUCUUUCUUCUUAUGGUUUGCUUUAUUUCUGCUUGAUUCAUAACAGUUAUUAUUGUCCUUAUUCAUAGGGUUUAGCACAGUCUCAGUUUUGAAAAUAUACAAUCAACCAUUCUCCUUACCAAUCCCUCUCACCCUCGCCACUCAAGAGGUCCUGGAAGACAAAAAAGUGAGGGUAGAAGGACCCAAAACAAGAUAAUUCACUUGUGAUUUUAGAAACAGGCAACAAAUUAAACUUGAAAUCUUGACACAGCAGGACAUUCUUCACUUCUGCAUCUGAAAAAUAUUUGUUGUACCCAUAUGAGUGACUUCCACCUUAUCUCCUAUAGGUAAACAAACCUGUUCCUUUUGAGAUUUGUUCAAGUUAUGAAUGACCCUCAACAUAAAUUUACUUGAUGAUAUAUGAAGAAAGCACCUGAAUCUAUAAUCCAAUCUUGUGUAAAUGCAGUAUGUGAUACCUGCAUGUUGGCCUACUUAGUCUCUGAAGUAUACUUGUGAAGCAUAGUGAGAAUUUGUGUAUAAUCUUCAUCAGUAAAUGCUUGUCCUUUUGCAAGUACAACAUUGCUAUCCCAUUGGCUAGAUGAUGCUUGUCCUUUUGCAAGUACAACAUUGCUAUCCACUAGAUGCAUUGUUUUCUUCAAAGUAUCUUCCUUGAAAAACAUUGCCCAUGAUUAACAUUACCAUACUUAUGUCCUGCAGUACUGCCAAAAUUUGAGUGAUUACUCACAUUCCUGUAUACACUACUACCAUUACCUGAUUUCUUCCUUAGCUUCCAAUCCACUAGGUAUCCUAUCAGCUUGUAGCAAUUUUCUUUGGUGUGACCAGUGAAAUUGCAGAAUUCACAUUUCUUCACUUUGUAAUGCUUCUUUACUUGGAUCCUGUUAGCAUUCAUAGCAAGUUGAUCUGACCUCCCAACCAUUGUGGCUACAUAUGUUGAGUUUUGUAUCUCAUCCUCAAUGAGCAUUGCAUAUGCCUGGUUUAGUUUGGGGACAAUUACCUUCAAUAGAAUUUGUCUUCAUGCUUUUGUUGGGUUAUGGAUCCUGAUUAAUAUGUGAUGUACAUAUAUUAAUGUUCAUGCGGUUCAACUGACAUAUUAUCUGCAAAAACUGGGCAAGAAGCAGCGUAAGAAGGUUUUUUACACAGCUAGCCCGAGUUCCAUACUGUUGAUGAAGAACUCGGUCUAUCAUUCAAAGAUGAAGCAUAUUAGAAGACGGUACCAUUUCACUCGCAGGGCAGUGGAAUAAGGUGAUAUGUUUUUGGAAAAGAUAGAGGGUGCAAAGAAUCCAGCAGACAUAUUGACAAAAUGUGUUGAUGUUGGUAAACUAAGGUUGUGCAAAACCUUAGUUGGUGUAGCUGUGUCUACAGAUGUUGUGGUGCGGAGAAGGUAUUGAUGAUGGAGGAAUAUAUAUUUUUUUGAGAAUGUAAUUCUUGGAUGACAGAAUCAGUCUUCAAGUGGGAGAAUUUUUGGGUUGUGGAGCCUGAUUAAUAUGUGAUGUACUAUCAUAUAUUAAUGUUCACGUGGAUCAACCUACGCGGUGAGGUUUCCGGGGUGUGUGGGGGGCGGGAGCCCCCACCUGAAGGUGGGGUUUGGGGUAGCGUACCAACCCAAAUUUUAGGUUGUACCUUUUAUUCUCACUUCUCUGUGUAAUUGUACAUACUCUGAAUCAUUAAUAUAAAUAGAUCGUCCACCGUGGAGUUUACCAACAGGUGUAACCACGAAAUUCAUUUCUCUCUCUCUCCUCACGAACUCUCUCUCUCAUUUUUCUUCAUCCUCUCCGCAGAUUGUGUGUGUGUACAUGAAUCGAUACUAACAUCUUUAUCGUAGGAUUCAUUCAAGACACUUAGGUACUGUAUUAGAUUCAUUUGUGAUAAAUACUCCAUAUAGUCUCUUGAUCGCGGACAAUCACAGCAAGGUGAAAGAGUAACAGGAUCAUACUUAUUCCAUAGGGUCUUUAGUUUUGAGUAGUACUGGGACACAGAAUCAGUACCUUGUGAGAAUGUGGUAAUUUCCCUAUUCAGUUGGUAUACUCACAAUCGAUUGACAUUGUCAAAUACUCCUUCAAAUCAGCCUAUACUGUAGAUGCAUUCGUAGCAUAACACUAUUCCAUUGAGGAGCUCCUCACUUACUGUAUGAUUGUACGUCUCCUGUUGCUCGUGCAAAUCAUCCCUACAUGAUUCCUUUGUACAUGUCCAAGUAACAAAGCCAUACUUUCUUUUGCCCAAUAAUGCAAUUUUCAUGGAUAUACUCCAAACUCCAUAGUUCUCAUAUCCUGUCAAUUUAAUUGGAAUCAAUAUAGCUCUUGUAACAUCUUAGGCUCCAAUGAACAGAGGAUCGUUUUGAUCAAUUUUUGGCACCAUUAUUUCUUUCAAUUCAGCUGAGAGAUCUCAACUCGACAACUUUAAAAGUUCAACUAAAAUGCAGCGUAGAGUCAACUAGUAUCGAUUGCUCUGAUACUAUGUGAAAAACUAGCUUGAGCAACUAGGACUCCAUUAGUGGAGCUUCGAAUAAGGAAGAGAGAACAAUCAGACCAUUCAAGUGUUUACAAUGAGGUGCAUAUUCAGCCUUUAUUAGGCUGAGUUGUAGGGGAAUCUAACAUUGUUCUAGAACAUUCUUAUGUGCCAGCUCCACUAACAACUACAAACCAGCUAUCUAAUCAAUCAACUAACUCAAUCAUCAGCUAAUCAAGUGAAUCUGUUGGUUUAAAACUGUUAAAGGGAAAUAAUGUAGGAAUUCAUUACAAAAGCUAGCCACUGAAACAGAGAUGGGGUUUAAAGAAGAGAAUAUGCAGAGAGGUUGAUUAUUUUCUUGUAAAGGCGAAAUAUUAUUCAUCAUCAGCCAACAACUUAAAUAAUUGCUAUUACAACUAAAAAUAGGACAAACCUACUAUAAAAGAAACAAACUAUUUCUACCAAAAUUAAAAUAACUAAUCAGUUUCCUAUCAAAGAUAGGAAUCCUAUUUAACUAGGAUUUGUACGGAAAAAAAUUGCUUGCAUUCCUAAAGCAACUGUCAAUACUCCUCCUUGCUUUAUGAAAUGCAAACUCUAAUUUUCUAUCUGAGAAGCUCAAAUUUGCUGACCGGUAAUGGCUUAGUGAAUAUAUCAGCCCAUUAUUCUUCCGUCUUGCAAUAGACAAGAAUCACAUCUCCAUCUUUUUGAACAUCUCUCAGGAAGAAAAACUUGAUUUUGAAGUGCUUAGAUUUUCCAUGAAACACAGGAUUGUGAUAAAUAGCUAUUGCUUCUUGGUUGUUCAUGAACACUUCAAUGCUUCCUGUUGGUUCCAUAUGCAGAUCAACCACAAUUUUCUUCAGCUACAAUGCUUGAUUUGCUGCUAUAGAUACCACAAACUCAGCUUCGGCAUUAGAUUGAGCCACAAUGUCCUGCUUCUUACAACUCCAUGAAAAAUCCCUGAACCAAGACUAAAAUAGUGCCCUGAAGUACUCUUCGAGUCAUCCUUAGAACCUCUCCAAUCACUAUCAUAGAACCAAAAAAGCAUCAUAGGUUGACUCUUUCAAAACAUGACUCCAUAGGUGAUUUUUCCUUUGAUGUAUCGCACAAUUCUUUUGGCUGCCUUCAGAUGUACUUCACUCGGACAAUGCAUGAACCUUGAUAGAAUACUUACAGUACACAAUAUAUCAGGUCUUGUUGCUGUAAGAUGCAUUAAACACCCAAUGAAAUUUUUGAAGUAUGUUUCCUCCACCUCUUCGGCUCCAUCAUCUUUGCUUAGUUUCUCUUUUUGGUUCAUGGGAGUAUUCAUCUCUUUACAAUUUUCCAUUUUGAAUUUCUUGAGAAUUUCCUUCGUGUACUUCUUCUGGCAAAUGAAAAACUCAUCUUCUCCCUGUGUAAUCUCCAUUCCAAGGAAAUAAGUCACUAGAUCAAGAUCAGACAUUUCAAAAUCUUGCAUUAUAGCCUUCUUGAAAUCAUCAAUGAGCUUUGCACUGCUUCCUAUAAUCAAAAGGUCAUCGACAUAAAGAGAAACAACAAGAAUCCCACUGUUAUUGCAUUUAACAUAUAGUGUAAAUUCAGAAACACUUUUCUUAAAAUCGAGGCUAAGCAAAUAAUCAUCUAUUCAACUAUACCAAGCUCUUGGUGCCUGUUUUAGGCCAUAAAGAGCUUUAUGUAGUCGGUAGACUUUCUCUUUUUUCCAUCUACAACAAAACCUUCAGGUUGCUUGAUGUAGAUUUCUUCUUCAAGAACUCUAUUAAGAAAUGCGGAUUCAACAUCCAUCUGGUGCAUUUUCCAGCCAUGUUGUGCAAUAAUAAUAAGAAGUAGCCUGAUUGUGUCGAGCCUAGCAAAUGGAGAAAAUGUGUCAGAAUAAUCAACACCAAAAAUUUGUGCAUACCUCUUGACUACAAAUCUUUCCUUGAGCUUGUUAACAAAACCAUCAACAUUCAAUUUUGGGUAGUAAACCCACUUCACACCGAUGAUCGUUCUAUCUUGAGGCUUUUACACAAGUUGCCAGGUCUUGUUCUUCUCAAUCAUUGUGAUAAAAGUGUGAUCUCAUAUAUGGGAACUUUUUGUGUAUGUCAAAGGCAACCGAGAGGAGACCCGAGCUUAAGUUUGGAAGAAGAUAAAAACUGCCCCUAUGUGUGCACUCAAGGGGCGGCCUUGAAGCCUUAUUCAUUAAAAGGGCACCUUUGACAUUUUAAGUCUUUUGGGAAUAUAAUAUAAAUAGAACAACUUAGGGAUUUAUUCACUUAGUUGAUCAUUUUUAAGACUUGAAACUUGUAACACUUAAAGUUCUCUCUCUAGUGUUGUGAGAGUGAGUUCCAACCAAAACUAGGGUAGAUACAAGUGUGGAUUCACUUGUGUUUGCACAUUGGCUUUAAACGUUGGUGUUUAGAGGAGGUAAAGGCCCUCUUGUGUCAACGUAGAGUUAGGUUUGUGUCACGGAUAGUGUUAAGGGUCCAAGAGUGUAACAAUCUUGGGUUCUUAAGAUUAUCCCUUCAUUUGGUCCAACUAUUUAUCUUGUAUUUUGUUGAAUCCAUUGAUUCCUUUUUGUUGUUAAUGUACCCAUAACUUUCUUGUUGUUGUAAUCUUGUUGUUUAUGUGUUGACACAGUGAAGCCGUGUGGGGCCUCUUUGAUUCACUAUAGUCAUUGUAAUCUUGUGUUCUCUAUCUAUCUUGUUGAAUAUUGUGGUUGCUGUCUUGAAAACAUAGAGAAGCCGAGUGGGGCCUUUAAUUCUCUAGUGUUAUUGUCUUGUAGAUCUCUUGAUUGCCUUUUUGUGUGUUCGAUCUUGUAUCAUUUGGUAUCAAAUCUCAAGGCUUGGUUUUGUUCUUACAAAACCAAUCUUGGGAAGAUCUUACCAAAGUUAGAAACAUUGUGUUGUUGUUAGACCUUGGCCGAAACUUGUAGUCUUGUGGUGUUGACUUGACCAAGAGUUUUUGUGACUAGAUCUAGUAGAUUUUUGCUUGUUUAGUGUGUUUCUAGUGUUGGUUUCUUUCUCACCAACACUAUAGUGUCUAGAUCUAAAGUUGAGCUUGUAAUAUUGACUAUUGUUGUGGUGCCUUGAGGUUGGCCAUGUGUUGAACCUUGUUGUUGAAGAUUGGUGGCCGAUUGGUGUUGUUGUUGUUGUGAUCUUGAGAAGUUGUUAUGUUCUUGAAGGUUUGUUGAUGUGUUCAUAUUGUUCUUCAUCUAUUCUUACAACUUAAGACAACUAAAAGUGAAAAAUAGAUCCAAAAGGUUGUAAGACAAAAGUUGUGAAGUUGCUUGUAAGAAGACUUGCACACAUCUCUUCCUAGACUUGACAUGUUAGGUAAUCAGGAGAUUGAGUCUUGACUAAACACACACAAAAUCGGAUCAUGUUAGGACGGUUCCUUGCAAUAGUAACUAAGGCGGCAUUUGUCAUUUGUCACGAACCCCGGGGAUAUAGCUACAAGGCCUCGCUCUGUCGAGGAUACAUUUGGUUCUUGCACAUAAGGAAAUGCCCUAAGGUUUCAAGGUCCUUACAAUAGGUGGAAAUAUCCUCAAAACUGAUUUCUUCAACAUAACCACGCACCUGCAGUCACAUUCAGAUGCAAGCUAAGAUUAAAACUUUUUUCACCUGUAGGGACAAAAGUACUCGGAAAAGGGUAAUCUACAAAGAAAAUAUACUCUCUCCAUUUCUAUUCAUGCGUGUUACCUUCCUUUUUAUCCUGUUACAUUCAAUGAUACUCCUACAUAGGAAUGGUUUGGCAGGUCUGAAACCACAAGAUUCAAGGAUGUUUUUUCUUUCGGAUAGUUUUGCUUUUGCGACUACACAACAUGCUCAUGAAGGUAGAUAAUUAAUAACCAUGACAAAUUUUUCCAUUUUAUCACAAACACGGUCAUUGUAUCUAGUGUCAAAAGUAUCAAAAACGUAUAAACCUAUACAAAAGAAAAAUCAUACCCACAGUGGGUGCAACUUGUAAAACUGCCGGAUCAUCAUACCAAGAUCAGGGAUUUGAAUGGUAGAAUGGCAUAAAACCAAAGAUGUGAGGCUAUGGUGGACAACAUAUAAGCUAAAAAAUAGGCUGGCGGUGCAUCCCAAAACCUGCUCAAGCCUUCGAGUUGAUAGUACUCUUGAAAAGCAUACUGCACAUUUAUCUGAAUUCCGUCAGGAUCAGCCUGUACGCCAGCAAAGUAGGCCCCAGUAACAAAAUUCAACCAACUGGGUAGCAUGGCGAAGAAUGUAAGGAAGAGCCUAGAGUCCUCAAAUUAGUGGCAUUUCGUGCAUUGAUGUAUCAAAAGGAGCAUAACUUACUGUUGCACAUGAGGCCAAAUGUUGUACAGCUAGCACCUAUUUGAACAUAUUGAUCAUUCCACACAGCAGUCCCUCAACUUCAAAUGUUCAUCGGUGGCUGAUUUGUUGUGCACGUGAAUUCCACCACCCUGCAUCACAAUUCAAACUCUGCACAUGACUAUCCCACUUCUUGUUGCAUUGGACUUUUGCAGUAACAUUAUUACCUGAAGAGGUUUCACAUAUUUGUGAUGAUGGUGUUUCUUGAAAGAUCUACAAAAACUUGAAAACACUGAAAUGAACUGGAAGGAAAUAAACUUUAAUCAUUUAUGCUUUAGAUUAUGAACAUUCUUCAAACAAUGAAUGACUAUUGUUUGACGUACUGAUGAGUUACUUGUUUUCAUUUUCUUUUCCUCUUUCCAUGAUUGUACUUUCCAAUAGUCAAUACCAAAGUAAUUUCCCUUUCUAUUCCUUUCGAUGUUCCCAGGAUCUGAUGUAUAAAAUGUGCAUAAAACAUUAUUAGAUGGAAGAAGUAAGAAUACAAGAAAACUGAAAUAGGAGCGUAAAAAGCCAUAGAAGUAAAUAAGACAAAGAAACAAAACAACAAAUAUUAUUCACAAACAGACAGUUCAUCAAACAUGUAGUAGACAUCAAACACAACAAUCAGAAUAGCACGCGCAUAUAAUAGAGAAGAACCUGUUAUGGUGGUGCUCAAGACUUCCCCCACAUAAUUCUUCAAGCUACAUAAAUAAUGGGAUAUUAUUUGGGCCAAGGACCUCAAGCUCCCGUUGCAUAAUAUCUUCAACAUAUUGUUUAAUCUCCAGAGCUGAAUCUUCAAGCUGGGGGCUCUCUACAAGUUGGAUGAUUUUCAAUGAACCAAUAUCCCUAAAAUUAGGCGGAAUCUCUGUAAGCUUACGACAUUCGCACAGUUUUAAUUUCUCAAGAACGGGAAAGGAUUCCUCUCCAAACUCCCACUUAGCAAGAGUCACUUCUUCCAGUGCCAAAUAUUUGAGAUUCACAAAGGUGUCUUCCUCCCCCAUGUUCCAUUCUUCCCCUUGCUUAAUUUUCCUCUCAAGGCAAAAGUUUUCAAGGUUGGGCAGUCUCGUUAUUGUUGAUAGUGAAUCAGAUGUCAGAGGAAAGUCACGCAACACCAAUUUUUUCAAAUUCAAUGGGAAGUGAAAAUCCCACGACCAAUUUGUCGCUACGGAGGGCCCACUGUCAUUUGUGUUUGAACUUUCAAAAUCUACUUCGAGGAAAAAUAGUUCUUUAGGCUCUGUUAAAUAAUCCCAUGAUUCCUUGAGAACAAAUGAAAGCUCUUGAAGACUGAGAAACUUUUCGAAAAUAUCCACUGUUCUUUCGAAUAGGAAAGAAUGAGUGUCCAUAAUACUCUCAAGUUCAUUAACUCUGAGCCUCCAGCUAUUAGUAUUGGUUCAUCUAUAUCCAAAUCAAAGAAAGAACAAGCAUUCAUGGACAGCACUCGCAACUUUACAAGAUCCCAAAUAUUCGGUAAUAGUACCCAGGUUGAUCCUUUGUUAUCAACAAACAGGCUUUCCAAAUUCUUGAGGUUUGAGAAAGAUGAAGGCAGAGAUUUAACUUCAGUCCCAAUGUUUAAGAACCUCAAAUGAUUCAACAUGCCUAUUUCAUUCAGCAAAGAAUCUUUCACCAUCACAAAAGAGGGAUCCAGGUGCAACAGUCUAAGAAGCCUCAAUUCUCUUAGGUGACAUGCAUCAGAAAGACGAUCUUCCAUCUUGUCUCCCAUUAUGUACAAAGAAUAGAGGUGUUGACCAGAAUGCCUUUCCAUUUUUGAAUCGAGCAGGAUGAAAUUGUUAGGCCCAAAGUGCUCCUUAUCAUAAUUAAUGGUCACUAUACGUGGCAUCAAAUCUAAACAAGCAGAUGCAUCACUUGAACUUAUCUGCUCAAACAACUUUUCCUCUCUUGCUUUUAUCAGACAAAAGUCGUGCACAAGAUCAUGAAUUUGGAAAGUCGGGCGAUUACCUAUCUCAUUGAAGAUAAUUGCCAAGCUACUGGUAAUUAAUUUAUCAAAAUAAACCUGCAGUACUUCCGUCUGUUCAGCAAGCCCUUCAGCGCGCCAAUAUAUUUCCAACGCAUCAAACUGAAUUGCUUUGUCCUUUGGAAAAGAUGCAAGGUAGAGAAAGCAGGGCUUCAUGUGAUGAGAUAAAUGGUCAUAACUUAAUUCUAUAACCUUCAUCACAUCCACUUCACUGUUAAAAAUAAAGUAAUUCAAAUUAUUUCGAACUUCAAGCCACACAGCCCUUUUCUUUUCCAAACCUGCAAUGACUCCAGCAAUCAGACCAGCCACCAAAGGAAGUACCUUACAAUUUUCAGCUAUUUCUUUUCCAACAUCCAAUAGUUCAUCAGGGCAACUCUGUUCUCCAAAUUUCCUUUUCUCUAAUAACUUCCAACUUUCUUCUGGACUUAGCAAUCGAAGGUUAAGAGGAUCACUAUUGCCCCUUCCAUGAAAAGCCACUUCCUUUUGUCGAGUCGUCAAAAUAAUUCUACUUCCUUUCUCAACUUCAGGGAAAGGUCUUGUUAAAUCAUCCCAUGUAGUAGUAUCCUAUACAUCAUCUAACACAAUUAGGUACCUCUUUCCAUACAAUUGUUUCCGCAGCUUAUCGACAACAUCAAUUUCUUCGCUGAACUUCAAAUCCAAGCCAGUAACUUGAUUAAAAAGUUCCACUAGCAACUUCCUCUUGUCAUAAUCUUGGUCGACUGUGCACCAUGCACGAAGGUCGAAAUGACUACAAACUGAUUCAUCAUUGUAUACUUUGUACGCCAAGGUAGUUUUACCUGAACCGGGCAUACCAGUGAUUGAAAUGACAUCUAGACUUGCUGGUCCACUGGUGAGCUUCCUAAUUAACCAGUUUGUCUCCUCCUUAAAUCCUACAAUUAUUUUACCACCCAUCAAUGACUUGCUUUCAACUGGCUUCUUGGGAGAGUUUACAACAUUGAGUCUUUUGUUCUUGGGAAUCUUCUCGGAUAUAUUGGAGACAUCUUCUUUGAUAAGCUUGACCUUUUUUAUGGUAAGGGGAAGUGAGAAAAAAAAUGUAUGAGACCAUUAUCUCGAACAAUAAUCGAAUCAAUGACAUCUUUUGCCUCAUAUGCCACAUCUAAAAUACGUGCCCAAAGAUAUUUAUAAAAUUCUUGAUCAAUGUUUGUGAAAAAAGAUUUUAUGAAUUCUACGUCUUGUUUCACCAGCCCAAUUUCUUCCUUUAUCAAUGCAAUUGAAUAAGCAUUGGAAUCUAGCAGAUCAUUCAAGUGUAUUUGUAGCAGAUGCAUGAAGAGCGGUCCAUCAUUCAUGGGGAAGCAACAUUGAGAUGGGUCUGGGGCUUUCAGAUAAUCAUUUUUGAGAUCUUCCUUGAAGAGUUCAAUAUUUUCCAGCAAGUCUCGAGUCGCACAACUUGUUUCAUCGGUACUCUCUUCAUUCCUUGAUUUUUCUUCUAAGUCACGAACAAGAGUUGAUACCUUUGUGGUAUGUGCUCCAACACGUGCCAAAAGAUCAAAUAAUUUGUCAUGAUGAAUAAUGUCCUUGGGCAUAUCCGUAAGAAUAAUUAAAAGGAACUCUAUAUUGACAUGAAUGUUUCGAGCCCCUGGAGUUGUAGCGAUAAUGACAUUUACCAUGUGCCUUGUAGAUGAAUCAGAUACUCUCUAAGAAUGCCCAGAGAGAUUUCCAGGAGAUUCUUAAUGAAGCAUCCAACUUCUGCUGAAGUUGAAGUUUUCAAAUUUGUAUAACAUAUUUGCAUCACCUCCACCUCAAUUGGAAUAAUCUUCAUGAGUAGAUGAGGUAGCUUGAAGACCUUAGAGUCUUCACUAGUUAGAUCAUCCCAAAGGAAGAGUCCAACUCUCUCAGCCAUGAGUUGAAACUGAGGUAAGACAUAUUCGACAAUCUCGCGCUCAACGUAACCAUUCACUAUCAACCCAUGAAAAUCCUUCAUGUUGCCACACACUUUAUGAAGAAUCUCAUACUGAGUCUCUAAUGAAAAUAUCUGUUCAGCAAGGUACUUGGAUAGAUAAUGGAGAUUCAAGAGGAGGAAGUCCAACUGCUCGUCAGUCAUGGUGGCACUUGAUGUAGAAUGAUAACACGAGCUGAUACAAUCAUCGAUAUUAUCCAUGAGGCUAGGAAGGACAUGAUCCAUGUUGUAUUUACAACUGACAUUGUUGUCAACAACAUCCAAAAUUUGUUGAAGCAGAUUCUCAACCUCUUGUCUUGAAGCAUCACUAAUUUCAUCGGCAAACUCUUCCGAAUCACAAUGAGAAAGCUGGACAUAUGUACAAAUAAAUUCCAGAUGAAAUUUCAGCUUUUCAAUUUGAUCGGCUUUGUCAGUAGCAUUUUGACCGUCUUCAUUCUUUAACCCGUCCAAGAAAUUCAGAACGUUGACAACGGCCUUGCGAAGAGCAGAAAAUGACACCUGCCAAACGACCAAAUAUUAAAUCAAAAUUUUCAUAGCGAACAUAUAUACCAUGCAAUGUUUACUCUAUACAGGCAACCAUCACGUACACAUGUAUUUUGUAUGAAUUUGAUGUUAUCUAUCCGACCUAAUACUUCAUCCAAAAUUAUCAGAUACUUGUUAUAUGCUUUAUCUUCUAAGAAAAAAAAUCAAAAUAAUGGAAAAAGGUCAAAAUAUACUACAAAACUUACACCAAAUAUGCCCUUCCCUAAAAAAAAUGGAGUAUUUAUACUCGUGGCAUAACACCAAUGACUCCCGUAUGCCCUUUUUGACUAAUGAAAGUGAAAUAGUCGAUGUUAAAAUUAUUUUUCUAUUUUUGUUGUUAAAACAAAAGCCACAUGGAUUUGAUUAAAGAACUGGCUAGAAUUUCCCACUCUACUUUCAAAACUUGUAGACAUUUAAUUUCCGUUUUACAAUCUGAACAUAAAUUUGACCUUCUAGUGAAUUGUAUUUUCAGGAUAAUUAACACAUAGUUCAACGACUUAAAUGUGAUAAAGUAAAGUUCAGUGAUUUUAGUGAGUCAAAAUUAGCUUAUAUAAGUAACUAAUUAACUGAUACAUACAUAAGUAAAGUUCAGUCAUCAUGACAUACCUCAAAAUUGUUUGCUUUCCUUUUCUCUAUUUCUCCUUGUUUUUCCAUGACUGUAAGUUUCUUUCAAAUUUCAGUAGCCAAAUUUUCUGAAUCUGAUGUAUAAAAAAUAGACAAAAACUUCAUCAGGUGAAAAUUGAAAGAAGCAAAAAAUUAAUUUCAUAGUAGAUAAAAGUGUCUUUCAAGUUCCUUUCCUUUCAAAUUCUCAGGAUCUGAUGGAUAAAAUGUAGUUAAAAAGUUUAUUAGGAGAAUAAAGCAGCAAAAAAUGUACAGAUAUAAAUAAGUAAAUAGUAUUCUGUGUUUACUUUCUCAAUUUUUUCAACAGAUCUUAAUACCAAAACUAAACAAACUGAGUUUAUCUGAGACUAACCUUAUCACUUGAUGAAAAUUCUGAUAUAGUUGCUUUGUUCCUCUAUGUUUUUGUGUGCUCUCCAAAAAGCAAUUAGCUUGAAUAAUGAAAAACAGAAAAUUAGAAGAUCGAGAGAGAACAAAUGAUUGAUGUUAGGUAGAAAAUGAUGCAUAGUAUUUCCAAUAAUGUUUAUAAAGCAAAAGCAAAUGGGACCUCCAACUUAAUCAUACUCUCAAGUGGGAACAAUAAUCUGUAAUAGGGAGUAUUGGCCACGAAAUAUAUAUAUAUAUAUUUUUUUGAGAUAAGCAUCCUGAACUAUGAUCAAAGUUGCUCCGAUAUACUCCUUCACAGGGUCCAAUUACCCCUGAACUCAAUUUUAAUGUAUUUUUGUCACCUUUUUGAGCUGGCGUGGAACCUUUAUUACAUAAAAUGAAGCCCACGUCAAAGAUAUCACGUCAUCUAAAAAUGAUGACAAAAUACGCUUAAAUUUAUUUCGGGGUUAUAGGACUCAAGUGAAGUUGGAGUGUAUCGCAGCAAAUUUGGUCAUAGUUCAGGGAUAUUAGAUGCUUUGCUCUAUUUUUUUGGUGUUGUGUUUGGCCAUAAAAUUCAGGAAUUUUUAGUAAUUUGAAAAAUAUCAAAAUACUAUUUUCACUCCAAAUUACUCACAAAAAUUCAAAAACAACUCCAAUUUAUAUUCGUUUUCUCCUUGUGACCUUUUAUUGUUACUUAUCGUCUCCUUCCACAGGUCCUUUUAUUAUCCAUAGAGUAGUAUGUUUUUGUAUUGUUACUCUAUGUACAAGGAUAAUAUUUUGAAAGUAAUCUAUCUGUGGGAUCAAAAAGAUUUUAUCAGAUUUUUAGUGUCCUUUUAUUUAACUUUUACAAUUUGAUUUCAGAAGAUAUCAGUGUAUCAAUUUAUUUAUUUUUUUUUUAAAAAAAACACUAUUAGAGACUAACCUUUUAACAUGAUGAAAAUAUCUUCUUCUUGCUUUAUAAUUCAUCCAACUACUUCAAAUUGUUGGGAGAUGUUUGGUUUGGGGGUAGUGAAGAAAAUAAUUUUAGUAUUGAAAAAUAUUGUAGAAAAAACUAUGCAUAGUGUUUUCAAAAAGUCUAGAAAGUAAAAGGAUGAAGCAAUGGGUCCUCACAGCUUGUCUACCAUAAGUCUAAAAGGAAAAAGAAAAGUAAGUUAAUCAAAGAGAUAAACAUCCAGUACCCCUUCGAACUUUGAUCAAAGUUGCUGCGACACACUUUAACUUCACAGGGUUCUAUUAAUAAAGGAUAAAAUCAACUCCUGUUUUUGAAAUUUCAAAUUUAGUUGUCCUUCUCUUUAAGACUCUUGUAUAUAGAUAAGUAUUAUCCUUUUCUUAGUUUAUCUCUUUGUUGUAUUGUAUUUAUAUAUACUCAGUCUACAAUCAAUGACAAGUAUCGUUCCUUUCAUUCCAUUAACAGUCUUAUACUUCAUAUGGUAUCCAGAGCCAAUUAACUCUCACAAGUAUAAUUCUUUUGAUCCCUCCCACUCUUCCCAUCAAAAUGGCCACAAACAUAACUGUAACAAAUUCAGAUGCCAACACCACAAUUGUCCAGUUCAAUUCUGUCACCCAGUUACCAAUCAAACUAACUGGCAGUCACAGUUUUUCCCUCUAGAAAGCACAAGUGUCCAUGCUUAUGCGUGGUCACAACAUUUAUGUCCAUCUCGACGGUUCUUGCCCUGCCCCUACUCGUACAGUCGCUCAAAAUAAUCAGGAAGUCGAAAAUCCUGAAUUUGUUUCAUGGUAUCGCCAAGAUCAGCUUAUUCAAAACGCCUACACUUGCUGCUACAGUUGCCGCUGCAUCCACCACCAAGGCUGCUUGGGAUGUUUUGCACACUGCCUAUGCCAAUAAAUCACAAACAAGAAUCUUUAGUUUGCGUGAUCGUCUUUCUCGUCUCUCGAAAGAAUCCCUUCCCGUCGCUGAUUAUCUACACCAAGUUCGAUCUCUCUGUGAUGAACUUGCCACUGCUGGAGCUCCUGUGUUUGAUGAGGAAUUGAUUGUCAAAAUCCUCACUGAACUUGGCCCAGAAUUUCAUGAAAUAUAUGCAGCGAUCCGUGUAAGAGACUCUACUAUCUCUUAUCCAGAACUUUAUGAAAAGUUGCUUGAUCAUGAACUUUUUAUAAAACAUAAAGAAGCAAAGAAGCCAUUAUCAUCACCAAUUACUGCUGCUAUUGUACAGAAAACAAACACGCAUCCUCUCCAAGGAAACAACUCAAACACACAUCCUCGCCAAGGAAACAACAACUCCAACAGGCGUCCCAGUGCAAAUUUCCCCAACACCAACCAGCCAUGGCAUAGUGGAAAAAAUAACCAACAACAAUGAUAUGAAAACACUCUGAAGUGCCAGUUGUCUGAUCUUCCUGGUCAUUCUGCCAAAGUGUAACACCCCGCAUUUUGGGCUAGAAUAAAAACCAUGACUCUGAUACAUUGAUAAUCCCAGAGCCUUAAAUCCUAUGACAAUUUGGAAUGUUUAUGUAGUAUGUGAAUCCAUUUGAGCAUGAAUUUAGGCCAUAGAGGUCCUUCAACUUAAGGAUGAGUUGAAACUAUUUCGAUCGAUUAAGUUUUAGUGGACGUUGUAAUUAGUGUCAGCUUCCAUCGACCAUAAAUCUCUAUAUAUGUUGAAUUAGAGAGCCUAAUAUGUUUCAAAUGAUAGGUCUUUGAGUUAAAUUUCCAACGAUACCAAUUUUGCUAAAAUUCGAUACCCGAGCAAGAAGUUAUGGCCUUUCAAAGUAGUAUGCGUCGCCUAACCAAUCGCAUAUGGCAACUGGAAAGCAUAUGCGACACCUAUGUAAAUAUAGGCUAUAUCACAUGCGGCGCCUAUGUAAAUAUAGGCGAUAUCAUAUGCGGUGCCUAUGUAAAUAUAUGCGAUAUCAUAUGCGGCGCAUAUCUUAUGGUUUCAAGUGACUUAAACACUCCAUAUUUGGGGCAAAAUGGUCUUUUUCCCACCCUUAUUCAGCCAUAAAUAUGAAAUUCAGUCCCCAAUUCUCCAAAAUACAUCCACAUUCAUCUAAAAAUUCUCAAGAACACUCCCAAGGGUUUCAAACUAAAAACCAAAUAAAUUAAGAUUUAACUGUGGGUUUUCAAAAUUGAUUAGAGAUUCAGAAUCCCCAAUCCACAGGCUUCAAGAAGCACCCAUUAUUUUCUGAAAUAGAGGUAUGCAACCUAAAUUCUCAUGGGCAUAGAAAAAUCAUGUUUUAGAAUGGGGUUUUGAAUAUAUGUAUAUAUUCAUGUAUUAAAUGUUUUAACAUCAUUUUUUUAGUCUUUUGACCUUUCCCAAAGUGAAUUGAGAAUAUGAAUGUAUGAAACUAUGUAUUUAAGAAUGAAUUCUUGUUGAGAGCAUGUUUUUCGGUGAAUUCCCUCUUAUUAUGAAUUUUUCAGAUUUCUCAUAGCAUAUGAAUUAUUUUGCAAUGCAUCCUUGAAAAGCACUAUAUGAAAUGAUUGAACUCUUGUUAUGAUUUAAAGGUGAUUUUAAAUCACUAAAGAGGGAAUCUAGCAUGAAUCUUUAAUGUUCAUAAUGCAUGUAAUGAAAGCGUGCAUGGAUUUGCUAAAGGCACUAAACCAACAUAUGUUGAUGAAGUUUUUGCAUGAUUUUGACUUAAGUUUCGAAACACGAAAUCUUCUAUAUCAGUUGCAUAUUUUUGGUGGUCUAAAUUAUGCUUUAAAUGAAAGAUUUAGCUUAAUGUAUUAUGACUAAGAAAUCAUAACUUGCAAGUCUUGGUAUGACGAUGCCAAUUCAGACCAAUGCCAUAUCAGACUUAGACUAAUAGACAUUUCAGACUAUCAUGAUUUUAGACAUUCAGAAUGUUGUGUGUACAGAAAAGGUUAAAAAUGGGCAUACAGAUAUGUUAGGUGGUUCCCUAAAGAGGGCUUGAGUUCAAGCAACUCAUUGCCUAAAAUCGUGGUUUGCCGACUCGAGUAUAUUAUUAUACGCUGACUUAAGUGUCGUGUGGCAUAUCAGAUUCAGGAACUCCAACCCUUGCGGCAUACUUGGGUUGGACGCUUCCCUGCCGAGUCAAUGGUGGAUUCCAUAUCGCCCGUGGAAUAUCAUACUUGCAGGGGAUACCACCUAACUCAGAAGUAAUACAUAGAUCAGAGUUUGAGAUUUACAGACAGGUUACACGUUUUCAAAAGGUGCCCAUGCGUUUUUCAGAAACUAUUUUAUGCAUAAUAUUUGAUGAACAUUUGCUCUGACGUAUGAUAUAUAUAUAUAUAUAUAUGUUUAAUUACUCUAUUUUGGAUUGCUUCGCAUACCAGUACUUUUGUGUUGACCCCCCUCCCCCCUCCAAUCUCUCAGGUUCUAAGGCUCAAUCUGGGGGUCAGAUAAGCAGUAGAUAGUCAGACUUGCAGAUCAGACUGUGUAGUGGUGAGCCUUCUUUACUCCAAAAGGCAUGCAGAUUGUUCAGAGUAUUAUUAGUAGUUAUAUUUUGGUCUACUGGGGGCCUUAUCCCAGUUUAUUUUCAAACAACUGCUUAUGUUCUUAGUAGAGAUUUCGCAGACUGAUGUCAGAUAUUACUAUUUUAGAUUUGACCAUGUUUUCGUAAUAUUAUUUAUCUUUCGUAUUUAUUUAUCAUAUGAAUUAUGUGCAUGAUUACCAGAUAGACAGAGGGCGUUCUGGGACUUUGGGUUCUGAAAUGCUCAUCACGGCCAGAGCCCUGGUUUGGGUCGUGACAAACUUGGUAUCAAAGCAUGGUUCAUGGUCCCAGGGUAUCUACGAAAUCGCAUCGGGUAGAGUCUUGUUUAUGCGUAUGUGGCGCGCCACACUUAUAAGCGGGAGGCUACUAGGCAUUUAGGAAUGUCUCUCUUUCUUUAUGUUCUAGUUCGUGCUAUAAAGUCAGAAUGUUCCUCCUUCAUACUCUGAUUCAUGCUAUGGUGUCACCCAUACGAAAAGAAAAGUUAUCCUAAUUUCUUCCUCACUCUGGUGUUCCAGAUAUUCUCCGAUUAUCUAGCAUAAACUUUAGAAGUCCCACAAAGGACGAGAGAGAAGUUCCCUAGUGUAAAAUUAUGUCAUCGUUCUUAUGAGGCGUUCAGUUAAGACAAGAGUAAGAUGUGUAUUCUUGAGUCAUUGAAUAUUGUGUAUCAAGCUUCUAUCUCUUGCAAUCUUGAUAUCAUUGUGUUGUUGAAAACAAAAGUCAAGUGAAGCCGUGUGAGGCCUAUUUUGAUUCACUAGCANNNNNNNNNNNNNNNNNNNNNNNNNNNNNNNNNNNNNNNNNNNNNNNNNNNNNNNNNNNNNNNNNNNNNNNNNNNNNNNNNNNNNNNNNNNNNNNNNNNNNNNNNNNNNNNNNNNNNNNNNNNNNNNNNNNNNNNNNNNNNNNNNNNNNNNNNNNNNNNNNNNNNNNNNNNNNNNNNNNNNNNNNNNNNNNNNNNNNNNNNNNNNNNNNNNNNNNNNNNNNNNNNNNNNNNNNNNNNNNNNNNNNNNNNNNNNNNNNNNNNNNNNNNNNNNNNNNNNNNNNNNNNNNNNNNNNNNNNNNNNNNNNNNNNNNNNNNNNNNNNNNNNNNNNNNNNNNNNNNNNNNNNNNNNNNNNNNNNNNNNNNNNNNNNNNNNNNNNNNNNNNNNNNNNNNNNNNNNNNNNNNNNNNNNNNNNNNNNNNNNNNNNNNNNNNNNNNNNNNNNNNNNNNNNNNNNNNNNNNNNNNNNNNNNNNNNNNNNNNNNNNNNNNNNNNNNNNNNNNNNNNNNNNNNNNNNNNNNNNNNNNNNNNNNNNNNNNNNNNNNNNNNNNNNNNNNNNNNNNNNNUUAAGGUGGUUAUAGAAACCCCUUAUAGGCUAUGAAUGAAAAUGGCUAGAUUAGCCAGUAGGGUGUAAGUAUAGACUCAUUGUCAUAUGGGGUAUUUGAAGGUAGUCUAAAUGCCCAUUGGGGUAAGUAAGUGUGAUGUGAGAAAACCGUAUAAGUAGAUAAUAUUGUAUGGUUAUACUAUAAGCUUAAGGUUGAUCAUGUCUAUUAUGUGACCUUACCCCUUGACCUUUUUCUCAUUGGUAGUGUAAACUAAUACUGCUUGUGAGAAAGUAUGUAGUAGAUUUUUGAAGUAUUUGGGUAGAAUAUCCCAAUUUGAAGGAUUAUUAUAUUUAUAUUAUGUUGCACUCUUCAUUGGUGGUAAAUGAUUGAUGCUAGACUAUAGGCUUGAAUUUAAAUGGUGUNNNNNNNNNNNNNNNNNNNNNNNNNNNNNNNNNNNNNNNNNNNNNNNNNNNNNNNNNNNNNNNNNNNNNNNNNNNNNNNNNNNNNNNNNNNNNNNNNNNNNNNNNNNNNNNNNNNNNNNNNNNNNNNNNNNNNNNNNNNNNNNNNNNNNNNNNNNNNNNNNNNNNNNNNNNNNNNNNNNNNNNNNNNNNNNNNNNNNNNNNNNNNNNNNNNNNNNNNNNNNNNNNNNNNNNNNNNNNNNNNNNNNNNNNNNNNNNNNNNNNNNNNNNNNNNNNNNNNNNNNNNNNNNNNNNNNNNNNNNNNNNNNNNNNNNNNNNNNNNNNNNNNNNNNNNNNNNNNNNNNNNNNNNNNNNNNNNNNNNNNNNNNNNNNNNNNNNNNNNNNNNNNUGUAGUAUUUUUCUAAGGCUAUUACAUGUUGUGUGUGGCUACUGGUCCCGUUGAGUUGCUAGGUGGAAAAAGACUAGAUAGAUGGUAUAUGGUGUUCUAAAUAGCCAAGUUAAGGACCUUUGAUUGAUAGCGUUGAGCCUUUUGAUAUGAACUUGACUCUCAUGGUAGAGAAAAAUAAGUUUGAAGUUGCUAUAUUGGUAGACUACGAUAGAAAUAAAGUGGCUCAUUGAAGACUUGGUGAUACCCAUGUUAGGUGUUAUAAUCUAAGUUCGAGUCCUUGAAAGUCAUGCUAAUAGAAAUAAGAGUAGAGACACUAGAGGGUGUGCACUUCAACUUUGGGGAUACUCAUGAAGAUUCGAAGUUAGUAAGUGUUCGAGUAAUGGAUGAUGACUAUUGGGGUUACAGAAUGAUAGAGUGUGCCUCAGGAGGUAGUAUUAGCAGUGGGCGUUCCACUCCCAUAUGUGGUCUUUCGGGUUAAGUUUUAUUAAUUUUGUGUAUUGUCAUAUUUUAGAACCCAGAGUGCAGUGAGUACAGUUAUGUUUAAAGUCUAGUAAGGUAUCUCCUAAAAACUUAAGAUGAUGGCUUGAAACUAAGUGGGAGAUGACUAAACGAAUAACAAGUAAGACUCUCAGAUUCUUGUAGUGAUGUCAUGAUGAUAUAGAACAUCAAAAAGUAAGGGUGAAUCUCAACCCAUUCCUAUAUCAGUAUUUCUCAGUGAUCCUAAUACCUACUCAUGCUUUACGAUUUAGUUCCAUGAUUAGUUCACGUUCAUACAUAUGAUAGAGAGUCAUGUACUCACGCUUUAUAAUGUGCUCCAUUUCCAUAACUCAUGUUUUACGCCAAAUGAUUUGCGAGAUUCAGCUUAUAGCUAUGAAUACCCUCAAUUCAGAGCGCUUUGGUGAGUCCCUGUUGUUGUUUUGCUAUUCCUCAGGCCUCAGAUGAGUGUCAAGCUUCAUAUAGCAUCAUUCCAUGCCUCCAGAUCUUAUGUUUUAACCUUUUUGUGACUCCUCCUUAUGCGAUGAUAGUGGUGGUGAGUAAUUAUUCCUUGUUGAUGGAAGAUGAUAGUACGCUUGUUUAUAUAAGGCCAUAAGUAUGAAGUAAGAUUUGGGGCCAAGUUUUUACUUAUAUAAUUGUUAGUGGAAUUUUGUAUGUGUAUGUUCUUGGGGUAGCUCGUGGGAGUGAUAUUGAUAGUGGUUUAGAGAAUAUGUGAAGUAUGCCUUUGUGAGUGUUUUCUUUGAAGUUCAUUUGUGGUUAUAAAGAUAGGCUUGAAUGACAUGUUGAGGUUGUUGUAAAGGAAUGCUAUAUGCGCUAGCGACUUCCUAGUAAAAGUUCAGAGUAGUCAUUAAAGUGGUAAGGCAUGUUAUACUUACGAUGUGAUCUUUAAAGGAGAUAUAGAAGAUUGCAUCAUAUGGUUUAGAAUAAUAGCGUGGUCUGGCAUGUUGUAUUUUUGUAACUUAGAGUUAGGUUUGAUCAUGGCGAAGGGAUUAAGUUAUUUUCGACAUUAGUAAAGAGAUUUGUAAAUGCUCAUAUGAGAAUUUUAAGCUGAGUUGAAUGAAUAUGAUAUUUAAGGAGAAUAGUAUAGUUAAGUGAUAUUCGAGAAGUGUGCUAAGCUUGAAAGUAAGAAGUUGUAAUGCCAAAGGCCUGGUAAUUCUAUCCUAAUUCAGGAGUUAUAUGCCUAUGUUCUAGACUGCAGAGUAGUGUCAAUGUGGUGAUUCCUCAGUUGGAUGUCUUGUGUAAUCCAUACCCAAGAUUCAUGGCUCCCUAUUACUGCUAGAAUUUCUUUAGAGAAUUGUGCUGAAGAGAUACUCCAGUUAAGUAUGAGGGUGUAGUAUAAUUUAGUCUCUAUGGCCAAUAAGUCAGUUUAGCAGUCAGAUUUGCAUGACUUGUUUUCUCGUCUUUGCACUUAUUCAUGCUACUCGAAAUCUCAGAUAUGCUACUAUUUCAAGAUAGAGUAUAUUAGUAGUUACGAGUAUAGCCCAUUUCAUGCAUCAUGCAUUAAAUUCAGAUUUCAGAGGUUCAGUUAUGAUUCAUUUCGUAGGUGCCCUGUGCAUCGCCUCAGUUUUCUGAGUACCUUAGUGGAUUGAGCAUUCAUAGAGGGACAUAGGGUACUAAAGGGAAGAUACCCCAUUCAGUUGCACGCAUAGAUUCUUAUUACGAGCUUCACAUCAGUUAUUAUUGCGUAUUUAGCCAUACGUUCGUACAUCAGUUCAGCCAGAUAUGCAUGUAUUAGAAAUGCAUGUUCAAUAGAAAAGUUCAGGUUAUCAGUGUAUUCAGUCCUGCAUUCAUGAGAACAACUCGGUCACAGAUCCAUGCAUCAGAUAUGCAUGAUUCAUUCUGAGAAUUCAACCUAUGAGUAGCUUCAGUCGUGUAUUCCAUGCCUCGGAUAUGCAUGUCCGACAUAAGCAUUUAAAACAUCAGUAGUUCCAAUCUUAUAGUCAUGUUUUCGAUCAGUGUAUUCUUUGUUAGGGAAUAUAUCAUGUCCGCGUUAUACCAUACCCUUAAGACUUUGACAUUCUAUCCAUCAUUCGGGGUAGAAAGAUCCCAAGGGGGAGAUAAUGUAACACUCCGCAUUUCGGGAUAGAAUAAAAACCAUGACUCUGAUGCGUUGAUAAUCCCAGAGCCUUAAAUACUAUGUCAAUUUGGCAUGUUUAUGUAGUAUGUGAAUCCAUUUGAGCAUGAAUUUAGACCGUAGAGGUCCUUCAACUCAAGGAUGAGUUGAAACUAUUUCGAUCGAUUAAGUUUUAGUGGAUGUUGUAAUUAGUGUCAGCUUCCAUCAACCAUAACUCUUUUUAUAUGUUGAAUUAGAGAGCCUACUAUGUGUCAAAUGAUAGGUCUUCGAGUUAACUUUCCAACGAUACCAAUUUUGCUAAAAUCUAACACCUGAGCAAGAAGUUAUGGCCUUUUAAAGUAGUAUGCGUCACCUAACCAAUUGCACAUGGCCACUGGAAAGCAUAUGCGAUAGCAUAUGCAGCGCCUAUGUAAAUAUAGGUGAUAUCAUAUGCGGCNNNNNNNNNNNNNNNNNNNNNNNNNNNNNNNNNNNNNNNNNNNNNNNNNNNNNNNNNNNNNNNNNNNNNNNNNNNNNNNNNNNNNNNNNNNNNNNNNNNNNNNNNNNNNNNNNNNNNNNNNNNNNNNNNNNNNNNNNNNNNNNNNNNNNNNNNNNNNNNNNNNNNNNNNNNNNNNNNNNNNNNNNNNNNNNNNNNNNNNNNNNNNNNNNNNNNNNNNNNNNNNNNNNNNNNNNNNNNNNNNNNNNNNNNNNNNNNNNNNNNNNNNNNNNNNNNNNNNNNNNNNNNNNNNCCAAUCCACAGGCUUCAAGAAGCACCCAUUAUUUUUCAAAAUAAAAGUACGCGGGAUUUUUCUAAAUUCUCAUGGGCAUAGAAAAAUCAUGUUUUAGAAUGGGGUUUUUGAAUCUAUGUAUAUAUUCAUGUAUUAAAUGUUUUAACAUCAUAGUUUUGGUCUUUUGACCUUUCCCAAAGUGAUUUGAGAAUAUGAAUGUAUGAAACCAAGUAUUUAAGAAUGAAUUCUUGUUGAGAGCAUGAUAUUUGGUGAAUUCCCUCUUAUUAUGAAUUUUUCAGAUUCUCAUAGCAUAUGAAUUGUUUUGCAAUGCAUCCUUGAAAAGCACUAUAUGAAAUGAUUGAACUCUUGUUAUGAUUUAAAGGUGGUUUUAAAUCACUAAAGAGGGAACCUAGCAUGAAUGUUUAAUGAUCAUAAUGCAUGUAAUGAAAGAGUUCAUAGAUUUGCUAAAGGCACUAGACCACCAUAUGUUGAUGAAGUUUUUCCAUGAUGUUGACUUGGGUUUCGAAACACGAAAUAUUCUAUAUCAGUUGCAUGUUUUUGGUGGUCUAAAUUAUGCUUUAAAUGAAAGAUUUAGCUUAAUGUAUUAUUUUUCAGAAAUCAUGACUUACAAGUCCUGGUAUGACGAUACCAAUUCAGACCAAUGCCAUAUCAGACUCAGAAUAAUAGACAUUUCAGACUAUCAUGCUUUUAGACAUUCAGAAUAUUGUAUGUACAGAAAAGGUUAAAAAUGGGCAUACAAAGAUGUUAGGUGGUUCCCUGAAGAGGGCUUGAGUUCAAGCAACUCAUUUCCUAAAACCUUGGUUUGCCGACCCGAGUAUAUUAUUAAACGCUGACUUAAGUGUCGUGUGGCAUAUCAGAUUCAGGAACUCCAACUCUUUCGGCAUACUCGGGUUGGAGGCUUCCCCACCGAGUCAAUGGAGGAUUCCAUAUCGCCCGUGGAAUAUCAUACUUGUAGGGGAUACCACCUAACUCAGAAGUAAUACACAGAUAAGAGUUUGAGAUUUACAGACAGGUUGCAUGUUUUCAGAAGGUACCCAUAUGUUUUUCAUAAACUGUUUUAUGCAUAAUGUUUGGUGAACAUUUGCUCUCACGUAUUAUAUAAAUAUAUAUAUAUGUUCAAUUACUCUAUUUUGGAUUGCUUUGCAUACCAGUACUUUUGUGCUGACCCCAUCCCCCCUCCAAGCUCUCAGGUUCUGAGGCUCUGUAUAGGGGUCCAGAUAAGCAGUAGAUAGUCAGACUUGUUGAUCAGACUGUGCAGUGGUGAGCCUUCUUUACUCCAGAAGGCCUGCAGAUUGUUCAGAGUAUUAUUAGUAGUUAUAUUUUGGUCUACUGGGGGUCUUGUCCCAUUUUUUUUCAGACAGCUGCUUAUGUUCUUAGUAGAGAUUUCGCAGACUGAUGUUAGAUAUUACUAUUUCAGAUUUGACCAUGUUUCCAUAACAUUAUUUAUCUUCCGUAUUUCUUUAUCAUAUGAAUUAUGUGCAUGAUUACCAGAUAGACAGAGGGCGUUUCGGGCCUUUGGGUUUAGGAAUGCUCGUCACGGCCAAGGCCCCGGUUCAGGUCGUGACACAAAGUCUGCAGAUCCCGAUCACACAAUCACCUAUAAUACCGAGCAAACUAUGCUACUCGGCUUUCAACUCAAGAGGCUCCUUGGAUUUUUGAUACUGGCGCCACUCAUCAUAUGGCCGCAGAUGUUCAAAACUUCACUGAUGAGCAAAACUACCACAGUCCAGAGGAGAUAGAAAUGGGAGAUGGUAGCAGCAUUCCAAUAUCUCAUAUCGGUAACACCAACAUAAGUGCAUUAAUUAUCAAUUUAAUCUUCUCAAUACCUUAUGCUCUCAUGAUAUAAAAAAUAACCUUAUUUCUAUUUCUAAAUUUUGUUGUGAUAACCACACCUCCAUUGAAUUUUUUCCUUUUUCUUAUCUUGUGAAGGAUCUGAGUACGGGGACGCCUCUAUUUUGCUGGUAGAAUAGAGAUGGGUUGUAUGAGUGGCGGUCGGGUAGUGAGCACCAUUCACUACAAUGCAAUGUUGUCAUUCCUUUACACCUAUGGCAUCGGUGUUUAGGUCAUCCUAGUAUCGUAUUUUAAAUAGGAUUUUGCAUCAGUUCUCUCUUCCAGUUUCACAUUCUAGAACCAAUUCAGUUUGUAAUUCGUGUUAUUCUAAUAAAAUGCACAGGUUACCUUUUCUGAAAAUUCAUUGCAAAGUAAACGACCAUUGCAAAUUAUUUAUAGAGAUUUAUGGGGGCCCUCUCCUAUUUUGUCAAUCGAUAACAAGCGAUAUUAUGUCUUAUUUGUUGACCAUUACUCGAAAUACAUGUGGUUGUUCACUAUAAAAUCAAAAAAGGAAGUUCUUGAUGUCUUUCAAGCUUUACAUCCCUUGAGCGACGGUUUCAAAACAAAAUUUUGUCUUUCUAUACAGACAGUGGUGGUGAAUUUCAAGGUUUAUCAUCAUACCUCAAAAGUCAUUGUAUUGAACACUUAGUGACCCCUCCUUACACACCCCAAAGAGUCGCACUAGUUAAAUGCCAUCACAGGCACGUUAUUGAGACAGCCAAAACCUUGCUGCACCAAGCCUCAUUGCCCCCGAUUUUUUGGAUUUUUGCCUGUCACCAAGCAGUUUACCUUAUAAAUAGUCUAACAACUCCAAAUUUACAAAAUAAAUGUCCCUAUGAAAUUCUAUUUCAAGAGUCUCCAAAGUAUGAAUCCCUUAGAGUUUUUGGUUGUUUAUGCUACCCAUGGCUCAAACCAUAUGGAAAAAUAAAUUAGAACCAAGAUAUAAUCCCUAUGUGUAUUUAGGAUUUUCUAAUAAACAUUAUUGCCACCGAUGUUUUGAUCCCGUCAGGAAUAAAUUAUACUUAUCAAGGGGUGUUCUGUUUUUGGAAGAUACCUAUCCUUUUCAGAAUAUGUUUUCCAAUUUAAAACUUAAACAGAGCGAUAAUAUUUCCUGGGAAAUUUGUUCUGAUGUUCAACCUUUGAAUCAUGAACCGUCAAGUUCAGACUCUUGUCAUCCACUCCCAGAUGCUCUGCCCGUGCAGUCUCCACUAUCCAGCUCAACGUCUGCCACACCAGAAGGUGUCUCCGCUACAUCAGGUAAUUCUCAAAAUUUAUAUUCUCCUUUGUUGCCACCUGUAAUUCCACCCCCCCAUGAUAAUACUCAACCACUACCAUCAUCCAAACCAUUAAUCACCUAUCAACGCAAAAAUUGUCCACAACCAAACACCUCAUUGAUGCCACUUCCUUCCAUUGUCCAGUUCCCCAGCCCGCCUUCUCAAUCACCCAAUGACAACCCUUCCCAGAGCACACUUGCUUUGAUUCCGUCCACUCCUUCACCUGUGGUGACCACUUCAACUUAUCCCAUGGUCACACGCUCUAAAACAAAUAACCUCAAACCCAAGCAGUUUAGUGUUAGCGUCCAACUUUCCUUGCCAUUUUUUCCUCAUACAUAUAAACAAGCAUGUCCUCACCCUCACUGGAGAGAAGCCAUGAAAGCUGAAUUUGAUGCCCUUGUUAGGAAUCAUACAUGGGAUUUGGUUCCAGCUGCUCCUUCGAUGAAUGUGGUUGACUGAAAGUGGUUGUUUCAUAUAAAACAUAAAUCUUAUGGUUCCAUUGACAGGUACAAAGCUCGGCUUGUUGUAAAGGGAUUUACCCAGCAUCCGGGAUUAGACUGUGAUUCAAAUUUUAGCCCGGUAGUCAAACCAGUAACUGUUCUGUUGGUGCUUACUAUUGUGACACAGUACAACUGGCCUAUCCAUUAGAUUGAUGUAAAUAAUGCCUUCCUACAAAGAUGUAUUGAGGAAGAAGUGUAUAUGAGGCAGCCACCGGGCUUUGAAGAUCGAAGCCUCUCCAUCCAUGUCCGUAAGCUGAACAAAGCAAUCUAUGGAUUGAAACAAGCUCCCUGAGCAUAGUACACCGAGUUCAAAAAUUAUUUUUUAACUGUUGGGUUUGCCAAGUCUCAAUCUGACUCUUCUUUAUUUAUUUUGCAUAAAUUUGGGAUCACUGUCUAUUUUCUUAUCUAUGUGGAUGAUAUAAUUAUCACUGGAAAUCAGAUUUGGGGGUUCGUCAUGUAAUAGUUGGUCUUUCCAAUCUCUUCUCUUUGAAAGACCUUGGACAACUCCAUUACUUUUUGGGUGUUGAGGUUAUCUCUUCUACUGAUGGUCUUUUUUUUAUCUCAGCACAAGUAUAUUAUGGAUCUUUUACAUGACGUUGGCAUGAUAGGUUUUAAAGGAGCCCCUACACCUAUGACUUCAACUGCCACUUUGACAGCUUCGGUGAAUGAUCCUCCAACUGAUGGUAAUAUUUAUCGAUGGGUAAUUGGAAAGUUGCACUACUUAUCCUUUAUACGUCCUAAUAUUGCCUUCACAGUUAGCAAGUUUUCUCAAUUUAUGCACAAUCCACGUCACUGUCACUGGAAAGCAGUCAAGGGAUUACUUUAUUAUCUUUAUCACACCUGCCAAUAUGGUAUACGGAUCACAAAAGCUCCAGAUUCUCAUCUGGUUGUUUAUUUUGAUUCGGAUUGGGCUGGCGAUUCGAAAGAUCGUACCUCUCUAGAUGGAUAUGGUAUUUUCAUGGGCAGCACACCAAUUUCCUGGUCCUCAAAGAAACAACGCUCAGUCUCUCGAUCCUCUACAGAAGCUGAGUACAGAGGUGUGGCUGCUGCUGUUCCAGAAACCAACUGGCUCACAAAUCUUCUUCGUGAAAUUUGUCUUUCACUUAAGGGGGUUCCGCAGGUUUUCUGUGACAACAUAAGCACCACUUACAUUUGUUCCAAUCCAGUUUUCCAAAGUAGGAUGAAGCAUGUAGCCAUUGAUUUUCACUUUGUUCGUGAACAAGUCCAGAACAAAGAUAUUGAAGUACAUCAUGUUCACUCAGCUGAUCAAGUGGCUGACAUACUCACAAAACCACUUACCAAAGCCACUUUUGUACAGCAAUUUUCCAAGUUGGGUGUUGUUGACACCACUAACUUGCGGGGGCGUAAUAAAGGAUAAAAUCAACUCCUAUUUUUUAAAUUUCAAAUUUAGUAGUUCCUUCUCUUUAGGACUCUUGUAUAUAGAUAAGUAUUAUCCUUUUCUUAGUUUAUCUCUUUGUUGUAUUGUAUUUAUAUAUACUCAGACUACAAUCAAUGAGAAGUAUCGUUCCUUUCAUUCCAUUAACAAUCUUAUACUUCAUAUCUAUUACCCGAACCUAAUUUUAGCAUAUUUUUGUCACUCCUUUUGUACUGACGUGGCACCUUUAUUAGAUAAAAUGGAGCCCACUUCAAAGGUGCUACAUCAUCGAUAAAGCCUGCCAAAAGGUGUCAGUCAGCUAACAAGGUUCACAAAAAUACGCUAAAAUUUAGUUCAAGGGGUAAUAGGACUCCUGUGAGGUUGGAGUGUGUUGUAGCAAAUUCGUUCAUAGCUCAGGUGGUACUAGAUAUUUUACUCUUAAGCAAACUCUCAAUACUUUGUUCACAUUAUAUUAUUUCCUUCGUUUCAUUUUGUUUGACACUAUUUUCUUAUUACAUCGUCAAAAUAAUAUUAACAUUCUUAUAAUUUAUUAAUUAAAAGCAUUUAUAUUCAAACAAAUAUUAUGACAUGUGUUAGAGUUUGUGACCCGAAUUUUAUUGAUCCAGACCUGAAAAGUUCAUGGUGCAAUCCAUGUUUGAGAUUUUUUGGGGGGUCUGUGGUGGUAGCGGAGGGAUUGAGCCGAUAGUGAGUUAUUUUUGGGCUUAGUAUUUAUUUGUACGCACGUAUUAUAUAAGUCCGUUUAGUGGAUUGUUUUUGGUGGUUUUUGAUAUACGUCAUUGACACUUUUGUCUCCUCCUUGUAUUCCUCUCCAUUAUAGUGAAUUUCCUCCUCCUCUGCCCAUGGUUUUUCCCGUCAAGGGUUUCCACGUAAAAUUUGUGUGUUCUUGUUUUCUUUUGUUUGUGGUAUUGCUUAUUCCUGUCCAUUCAAUAACAACAUGUUUAUUGUUAGGACCCAAAUAAUCAGUCUUUAUGCGGAUACUAACCAAGAAAACCUCGAAAGAUGCUAAAGUAUAUAAAGGAAAAAGAACACAAGGCAAUCAAACUUCUGAAUUUGUUAUAAUCUUACCUUUUGACAACUUAAUGUUCAGCAAACCAUGAUUAAUAGAACACCUCUUGUUUCAGAAAUAGUAAGUUUGAAAGAAAUUGGCUAAACAAGUAUUUUGAAAGUUCACCAACAGACAGAAGAAUGAAAUUCCAAGAUAAUCAGGACAGUAUGGGAUUCAAUUUCAAUGUGGCCUUACCUGUCUGCCAUUUUUCACAGUGAUUUGAUUAAUGGAAUCCAAGGAUGCAUACAGUAUAAAGAUUCAGCGAAGGAGAUCAAAAGGAUAAUUUUAUUAACUCUGGCAGCAAGCUUUUAAAUACACAAUAUACAACUAACUGGACCUAAAGUGCAGGCCACUAUCUGCACAUUAUCUAUAGCUAACUAACUAAAGCUAACUAUUCCUAAAUAUGCUCCAAACAUCAGAGACUUAGUCAAAUUGUAAAAACUAGUAACAAGAGAUAAAUAAAGAUAGUUAAUACACCCCCUCAAGUUAGGUAAGGUGAAACAAUGCCUAACUUGGAACGACACCUAAUAAAGGCUGAUCUAGGCAGUGGCUUGGUGAAGGUAUCAGCAAGUUGAUCACAAGCAUGAGUAUGAGUAACAUUAACUAAAUGAGCAUGAACCUGAUCACAGCCAUAUGCAAAAUCUACGGGUAUGGAACACUGGGUUGUGAGAUAGAUAAGUUACUCCAACAUUGUCACAGUAGAUUGUUAGAAUCUUCGGAAUGGUGACAUGUAAUUCAUGAAGUAAGUUUUGCACCCAUGUGAUCUCUGCAAGUGCAUUGGCUACUGAUUUGUACUCUGCCUCAGUGGACGAGCGAGCCACUGCACGUUACUUUAUGGAUGACCAACUAACUGGAUUUGAUCCAAAGAAAAGUAUGUAACCUAAUAUAGAGAUUCUAUCAUUUGGAUUGCCAGUCGGCAUCAGCAUACGUAUACAAAUUGGAGUCAGAGCUACGAAGGAUGCGAAGUCCUGAACUUGCGGUUUCUUUGAGAUACCAUAGGACUAAUUUAACUGCUUUCCAAUGUUCAUCAGUCGAAGUAUGCAUAAAUUGUGACAAUUUAUUGACUGCAUAAGAUAUGUCAGGCUGAGUGAGGGACAGUUACUGCAAUUUGCCAAGGGUACGCCGGUAGCUUGUGGCAUCAGUUGGUGGCGAACCAUCAUCUACUCAAAGGGGUACACUGGAACACAUGGGAGUGGAAACACCUUUACAAUUAUCCAUAGCUAUUUCAGAAAGAAUUUCCAAAAUGUAUUUUGAUUGAGAAAGAAUGAGACCACCUAGUACUUGCUUAACAUCAACACCCAAAAAGUAGUUUAGAUAGCCAAGAUCCUUCAAUGAAAAUCUUUCUGCCAAGGAAAUGAUAACACAUUUAAUCAUGUGUGGAUGGUUUCCAGUGAUUAUGACGUCAUCAACAUAGACAAGAACAUAAAUGGUUACAGCCAAAUGCUUCCAUACAAACAAAGAGGUGUCAGAUUCUAUUCUGACAAAGUUCAGUUUCAGCAGAUGUUCAUGCAGAGCAUUAUACCAAGCCUGGGGAGCUUGUUUGAGGCCAUAGAUAGCCUUCUUCAAUUUGCAGACAUGAGUUGGAAAUUGGGGAUUAAUAAAGCCUCGGGGUUGCGACAUAAAAACUUCUUGAUCCAAUUUUCCUUGUAGGAAAGCAUUAUAAAGUUUAAACUAUUCUUUGCUAGCAAUAACAGGUAAAGAAAAUUUCCCCAAAAUAAAAUUUAGACUUCUAGAGUGGGGAUGACCCAAUCGACAAUGCCAAUGUUGAAGUGGGGCUUUUGUGGAGGCAAGGUGAAUGGAAGGUUUCCUUGAUGGCAAACAUGGACACUCAUACAGUUUAUUUUUGUUCCAACCUUGUACCAGCGGCUUUAGAGUAUGCAAGUCCUUCACAACAAAAGUAAAAGGAAAAAAUUCAAUAGACGUGAGGUUAUCUUGACAAAACUUAGCAAUAGAGAUGAGAUUCUUUUUUAUUAAUGGAGGACAAAGUGUGUCAGAAAGCUUAAAAGCAAAUUUAGAUGCCUGAAUUAGAGUUGAACCAAUAUGAAUGAUGGGAAUGGUUUUACCGUCACCCAUAGAGAUUUCUUCGGUUCCUGUAUACCCUUCAAGGUUGUGAGGUUCGACAGUGACAUGGUGAGUUGCUCCAGUGUCUAAAACCCAAGAGUUUCUAGACGAUUGCUGCCCAGAUGCAAAGUUAGCCUAAGCUUCAAAAUGAUUGUGCAACUUGGAGCGACAAACAUCUGCCGUGUGACCAAACUUUUGGCACAACUUACAUUUGAAAAAUUGCUUGGGUGGUCGCUCAUUUUGCUGAUUGUUGGAAUUUGAUUGCUGAUUGUUAGAAUUCCAUUGUUAAGACUACGAUGUUUCCAUGGCUGAUUGUUGAAGUGAGGAUUGUUCCUAUUGAAUGUGGAUGCGUGUUGGACUUCUAAGCAACAGCAGCUGAGAUCAUAGAUGGUUUUUCCAGAUCUUGAUAUUUUAGAAAAAGCUCAUGAUCUGUGAGCUUGUGAAAUAAUUCUUCAAAGCUCAAAGGAGAGUCUCGUGCUCAUAUCCUAGCAGAGAUUUCACGAUACUCGGGGCCUAGGCCACUUAAAAUUUUGACAAUAAGUUUAACAUCACUGAUAGGUGAACCAGCAACUUUAAGAGCAUCAGAGAGGGAACAAACCUCCUAUAAGUAUUCUGCAAUGGUUUUGGAAGUCUUCUUGGUGUUCUGCAGUUGAUCUCGCAAGCUGAAGAUGUAAGUAUGGCAUUUGUUGGCGUAGGUUGUGUGAAGGAGUUCUCACGCUUUGUUAGCAGAUGGUGCUGCUGCAAUAGUUAGAGCAAUUGUAGGAUUGACUGAUGUCAUCAUUGCUUGUUAGGUCAAUUGAUCCUGGGAGAACCAGAUCUGAUAACUGGGAUUUAGUACAGUAAGACCAUUUUAGGUAAUAGUAGGUGAUGGAGCAAUUGUGGUUCCAUCAAGAUGUCCCAUGAGUUGAUGCCCAUUUAGUAGCAUUACAAGUUGUGCUUUCCAUGUUGAGAAGUUGAGAUUACCUUGUAGUUUAAUAGGUAAUUGAGCAAUGGGAUUAAAUUGUACCACAUGAGUAGUGGUAGAAACUCCAUAACCACUGGCAUUAACAGCAUCAUUUACUUGAGCCAUAGAUGAGAAAGAUUAAGGAGAAUGAAAUCGAUCUGACUUGGUGGAGCUUAUGGGUGUCUGAUACCAUAUAAAGAUUCAUAGAAGGAGAUCAAAAGGAUAAUUUUAUUAACUCUAGCAGCAAGCUUUUAAAUACACAAUAUACAACUAACUGGACCUAAAGUGAAGGCCACUAUCUGCUCAUUAUCUACAGCUAACUAACUAAAGCUAAUUAUUCCUAAAUAUGCUCCAAACAUCAGAGACUUAGUCAAUUUGUAACAACUAGUAACAAGAGGUAAAUAAAGAUAGUUAAUAUACAGGAUUUUGUAUGGGCCGUUACCUGUCUGCCACUUUUCACAGUGAUUGAUUGUAAAAUUGUGUAUUUAUAAAAAAAGUGUGAAACAAAGAAAUCAACAAAUGAAAUUGUGUAGUUAUCAAAGUUUCUAAGUUUUCUAACGAGGUAAGGCACAAAUAUACCCCUAAACUAUACCUGAAGUUCCUAUUACCUCUUAAACUCAUUUUUUUCUAAUUAGCUUAAGAUUGAUGUCGCGAUGAAACAUGAUCGUAUCAUAUACUCAUUGCUACAUAAUAUUCACAAAUAGUUCUUAGUGGUUGUUCCUAUUCACUUUGGUGGCACGUUGGAGGAUCUAUACAAGACAUAGUUUGUUCAAUUGGAAUAUUAAUACUACUACUGAAUGUCCGCUAUGAGAGGUUGCUGAUGAAAUGUUGAGCAUCUAUUUUUUAGGUGUCCAUACUCAGCGGACAUAUGGCGCAGGCCCCUUCUUUGGUUAAAUAUUAACAAACAGGCAAUAGUGGUUAAUACUGGUGGUAAUUGACGUUGGCAAUUGAUUCAAAUGUGUGAAUUUUAAUACAAUUCCAAAAGAAAACUACAAUUGAAUUCUCCUCAGUUGAAUGAAGGAGAUCCAAUGAUCAUUAGAUACAGCAUCCCUCAACUUUAAAAUGCUUAUCGAUGGACGAUACUUGGUGCACAUAAAUUCCACCACCCUGCAUCACCAAUAGUUGCAGUGAACGUGCAUGGUCAAGGGAGAAAUUAAUGGUGUAUGAGAUUCAAAAGCCUUCUUCAAUGACCUUUAGCUACCAUGUUCCAUCGACUACAACCAGCACGCUAAACCUACAAAAGAGGCUCGAGCAAAAAAGUGUGGAGAAAGAUCAACGUAGAACUGAUAACUGCAGUUCUCCUAUGCAGAACAAUGGAUCAAUACCCGGUUCUAUAUAAAGUUGAUGCUGCUGCAUCUUCAUCAACGGUCCAAGUAGAAUCAGUCAUGCCGAACCUCCGUCCUGUAUAUGAAGAGUUCUCGACUGGGAAACUUUAUGGUCUCAUGUACGGAUUACCCUAACCCUUGGAAACCUCUGAACUAGCAGUAAACAUGUGCCAUAACUUACUAAACAAGCAGACAUCCAAAGAUACUGCAUAGUCUCCAGCCUUGCAGCAUUGACCAACAGCCUUGUCACUGAAGGAACAGUCUCUAAUCUCCAAGGAGAGGACAUUGUGGAGGCCUAGAUCACUAUUACCCAUCAAGAUGUCCCAUGAGUUGAUGCCCAUUUAGUAGCAUUACAAGUUGUGCUUUCCAUGUUGAGAAGUUGAGAUUACCUUGUAGUUUAAUAGGUAACUGAGCAAUGGGAUUAAAUUGUACCACAUGAGUAGUGGUAGAAACUCCAUAACCACUGGCAUUAACAACAUCAUUUACUUGAGCCAUAGAUGAGAAAGAUUAAGGAGAAUGAAAUCGAUCUGUCUUGGUGGAGCUUAUGGGUGUCUGAUACCAUAUAAAGAUUCAUAGAAGGAGAUCAAAAGGAUAAUUUUAUUAACUCUAGCAGCAAGCUUUUAAAUACACAAUAUACAACUAACUGGACCUAAAGUGAAGGCCACUAUCUGCUCAUUAUCUACAGCUAACUAACUAAAGCUAAUUAUUCCUAAAUAUGCUCCAAACAUCAGAGACUUAGUCAAUUUGUAACAACUAGUAACAAGAGGUAAAUAAAGAUAGUUAAUAUACAGGAUUUUGUAUGGGCCGUUACCUGUCUGCCACUUUUCACAGUGAUUGAUUGUAAAAUUGUGUAUUUAUAAAAAAAGUGUGAAACAAAGAAAUCAACAAAUGAAAUUGUGUAGUUAUCAAAGUUUCUAAGUUUUCUAACGAGGUAAGGCACAAAUAUACCCCUAAACUAUACCUGAAGUUCCUAUUACCUCUUAAACUCAUUUUUUUCUAAUUAGCUUAAGAUUGAUGUCGCGAUGAAACAUGAUCGUAUCAUAUACUCAUUGCUACAUAAUAUUCACAAAUAGUUCUUAGUGGUUGUUCCUAUUCACUUUGGUGGCACGUUGGAGGAUCUAUACAAGACAUAGUUUGUUCAAUUGGAAUAUUAAUACUACUACUGAAUGUCCGCUAUGAGAGGUUGCUGAUGAAAUGUUGAGCAUCUAUUUUUUAGGUGUCCAUACUCAGCGGACAUAUGGCGCAGGCCCCUUCUUUGGUUAAAUAUUAACAAACAGGCAAUAGUGGUUAAUACUGGUGGUAAUUGACGUUGGCAAUUGAUUCAAAUGUGUGAAUUUUAAUACAAUUCCAAAAGAAAACUACAAUUGAAUUCUCCUCAGUUGAAUGAAGGAGAUCCAAUGAUCAUUAGAUACAGCAUCCCUCAACUUUAAAAUGCUUAUCGAUGGACGAUACUUGGUGCACAUAAAUUCCACCACCCUGCAUCACCAAUAGUUGCAGUGAACGUGCAUGGUCAAGGGAGAAAUUAAUGGUGUAUGAGAUUCAAAAGCCUUCUUCAAUGACCUUUAGCUACCAUGUUCCAUCGACUACAACCAGCACGCUAAACCUACAAAAGAGGCUCGAGCAAAAAAGUGUGGAGAAAGAUCAACGUAGAACUGAUAACUGCAGUUCUCCUAUGCAGAACAAUGGAUCAAUACCUGGUUCUAUAUAAAGUUGAUGUUGCUGCAUCUUCAUCAACGGUCCAAGUAGAAUCAGUCAUGCCGAACCUCCGUCCUGUAUAUGAAGAGUUCUCGACUGGGAAACUUUAUGGUCUCAUGUACGAAUUACCCUAACCCUUGGAAACCUCUGAACUAGCAGUAAACAUGUGCCAUAACUUACUAAACAAGAAGACAUCCAAAGAUACUGCAUAGUCUCCAGCCUUGCAGCAUUGACCAACAGCCUUGUCACUGAAGGAACAGUCUCUAAUCUCCAAGGAGAGGACAUUGUGGAGGCCUAAAUCACUAUUACCCACCAAAGAUACGAAGAGCAUCUCUAGAUUUUUAGCAUGGGCCCUGAUGUAAUAGAACACGCGAUCUUUAAGGAGGCCAGAAAGGGCCCCAAAACCAGCAUCGAGCGGUCCAAGGGUUAGGUAAUCAGGAUAUUGAGGACUGACUAAACACAAACGAAAUAGGAUCAAGUUAGUACGGUUCCUUGUAAUAGUAACUAAGGAGGAAUUUUUCAUUUUGCGGCAGAAGUAUAGAACUGAGUGGAGCUUAGGAAAGCACACAGAGAUAUGUACAAGGCCUUGCUCUGUCAAGGAUACAUUCGGUUCUUACGCAUAAGUAAAUUCCCUAAGGUCUCAAGGUCCUUACAAUAGGUGGCAAUAUCCUCAAGACCGAUUUCUUCAACAUAACCACGCACCUGCAGUCACAUUCAGAUACAAACUAAGAUUAAAAUAUUUUUCACCUGUAAGGACAAAAGUACUAGAAAAAGGGUAAUCUACAAGGAAAAACAUACUCUCUCCAUUUCUAUGCAUGUGUGUUACCUUACUUUUUAUCCCUUUAAAAAAAAGAGCAUAUCAUUUUGUAUUUAGUAUGAUUUUAAUUCUAGCAUUGUCAUUUUACAUUCAAUGAUACUCCCAUGUCGGAAUGUUGUGGCAGGUCUGAGACCACAAGAUUCCAUUUUAUCACGAGCACAGUUGUUAUAUCUAGUCUCGAAACUAUUAAGAACAUAUAAAUCUAUUGAAAAAGAAACAUCAAGCUAGAACUCAUAAUAUGUGGUACCAUGGCUCAAAAUCAAAGACACGAGGUUGUCGUGGACAUGACAUAUAAGUGAAAAAAUAUGCUGGCACUCAGUGGCGGAGCCAUACUUUUCUUUAAGGGGAUUUAGAAGUAAAUAUAUGGAUUAGUUGAAGGGGGUUCAACAUCUAUAAUACAUACAUAAAAAUAUUUUUGACCAUAUAAAAAUAGUAUAAUUUUUCGACGAAGGAUUUCAGAUGAACCCCCUGAAUUGCAUGUGGCUUCGCCACUACUGACACUGUGUCCCAAAAGCAUAAUGCACAUUUAUCUAAACUCCAUCAGGAUUAACCUGUAUGCCAGUAAAGUAGGCUCCAGUAUCUAUAAAUGUAGAGAAUGAAGAUGAAGUUGUUUGAUUUCAUUGAUAUUUAUGUGUAUAUAUACAAGAGAACACAAACUAAAUAAGGAAAGAAUCAACUAAUAAAGAAUUGUGAUCUUCUCCUAAGUAGAAACUGAAUCACUAUAAGAUACUAAAUCAAUCAUGAGAUAUCUUAACAUGUGGUACAUGCUCUAUUAUGCGCCCCUCAAGUUAGGUGUGACAAGACAACACCUAAUUUGGGUAGCAUCCACUAGAAGGCUAGCUUAGACAAUGGUUUGGUGAGUGGAUCUGCAACUUGAUCAGUGGAGUGGAUGUGUGAUACUCGGACAAGGCCAUUGCGAACUUUAUUGUGAACAAAGUAAAGAUUGAACUUGAGGUGCUUUAUUUUUGUAUGAUGUACCAGGUUUUUAGAAAUGUAUGUGACCCUAAGGUUAUCACAAAGCACUGUAGGUGUAGUAGAGAGUGGCACAUAAAGAUCCCUGAGCAAGUGAGUGGUCCAGUUUAUUUUAGCUAAGGCAGAGGCAACUACCCUAUACUCAGCCUCACUGGAGGAUCAGGAGAUGGUGGGCUGCUUAUGAGAAUUCCAGGAAAUAGGAUUCUUACCUAGAAAAACAAUUUAGCAAGAGAUUUAACAGCAAUCAUUAAUAUCGCCCGCCCAAUCAGCAUCAGCAUAGGCAUAAAGAUCAGUGGACUGAUGUGGAGAAAUAUGAAUACCAUUCUGGGAUAUUUCUUUGAGGUACCCAAGGAUGCGUUUAACAACCUUCUAAUGAACCAUGGAAAGAGAAUUGUUGAGCUGAAUAAGCUUGUUUAUUGAAUAUGUGAUAUCCGAUCUGGUAAAAGAAAGGUACUGAGGUUUACCAAGUACACUCCUAUACUCUUUGCCAUCAGUUUUAGGGACUUUAUCAUCUACAAAUAGUGCCUCAGAUGUACUCAUUAGGGACUGAACGCCUUUGUAGACUUGCAUCUGCGAGUCAUGCAACACCUCUUGAAUAUACUUAGAUUGACUAAAAAAUAGGCCGUUGGCAUGCCUGUGUACCUCAAUGCCCAAGAAAUAGUGCAGUAAGCCAAGAUACUUAAGAGAAAAUCUUUUGGAAAGAGAAGUAAUGACUUUUUGAAGGAGUGAUCAUUGCUGAACAUGAGUAUGACAUCGUCCACAUAUAUUAGUAAAUAAAUAGUUACGCCCAAGUUAUUGUAACACCCCGUACUUUUCCUAGUUUCAUUUAGUGUUGAGAACACCAAGCAUUGUCUUCAAGAGAGAAUGAAUUUUCAUACAUACAUAAUUUUUCAAGUUUUCGACCUUCCAAUGUGUAUAAAAUUGAAUUAGCUUUCCAACAAUAUAAUAUUUUCCUAAAUCCGAUCACCAAGUAAGAAGUUAUGGCCAUUUUAAGUUCCAGUCGCAAAACAUCGUUAUUUCGAUCACUAGCGCGUCGCGGCGAGGGUUUAAAUGUCAAUUGUAUAUUUCCAGUGGACCUCUGCAAUAUUGGUGCAUCACGGAGAGGUCCAAAUUUCCAAUUGUACAAAUCCAAUAGCCCAAGGCAAUACUGGCGUGUCGUGCCAGUGGACAAAAUGGCAAACUAAAGGGCACCGCGAUGGUGGCGCAUCGCGGAGAGAGCCCAGUUCCCACUCUUCCCUUUUCCAGUGAGCCAUCACGAUUAUGGCGCAUCGCGGUGGACACCCAUCUCAGAAAAUAUUAUGUUUUUCCAGUCCGUUUAGUAGUUCAAAGAGGGUAUUUUGCUAAUUUACCCAGCCCCAAUCCAUCCAAUACACAAGAUUAAUUAUAUUCCAAGCACUUUAUGCUCAUUAUUCAUCAUUCUCUACAAAAGAAAAACUCUAGAAACCAAAAGCUCCUUCUCCAAGAAACCUAAUUCCUCCAUUAAUUCUCCAAGGCAAUUCAAGAUUUAGGAUUCCCAACUCAAGAACUCUAAGAAUUCAACUUUAAAAGUAUCAAUAGAGAUCCAAGAUUCAGGUCUUAGCAUCUAGCUCAUCAAUUGAGAUAUGUGGGGUUUUUCAACAAGUAUAAUCCUUUCAUCCUUGUGCCUAAAAAUUAUUUUAAUUGCAAAUUUACUGAAUUUUAUGUGAUUUCCCAUGAAAUUGAAGUUAGGGUUUAUACCCAUUAUUGUUAUUUACAAGCUUAUGAGAUUUCCAAUGAUUUAGAAGUUGAAUUACAUGAUUAUGUUCAUAUUUUCAUACAUAUUGCAGAAUUUUACAGAUUUUGAAUUAAUUUAUCAAUGUUUACAUUAUCAAGCAUGAAUAUUUUGAUGUUAUAAAUGAGUUUGAUGCAUGGGUCACUAAGCCCUAAUUAAAAAUUGCUAUUUCGAGCUUUGUUGUGCUAUAAGCACCCUAUGACUAGAUUUCCUUCAGAUUAUUGAAAAAGAUUUGACCUUUUGGUCUCAGAAUAGAUAUGAAAUCCACUUUACAAUUCAGAUUAAAGAUUUAACUUUACACAUAUACAGUUGGUUUUCAUUAUAAACCAUUAGACUAUUAUAAAAGUGGAUUUCCAUCAGAAUGAGCAUACAGAUUUAAUGGGAGUAGUAUUUAGCACCGAGAUGGGUACGUUACUACGAUUUCAUACCCCAAAACUGCAUGCCAAUAUAGGAUUUAGAUUGUUCCCACUUCUACGUGGAUGAUAGAUAUGUGAUCACUUAGAUAGGUUAUACUCCCUGGCAAGAGUAUGACUCCUCUCCCCAAUGUGAGGAUUCCUCCUUAGGGGGACAAGAACAUUGGACUCCAUGAAUGCUCACAUGGUUUAUGUCGGUUAGAAGAACCUCCCAUGCAGAAUGACUUUUCAGAUUUCACUUAUCCUAUAUGAUUUGAGAAUAAAAACAGAAUACAGAUUUCAAAAUUAAGUGUAAUGGCUCACAAGAUUUACAUUAUAUGCUUUAUUAUUCAUGAUUUAUGAUCUUCAGUUUUCGGAUUACUCAAUCCUAUGUGAGUCAUUUACAUUUAGCAUGCAUGAUUUUAUAAAUUGUGAUGAUGUUGUUUACUUAUUGCAUUCACCCCAUAUGCUCAAUACAUUCUCAAAGUACUGAUCCGCAUAUACAUUUGUGUGCUACAUUGUCUCAUAAUGUAGGUUCAGGUGCUCAGUCUCAGCAGCAUGAGUGAUCUUCGAGCAUCUCCUCUAUAUUUCUGCAGUUGGUGAGUCCUCAUAAUUCGGGGACUUAGCUAUUCAGAUUCCCAGUUUAUUAGUAGAUAAUUUAGUAUUCAUUUCAGACAGUUUUAGUCAACUGGGGCUUGUCCCAGUGACUCCCUAGAUUCAGUCAGUAGAGGCUUGUCGGACUACUAAAUUCAAUUUUAGAUUUUAGUGGCAGUACUCAGAUUUCUAGUAUUUGCUUUAUCAGACUGAUGAGAUUAGUAUUUUCAAAUAUACUCAGAUAUUUCAAAUCAUUUUUUGUAUUUAUUAUGAUUUUACAUUCAUAUCCCCUAUUUUGAAAUUUAGACUUAGUAGAAGGCAGCCAGGGUUAGCUCAGGACUACUUGUAGUUCGGAGCACCGUGUGGCAUCCUGGAAAACCAGAUUUUGGGACUUUAUAGUUAUGCAGAACAAAUAAAGAAUUAUCAGAUUCAGACAUACAGAAUCUGAUUAGAGAAUCAGUGAGUGAAUCAUAACAGGCUUUAGGAGCUUGUCGAAGUCUGUAGAUAGCAUUUUUGAGAUGACAGAUAGAGUCAGGAUAUUCUAAACUUUCAUACCUGGGUGGUUGGGUCAUAUAGAUAUCUUCGUGAAGCUUCCCUUGAAGAAAAGCAUUAUUGACAUCUAUUUGAUGUAAGGGCCAACUUUUUUGUACAGUAAUGGUGAGAAUGGUCCGAAUUAUGUUUGGUUUAACCACUGGGUUGUAUGUUUUAUGAAAAUUAACCUCAGGCAUUUGGGUGAACCCUUUUGCAACCAAAUUUGCUUUAUACCUAUCAAUGGAGUCAUCAGGCUUGGUUUUGAUUCAAAACAACCAUUUACAGGGAACAAUAUUUCUGUUGUGGUCCGGUGGAACCAACUCCCAAGUUUGGUUUUUUAUUAGUGCAUCAUACUCAACCUGCAUAGCAUCUCUCUAAUGUGAUAAUUUUUGUGCUUAUUUGUGGGUUACAGGUAAAAUAGGUAUAAGCUGGGUUAUUUGGGCAGUAUAGUCAACAAUUUUUUGUUGCUUGACAAUGUUAUUUUGCGACCUUGUUUACUCUAUUUAUGGAACUUCAACUAUGGGUGCAGUAGGUGGAGGCGAGUCAAGAGAGCAACUGCUCACACCUCUGUUGGCAUGGAGGGAUCAUGAUGACUUUGGACGACGCUGAUUAACAUAAGUAACUGGUGCUCAGCGAUGUAGAGAGCGAGGAUGCACAUAGAGGGCAGAGGGUUGGCUUUGAAAUAUGAUGUGGGAUGGGAAGUAGUUUGAGGAUUACCUGAUUCUAGAGUGGUGAAAUGAUCUGACUUUGUGUUAUUUCCCUGUGCGAUGCGAACUAAUCAGGUAUGUUGGUGUGCACCUGGCCUAAACGGAAUGGUGGGAGGAAGCGAGGUGAGAUCUAGAUUAAUAGUGGUGGAACUAAUUUCCAUAUCUUUAUUUUUAUGUUGUAAAGUGUUUACCCAAUUUAAAUUUGUAAAUUUUUGUUUAAAGUGAGAAUAAAUAUUAUCAAAUGGAAAAUUUUCUUCUAAAAACUUUACAUCCCGUGAGAGAAAAAUUUUAGAGCUGGUGGGAUCAAAACACUGAUAGCAAUGAUAAGUGACGGAGAAACCGAGAUAAACACAAGGUUUGGAAUAUGGUUCUAAUAUAUUUUGGGUGUAUGGUCGUAACCAUGGGUAUCAUAGAAAUCCAAAUGUGUGGAGAGAUUCAUAAGUAGGUGUUUCGUUGAAAAGAACUUCAAAUGAGGACUUGUUAUCAAGAGUAGAAGUGGGCAGGCAAUUAAUGAGAAAGGUAUCAUGAUGGCAAGCAAAUUUCCAAAAAUUAAAGGGCAAACUUGUUUGAUGAAGCAACGUUUUGACAGUCUCAAUAAGGUGUUAAUGACAUCUUUCAUCUAGGGCUACCCUUUGAGGAGUGUGUUGUGGGGGAGACAAGGUGUUGUAUGCCAUUAGAAUUAAGGUAUGGUUCCAUGACUUUAUAUUCUCCGCCUCCAUCAGUGUAAAGUGUGAGCAUUUUGUGACCAAAAUAUUUUUCAAGCACAAGAUGUAAGCUUUGAAAGUGUUUUUACACUUAAUGUUUGUUUUUUAUUGUGUACAACCAAAUGUAUUUGGUAUAAUGAUCAACAAAUAGACAAUAGUAGAAUUUUUUAUCAAUAGACAGAACAGGGGGUGAACCCCAUGUUAAAUAUUGAUUCAAAGGUCGUUAGUGCUUCCUAGGUAGUUGGCAUUGUAACAGGUUUGUUAGGAAUCCUAGUUUAGUUAAAGCAAAUCUCUGUUAGUUGCUAAGAUUUAGGUUAGUGGAUAAUUAGUGUCGAGUAAGUGGGCAUGUUUAUCAGUAAGUGGUUAGGUUUAUUUUUAUUCCUAUUUAUAGAGUCCUAUGUAACUUGGUUUAAUGGUAUAAAUGAAAAUACAUGAAGUUCUCUGCAACUAUAUUCUUCUUCUUACACAUUGCUCCUCUUUUCUUCAACUCCCCAAUAGUUUUUAGUAUUAAAACGGCAAGAGAGUAUCUUUUUCUAAAUUUUUUCUCUCUAUCCAGGUUAGGUCAAACUGGGAAAUAAGGCAAUUGCAAGAAUAAAAUCAAAAUUGAAGGUAAAGAAUGGCUACCAAUGUAGCAUCUUCCAUAUCUCAGCAACUAAUUCCCAUUAUUAAUGGAGAUAAAUAUGAAUUCUGGAGCAUAAAGUUGAAGACAUUGUUCAAGUCUCAAGAAUUGUGGGAUUUGGUGGAGAAUGGCUAUGCUGAGGAAGAUGAAGCACAAAGGUUGUGGGAGAACAAAAAGAAGGACUCUAAGGCGUUGUUCUACAUCCAGCAAGCUAUGCACGACUCGGUUUUUUCCAGAAUUACUGUUCCAGAAACCUCAAAGCAGGCAUGGCAUAUUAUGAAGAAAGAAUUCCAUGGCUCGACAAAGGUAAUGAUUGUCAAACUCCAGUCACUCCGACAUGAUUUCAAAAAUUCAUUCAUGAAAAGUAGUGAAUCUGUACAAGACUACUUAUCUAGAGUCGGUACAAUUGUUAAUCAUAUGAAGGCAUAUAGUGACAAAAUUACUAAUGAAACUGUAGUUUCUAAAGUUCUAAGAAGUCUUAAUUAAAGAUUUGAUCAUGUCGUAGCUGCCAUUGAGGAAUCCCAUAAUUUAUCUGAUUAUGGUUUUGAUGAAUUGAUGAGUUCCUUACAAGCUCAUGAGGAUAGACUGAAUGCCUCUCAAGAAAAGAGUGAAGAGAAGGCAUUUCAGAUCAAGGGAGAGUCUUUUUUCAAAGGUAAAUCAGAAGUCUCAAAUGCCAGAAGAUGCAUAGGCAGAGUUAGUUUUCGUGGUCGAGGUCAUGGCAGAGGACGAACUCAAUUUAGUGUUGAUCACCGGCAGUUCAAGAGAAAUAUUCAGUACCGCUAUUGCAGAAAAAUGGGGCACAAGGAAGUUGAUUGUUGGACUAAAUAGAAGGAUGAACAACAACAUGCAAAUUUUACUGAGAAACAACAAGGGGAGGGUAAUCUGUUCAUGGCUCACUCCUCAGUAGAUGCUGGUUUGGAUGAAGUUUAGAUCAUUGAUAGUGGUUGCUCCAACCACAUGUCUGGCAGAAGGUCAUUUUUCAAAGAACUUGAUGAAUAGGAGAAGUCAUAAGUUUGGCUUGGGUAUGGCAAGGCAAUGAAAGUCGAAGGGAAGGUAUAAUAAUUGCUCUAAAAACUUCUCAUGGUAAUGUAAAAUUUCUCCAUGAUGUGCAGUAUGUUCCUUGUCUCGCCCAUAACUUUUUGAGUGUUGGCCAACUGAUAACUUGUGGAUACUCUAUUCUGUUUGAUUACAAUUCUUGUAGCAUUCAAGACAAAAAAAAAACAGGAUACAAAAUUGUUGACAUUCAAAUGACUCAAAAUAGAAUGUUUCCUCUUGAAGUUUCUGAUGUUAAAACUUUUGCAUUAGUUACCAAAGAUAGUACCGAAGAUAAUUUAUGGAAUUUGCAGUAUGGUCAUUUGAAUGUAAAGGGGUUGCAAUUAUUAGGUCGUAGAAACAUGGUUCUAGGUUUGCCUAGAACUGAUGCUCUUGAAUUCUGUGAAGGAUGCAUGUAUGGGAAACAAAAUAGAAAUUCAUUUCCCAUAGGCAAGUCUUGGAGAGCUUCUGGUUGUCUUGAACUGGUGCAUACUGAUCUAUGUGGUCCUAUGAGUGUUGAGUCCUUAGGUGGAAGUCGAUAUUUCCUACUUUUUACGAAUGAUUAUAGUCGAAUAAGUUGGGUGUAUUUCUUGAAAUUCAAAUCUGAAACAUUUGAGAAUUUCAAGAAAUAUAAGCUUUUUGCUAGAAACAAAGUGGUUGUAGAAUCAAGACUCUUCGAACAGAUAGAGGUGGUGAAUUUAUGUCAAAUGAAUUCAAAACUUUGUGAGAAAUAUUGUAACACCCCGCAUUUCGGGCUAGAACGAAAACCGUCGUUUCUAUGCGUAGAUGAUCCAAAAGCCAUAAAUCUUAUACAAAUUUGGGAUGUUAAUCAAUUAUGUAGUGUGAGAACCUAUUUUAGCAUGAAUUGAGAUCAUAGAGGUCCCCAAACUCAAGGACGAGUUGAAAGCUUUCCUAUCGUUCGAGUUUGAGUGAGCGUUGAAACUUGGGUCAACUUCAAUUGACCAUAACUCUUUGUAUAUAAUGAAUUAGAGGACCUACUUAUAUCAAAUGAAAGCUCUUCAGAUUAGCUUUCCAACAAUAAUAAUUUCGCAAAAAUCCGAUACCCGAGCGAAAAGUUAUGGCCAUUUUUGUGAUUGAGACAGUAGCAUCGCGAGAUUAGCAUGCGACGCACGUACCCAAUUUCUAGGUGUUGUUUUAGCGUUUUUAAGGGCACAAGUGGUAUUUUCCACCCCCUAUUCAGCCAUAACAUUGGAUUAAAUCCUCCAAACACCAAAAUAACAUUAUUUUCUCUCAAAAUCACCAAGAACACUCCUUAGGGUUUCAACCCAAAGAUCAAUAUAUCUCAAUAUUUAACCGUGGGUUUUCCUUAAUUCUUCAAGAUUCAAAAUCGGCAUUACGAGGGCUACAAGAAGCACCCAUCAAUCGUACGUAUAGCAUGCCAAAAGCUAGAGUUCAUUCAAAAGCUUCUAAUUUAAGGUACGUGGGGUUUUCCUAAAAUCUCAUGGGCAUAGAAAUCAUCUUUUAAUUAUGCAAAGGGUUUAGAAAUCAUGAUUUUAAGAAAAUGGUUUUGGAUUUAUGAUUAUAAACAUGUUUUAGAAGCCUGGAUGAUAUUGUUUGGUCUUUACUCGUUCCCCCAAAUUGAUUUGAAAUGAUAUAUAUAUUGUAAGCAUGUGUUUUAAGGUUGAUGAUUGAAUUUUCAUUUACUUAUGAUAUACUAUGAAAUCGUUUGAAUGCAUCUUGAAAAGCAUGUUAUGAAAUGUCUUGAAUAAUAUUAUAUUUGGAUUAUGAUUUUGAUUUCAAAAGAGAGAGGGUUGUUUAUGUUGAUGAAUGUUGAACAUAAUCAUAUAAUGAGAAGGGUUGCAUGGUUUGUUAAAGACUACAUGACCACCACUUGUUUAUUGAAAGGAUGGGAAUUUUGCAUAGUUUUGACUUAUGUUUUCGGAACAUGAAUUUCCUUUGUUAAAUUGCAUGUUUGGGUGGUCUAAACUAUUUUUUAAUAAAAGAAUCAUGCAUGAUGAAUUAUGUCUUAGAGAUAGGACUUGAAAUUCUUGGUGUGAUGACACCAAUCCAGAUAAUGCCAUGGUAAUUCAGAACAAAAUAGAAUGCAUGUUUGAAGUCAGAUUUUUCAGAUGUUGAAACUAGAAUAAUGCAUGAUUCUGAACAGGGUAAAAUUGGGAAUAAAGAGAGCUUAGGUGGUUACCCGAAGAAGGCAUGAGUUCAGACAACUCAUUGUCCAAAACCGUGAUUUACCAAUCUGAGUAUAUUGAGUAUAUUAUUAUACGCUGGCCUAGUGCCCUGUGGCGUAUCAGACUCAGACACCAACCCUUGCGGCACACUUGGGUUGGGGGCUUCCCCGUCGAGUCAAUGGUGGAUUCCAUAUAGCCCGUAGAAUAUCAGACUUGUAGGGGAAUGCCACCUAAAUCAGAAGUAAUACAAAGAUCAGAAACUGCUUUUGACAGAAAAGUUUUUUUAUGUUUUUUCAAGAAUGCCCAUGUGUUUUGAAAAUUAUAUCUUUCAUGAUGUUUAUGGCUAGCUCUCAACUAUUUUAUUUAUAUAAAAGCUUUAUUUUGGAUUGCUCUGCAUACUAGUACAAUUGUAUUGACCCCUUACCUCCAGGGUCUAAAGCUCAUUCAGAAGCCCUGCUAAGCUGUAGAGUUUUCAGACAGCAGUAAUGUGUGUAAUUGGUAAGCCUUCUUUAUUCCAGAAGGUCUAUGUCUUUCAGAUUAUGUUAUUUAUUUUGGUUUAGGUCCGUUGGGGGCCUUUUCCCAAUUUUUGAUACAAAUCAGUCCACCAAGAUGCCAAAACAGUCCACAAAAUGUAAGAAGAACAAGCAACACAAAGGGAUACAAAAUGACAAACACAAAAGCACACGGAUUUGCAAAAUAAUAAAAGGAUAGAUAGUGAGACCAAUAUUAUUACAAGAUUAAGAACCAAGUAUAUUUCAACAUUAACCCCUAAUGAAUGUAAUAAUUAAAACCACACUCUUACAGUGACCGCCAAGGUAAUCUACUUACCUCAAGAUCCACCGUUUCCAAGCAAAGAACGAUAUUGGCUUUUCCAAGCCCUAUACUAAGGAUGACUUUGUAAAGUCUUAACUAAUACUAUACUAAGGUGGUCUACUCUCAAGAGAGAGGAUUUCAAGUAUUUCAAUUUUUCAUCUUUCAGAAACUAACUAGCAAAUGAACUAAUAGAACCUAUUUAUAGUCUAACUUAUUACAUAACAAAAUGACCACAAUACCCUUAAUAAAAAGGGGUGGUCAUGGAGUGUUACUUGGACAAGGCUAAGUAACCAAAAUGUCCUUAAUGAAGGCCCAAAACUAUGAGUUCUCAAUCUUCAAUGCUCCAAACAAUCAUUCACACGUGGGAUUGCUCUUUGGUGUACUUAAAUCGGCCCCUCCAUGUAGGAUCCCAUUUUCUUAAUGUGACCAAAUCUUGAUGCCCCACGUACUGAAUUCAAAUGAUGUCAUUGAAAGCUAACGUGGCCAUUUGAAUUGUAUCACCUCCCCUUCUUGAAAAGGAUUUGUCCUCGAAUCCAAACCUUGCAAAACCAAAGAAAGGACACACAAAUACAAACUCCUCAUGGCAUGAGGGUUAGGGUAAGUACAACAAAUCACCUCAACAUGCCAAGGUUGAACAUAUUUAGAAUAUAACCAAGGAUCCUUUAAACUAAAUAUUACAUAAUUAAUGAAAAAUUCACAAAGGAUUUGGCUAUAGAAUUCACAAAAAAUGAUACUUUUCUUGUCAUGUAAACCAAGCAACAAGUUGGGUGCACCAUCAUCACCAAUUAUAUAUUUGGCACCGGGUUCAAACAGGAAGAGUGGCCAUAGACAUGGAACUAGACAACACUCCCCUUUCCAGUGGUCUCCACCUAAAAUAAACGGCAUACUCUCUACAAUAGCAUACAUAUUAUCCAGAGCAAAUAGAAAGUAGAGAAAGGUAUCACUCAAGUCGACUUCUACUAAGGUGUCCUCAUAUGUAUACUCACUACUAGUUUCACAAUCAUCACCAUGAGUACUAUCAACAAUAAAGUCACAAAAAGUAGAAGGAGAAGCAGUUUCCAAAACCACACAUCUCUUACCCUUAAGAGUACUCUCAUCUUCCAAGAAGAGAUUUUCAUCUUUAGGAGGAAUGUUGUCACACCAUAAUGGGUUAGCAUAUUGGCUAUAGCUUCUAAGGAAAACUAUACCAUCAUUUCCACCACUAGGUUCAUUAGGAGUGGUCAUAUCAUCUUCAAACAAGACAUUAUACCUUAAGAGAGCAUGAUAUAUUUCACGGGCAGAUUCAAACAAACACGUUCAUCACUCUCUAAAAGAUCAAUAUCAAGUUUCAAAGAGAUUUCAAGUGCAAGAUUAUCCCAAGAAUAGCUCUCGGGUUCACUCCUAUUCCUUUGAUCAAUAUUUUCAACAUCAUCACACACUUGAGAUUCAUUAAUCACAUCACACACAUCCUCAAGUGGUGGGCAAUUUUCACACAAAAGUUGAUCAACAUAAAUUUCACAAGACGAUGUACUUCCAUUCAACACAAUGAUUUCAAAACUAGGUGGACAUAAAUCGAUCUUAAAAGAAGAGUCGAUUCGGUUAUCAAUAGGAUCAACUAAUGUAUCCACACUCACAAUAGACUCACAUAUAGGAAAACUAUAACUCACACUCAAUGGGCUACUAGCCACACAAUUAUCAUUCACAUGCACAAAAGUGUAAGGGUUAGCUAUUUUACCUUGAAGUUCAUGGGUAUGUUUUUCUUUAAAUCGGUGAGAAAGUCCAUCACAAGAUUGGGCAACAACUUCCUUCAGAAAGCUCUUAUCACAAGUUGUUUGGACAAUUGGAUUUUGAGGGAAGAGUUUGGGUAAAAAUUGGCGUAUAAUUUCAAUGUGUUGUUGCAUAUCUUCAAGAUCGUCAUGGAUACGAUCACACGUGGCCUUGAAAUUAUGUGCAGCCAUGGUACCUAACAAAAAAAAAACAAAAAAAUCUCCUUACCAACACUCGAUACACUCACCUUUGUGAUUCUCACAAUUGGAGUGGCAAAUAUUGAAAGUUACUUAUACUCCGGUAGUCAAUAAGAUGUCAAUCCUACUUGGCGGCCAGAAUGGAUUCUUGUUUUGAUUGACUCAAGAAACAAAAUAAAAUUCACUUAUGAACUUGAAAUAAAGAAGUUACUAUGAGUUACAAACGAGAAAAGCAUACAAAUAACGAAGACAUGAAAGAAACGUAUUCAAUAACUAAUUUACAACUUAGUAGGUAUUUACUAGUUGCCAAUUAGUAUAAGAAUAAAAAAAAUAAACUAAGAAUAAACAAUAAGAAACUAAGAAUCCAAGAUUUUGAGCCCUAAGUUUCGGUAUUGUACAAAAAUUGGUGAUAUGGCAGUCUAGGAUUGGUUGCGGUUUUUGAAAGGUUCUUAUUUUUCCAACUUUGAAAUUUUGGUUCAAUUAUCAAUUCUUGAAGAAGUGUAUUUCAGCAUUGGGGAAUAAAAAUAUCAAUAUUGGAGCCAUUUUUCACAUUCAAAAAGGUUUGACUUAUCUUACACCUUUUGGGCAAGACACCUUUUUGAAGGGUUGGUGGCCCUUUCCUCUUUUGGACACCUAGAAAGGUAUUUUUUUUCCCUCUUUUAGUACCAAGUCUUUUGUAGAUCUUUUUGUCCCCCUUCCCUUUUAGUAGGUAUUUGGGAUUUGUUUUAAAGACUAGCAAAGGCCUCACUUCUUUCCACUUGGCUUUUGGAUCAAACAACACUAUUGAAGAGCUUUUUUGCAACUAAACAUGAAGAUAGUCUAGAACAACAAGAACUUUCAAUAGAAGUUUGAAAUCCUAGCCUCACAUUGAACCUCCAACAAUCAACAACACCUUUAUCAAGCUUAAAAAACAUAACAAAAUACCAAAAACACGAGUUCAAACCACCUUCAAGCUUUGGUCCACACAACAACACCAACAAUGUUAAAGUUCUUUAAACCGCAACAACAAUACCAACAACAAUGUUCAAGCUCAACUUGGAUCUAGACUCAAGGGUGUUAGUGAAGACAAAACUAACACUUAGAAACAACUAAGAUAAAAAAAACACACCUAAAUUUAGACACAAAUCUCGUCCAAAACAACAACAACACCAAGAACACAAUUUCGGCCAAGAACACAAAAAAAUGGACAGAUUUGCUCUUUUUGAUUUUUCGGUUUUCUAACACUUUUUUUUUAUUUUCAAGUUGACAAAACCAAGAUUGAUCUUGUGGGAACAAUAUCAAUCCAUGCUUUGAUACCAAAUGAUACAAAUCAGUCCACCAAGAUGCCAAAACAGUCCAUAAAACGUGAGAAGAACAAGCAACACAAAGGGAUACAAGAUGACAAACACAAAAACACACGGAUUUGCAAAANNNNNNNNNNNNNNNNNNNNNNNNNNNNNNNNNNNNNNNNNNNNNNNNNGUUUCCAAGCAAAGAACAAUAUUGGUUUUUCCAAGCCCUAUACUAAGGAUAACUUUUCCAAGUCCUAACUAAGACUAUACUAAGGUGGUCUACUCUCAAGAGAGAGGAUUUCAAGUGUUUCAAUUUUUCAUCUUUCAUAAACUAACUAGCAAAUGAACUAAUAGAACCUAUUUAUAGUCUAACUUAUUACAUAACAAAAUGACCACAAUACCCUUAGUGAAAAGGGGUGGUCAUGGAGUGUUACUUAGACAAGGCUAAGUAACCAAAAUGUCCUUAAUGAAGGCCAAAAACCGUGAGUCCUCAAUCUUCAACUCUCCAAACAAUCUUUCACACGUGGGAUUGCUCUUUGGUGUACUCAAAUCGGCCCCUCCAUGUAGGAUCCCAUUUCCUUAAUGUGACCAAAGAUUGAUGCCCCACGUACUGACUUUGAAUGAUGUCAUUGAAAGAUAAGGUGGCCAUUUGAAUCGUAUCAAUUUUAGAAAGUUGUUAUUUUCAGAUGUAGUAGAUAUUUCGCAGAUUGGUUCAAACAUUGUCUUGUUGUUGUUGGGCUUUACUUUCAUAUUAUAAAUUAAGUUCAGACUUAUGAACAUGAUUCCAUUUCAGUAUGUAUUUUCUGCACUUCCUAUUUGUAUAUGAAUGGUGUGUAUGAUUAUGAGUUAGAAGGUCUCUCGGGCCUUCAUGGUUCGGGAUGUCCGUCAUGGCCAAGGCCCUGGUUCAAUUUGUAACAAAAAUGGUAUUCAUAGAGAGCUCAUAGUACCAUAUACACCAGAGCAGAAUGGUGUAGCCGAAUGAUAGAACUAGACGAUUGUUGAAAUGGGCAAAAGCAUGAACCCAGAGGUGUACUAAAGUGUUUCUGGGGUGAAGUUGUUGCUACUACUGUCUACGUGCUCAACAUUUCACCCACCAAGUUUAUUCUUAAUCCAACACCAUAUGAAGCAUGGAGAGGUAACAAGCCCAAGGUACGCCUCUUACGUGUCUUUGGAUGUAUAGCUUAUACGUUGGUGAAAUCAUAGGCUAGGCAAAAGCUUGAUUAAAAAUAAAAAAAAAUAUAUAUUUGUUGGAUAUAGCACACAAUUCAAAGAUUAUAAGUACGAGUCAAUUUUGUUGUACCAUUCCCUCGAUGCUUUUUUAGCCCAUAAAGUGCCUUCUUGAGUUUGUAAACUUUGCUCUCAUUGCCACUAAUAACAAAACCCUCAGGUUGGGAAACAUAAAAUUCCUCUUCCAAAUCCCCAUUUAAGAAUGCAGAUUUAACAUCAAAUUGAUAAAUGAGCCAGCUCAAUUUAGCAGCCAAAGAUAAGAUUAUUCUAACCCUUUCAAAAUGAGCAACAGGUGAAAAUGUUUCAUCGUAAGCAAUACCUUGAUGUUUUGCAUAUCCCUUUUCUAUGAGCCCGGAUUGGUGUCUCUGUAUGAUCCUGUCAGUAUGACGCUUGACUUUGAACACCCAUUUGAGUCCAAUAGGUUCCUUUCCAUCCGAUAGAUUCACUAACUCCCAUGUCUGGUUCUUCUCAAUUGCUAGCAUCUCUUCUAUCAAUGCAUUUAUCCAUACUUAAAUCUCUGUAGCUUCUUUGAAAUAAGUGGGUACUGCACCAUACAAAGAAAAAGAACUAUUCUUAUAAAUCUCCCUCAACAAUUUGAAUUUCAUUGGUGGAGUCUCGCUGGAAGAGUCUGUUGAAGAGGAACUGCUGCCACUUCUUUUGGGGGUUAAGUCAUGAUCACUUACUGGAGAAGAGGUUCUUGAUAGAGGAGUAGAAAGGGUGGUACUUGCUGGAGAAGAACUGGAUGUGUUCUCUGGAACGAAAACUGCUGCAAGUUCUUUCUCAAAAAUUUCAUCAGUAGGCGACAAAUUAAUAUUUGAAUUAACAUUCCCAGAAUCAAAGUUCUAGCUAGCAUCAUCAUUAAACAUAACAUUUCUACUUAUCAUAAUUUUGCCACUCACAAUCAUAUAAGUAGAAAUUAAACAUAACAUUUCUACUUAUCAUAACAUUUCUACGUUGUAUGUAAAGAAACAAGGUAGGAGUGAUUUUUUGGUAGUUUGUCUCUAUGUGGAUGACAUGAUUUAUAUGGGAUCAUGUGAAACUUUAGUUGCUGAAUUUAAAUCUUGCAUGAUGGAGUUUGAAAUGUCAGGUUUAGGUAUUUUGCAAUACUUUCUUGGUCUUCAAGUGAAAUAGGUGGGGAUAACGGAUAACUUUGAUAUGGUACAGAGGUUGCCAACUUUUUGUUUGACUUCCUUCUUGCCCAUCAUAUCAGAGUUAGUGAUUGACACGACCCAAACUAGGGCCUGGCCAUGACGGAUAUCCCAAACCAUGAAGGCUCGGGCAUCCUACUCUAUCAGACAAUCAUGCACAACAUUCACAUAAUAAAUGAGAUGGGAAAUAUAAUCUGAUAUGGAAACAUGGUCAUACUCUGGAUUCAGUUAAACAAUAAGGAAUGAAAUCUGAACUCAACUAAACAACAUCUAGAAUAGUCUGUGAAAUCUCUACUACAUGCAAAUCCGACAACUAUCUAAAAGCUGGGACAAAGGCCCCAGUAGACCAAAAUUGUAACCACUAAUAAUUGUCUAAAAAUAAACAGGCCUUCCAGAAUAUAGAAGGCUCACCAACUAGACACUACAACUCUAUCUAAUGAAAUCUACUACUUAUCUAGACCCCUAAACUGAGCCUCAGAACCUGAGAGGUAGGGGGAGGAGGGUCAAUAAAAUGUACUGGUACGCAAAGUAAUCACAAAUAAAACUUCUAUAUAAGUAAAAUAGUGGAGAGAAAGUUGUUAAAACAUCAUGCAUAUAACAGUUCUCAAAAUACAUGGGCAUUUUUCUAAAAAUCAUAAAUCAUUCUUGUCAAUGCAAUAUCUGUUCUUUGUAUUUCUUCUGAGUAAGGUGGCACUCCCCUACAAUGCUGAUAUUCCACGGUUUAUAUGGAAUCCUCCAUUGACUCAAUGGAGAAGCCUCCAAUCCAAGUAUGCCGUAAGGGUUGGAGUCUCUAAUUCUGAUACGUCACACUGUUCUAGGCUAGCGUAGUAUAAUAUACCCGGAUUGGCAAAUCACGAUUUUGGGCAAUGAGUUAUCUGAACUCGUGCCCUCUUUAGGAAAUCACCCAACAUCUCUUUAUGCCCUAUUUAAGCCUUUUCUGAACAUGCUUCAUUCUAAAAUUCUAAAACAUAAAGGUCUGAUUUCUGUGUUAGUCUAUGUCUGUUAUGGCAUUGUCUGAGUUGGUAUCUUCGUACCAAGACUUACAAGUUGUGAUUCUAAGCCAUAUAUGAUAACUUCAUUCUAAAAAAAUGUUCAGGCCACUUGAUCAUGCAUAUAGUGUAAGAAGAGUCAUAUCUCAAAUCAUAAAUCAAAAUCAUGCAAAGGAUUUCCAUUUAUUCAACAAUUUCAAUAAGUAGUGGCCAACUUCUCAAAAACAUUCUUGAAGUUUCUUUGUUUAUCCAUCUCAACAUUUAAAAUCAUUAAAGCAUUCCUCUCUCCCAUUCGUAAUCAUCAUGAAUUUCACAUAAGACAAAUAGUAUCUUGAAUCAUUCUGCAAACCAUGAAAUGUAAGGAUUCAUAACUUGUAAAUCAAAUAAGAAAGUAAUGGGAGAGGGAGAUUUUAUAUUUCAUGAUCUCGAUUCAAAAUUCAUGGUUUUCAAUGCAUACGUACAUAUAUUCAAUUCAAAUCAAUUUGGGGGAAGGCCUAAAGACCAAAACAAUAUUAUCGAAGCUUCUAAAACAUGAAUGUAUUCAUAAAUUCAAAAAUCCUUUUUCUUAAAAAUCAUGAUUUCUAUGCCCAUGAGAUUUUAGGAAAAACCCCGCAUACCUCAAUUAUGAAGAAUAAUGGAUGAUCCUUGAAGCCUACGGUUUGGGGAUUCCAAAUCUCUGAUCAAUUUCAAAAACCCAUGGUUGAAUCUUGAGUUUCUUGGAGGAGAAGUAUAUGAACUAGGGUUUUUGUUUUGAGGGAAAUUUUGAGAAUGUCAUAUAUUAUGCUUGUAGAGGUCUUAAUCUCCUGUUUGGACAUUUUAAGAGACUGGGAAAAAGUCCAAACUACCCUUGUUAACUUCUGAACGAAACAGGAAAAAUUUAAACUGGGAACCCGAUCUUACGGGCCACCGCAAUGCGCCACUAUCGCGGUGGCUCAAUGUAAAUUGAUGAAGGGGAAUUUUACCCACUCCAUGAGGCACCACCAUCGUAGAGUCUUACUGAAAAUUGACCAUCAUUAUUUACACCCUCUCCGAGAUGCGCCAAGGACAGGAAUGACGCUGUUUUAUGACUAGGACUUAAAUUAACCAUAACUUCUUCACCGAUCGUCUGUUUUGGACGAAUCUUAUGUCGACGGAAAACUUAUUCGAUCAUCUAUGUAAUGAGAAGUUGAAAUAUAAGGAAUACUAUAGGGAAAUAAGUAUAAAUCAUUCUAUAAGCCAUUGUUUGAUACUUUAGGGACAAAAUUUAGCUAGGAAAAACUUUGGGCGUUUCAAUAUCCCUCCUUGGGAACAUUCAUCCUCGAAUGUUGACGCGGGACACAGAUAAACAUAAUUUCAAGCAUACUAAGGCAUAGAAAGAAUAAGGCGAGGAUUGUACCUUCCAUUUAUUCAUCCACUAGAUCAAAAAGGUUUGGGUAUCUAGCUCUCAUGUCAACUUCUGAUUCCCAAGUUGCUUCUUCAAUUUUUUGGUUUCUCCACAACACUUUAACUGAGGCUAUCCCUUUGCUUCUCAAUCUUCUAUCUUGGUGAUCCAAAAUUUCUACAGGUUUUUCUUCAUAUAAUAAAGAGUCUGUCAGUUUGAUUUCUUCGACAGGCAACACUAAAGAAUGGUCUCCAAUACACUUCUUCAACAUAGAUAUAUGAAAUACCGGAUGAACAGAACCUAAACUGGCAGGCAAUUCUAACUCAUAUGCAACUCCACCUAUCCUUCUCAUAAUUUGGUAUAGCCCUAUAUAGCGAGGACUCAGCUUACCUUUCUUCCUGAAUCGUAUGACUUCCUUCAUGGGAGAAACCUUGAGAAAUACCCAAUCUCCAACCUCAAACUUAAGAUCUCUUCUCCUAACAUCAGCGUAGGAUUUAUGAUGACUCUAAGCUAUCUUAAGUUGUUCUAUAGUGACUUUCACAUCCUCCAUUUCCUGAUGAAUAAGAUCAGGCCCAAACAUCUAUAUCUCACCUACUUUAUACCAUCCUAUCAAAGACCUACAUCUUCUCCCAUAUAAUGCCUCAAAUGGUGCCAUCUUAAUACUAGAAUAAAAAUUGUGAUUAUAUGUGAACUCUAUCAAUGCCAAGUGCUCUACCCAACUACCUUUAAAAUCAAUCACGCAGGCCCUCAACAUAUCCUCAAGGUUCUGGAUGGUGCGCUUAGCUUGCCCGUCUAUCUGAGGUUGGAAAGUCAUGCUCAAAUUUACUUGGAUACCUAAACCCUUUUGAAACGAUCUCCAAAAUUAUGAAGAAAACUGUGUACCUCGGUCAGAUAUGAUGGACACAGGUGCCCCAUGCAAACGAACUAUUUCUGCAAUGAACAGCUUGGGAUAGUCCUCUCCCGAAUAAUUAGUCCAGGUAGAAAGUGAGCUAAUGAAGUCCAUAUUAAUCAUCUCCCACUUCCACAAAGGCAAAGCUAUCUCUUGAGAAGAACCGCCUAGCCUCAUAUGUUCCACUUUAACUUAUUGACAAUUCAAACACUUGGCAACAUAGUUAGCCAUAUCACGCUUCAUAUAAUUCCACCAAUAAAUGGUUUUCAAAUCAUGAUACAUCUUAGUAGAGCCAGGAUGAACAAUAUACCUCAACGUGUGAGCUUCGUCAAGGAUUCUAUUCCUCAGACCAUCUACAUCUGGCACACACAACCUACCCUGGUAUCUCAAAAUACCAUCACCUCCAAUUUCAAAUGACAUUACCUUUUGUUGACCCACAUUUUUCUUGAUCUGCAUCAAGAUGGCAUCUUUAACCUGCUUCUCUUAACUUUUCACAAAGGGAAGAUUUAGCUAUCUCAUGAACAACCACUACUCCAUCCUCAGAAUCCAAAAGUCACACUCCUAGAUUUGCAAGUCGGUGAAUAUCCUUCAUCAUCUCCCUCUUUUCUUUCCCCAUAUAAGAAAGACUGCCCAUAGAUAACCUGCUAAGGGCGUCAGCUACCAUAUUUGCCUUGCCCUGAUGAUAGUGCAGGCUCAUGUCAUAGUCUUUUAAAAGUUUCAACCAUCGCCUCUACCUGAUAUUCAAUUCUUUCUAUGAGAAAACAUACUAUAAACUCUUGUGGUCAGUAAAUAUAUCAACAUGUAUCCCAUACAAAUAGUGCCGCCAGAUCUUAAGUGCAAAAACCACAACCGUUAACUCUAAGUCAUGAGUAGGGUAGUUCCUCUCAUGCACCUUCAACUGACUAGAUGCAUAAGCCACUACCUUAUCAUACUGCAUAAGAACAUACCUAAGUCCCACUUGGGAUGCAUCACAGUAUACAACAAAACCUUUUGUACCCUUCAGAAGAGUCAAAAUAGGAGCAGUAGUCAACUUGUCUUUCAACUUCUCAAAACUAUUCACACAAGAGUCAGACCACAAAAACUUUACCUUUUUCUGAGUCAACUUAGUAAGUGGUGUAGCUAUGGAAGAAAAACUCUCUACAAAACUUCUAUAAUAACCCGCCAAACCCAAGAAGCUCUGAAUAUCUAUUGGAGUCGUGGGUCUAGGCCAUUUCCUCACUGCCUCAAUCUUUUGGGGAUCAACCUUAAUCCCUUCACUAGACACAAUAUGCCCCAAGAAAGUAAUAGCAUUUAACCAGAAUUCACACUUGGAGAACUUUGCAUAUAACAUAUGAUCUUUGAGAGUCUGGAGGAUAAUUCAGAGGUGAUUGGCAUAAUCCUCCUCACUUUUGGAAUAAAUCAAGAUAUCAUCAAUGAAAACUAUGACAAACAAGUCUAUAAAUUAUCAAAAGACCCUAUUCAUUAGGUCAUGAAGGCUGCAGGGACCCAUCUUUCUUUCACACAAAAAGUAUAGGUGUACACCAGGGAGAAACACUAGAACGGAUGAAACCUUUAUCUAGGAAGUCUUUCAACUCUUUCAUCUCUACUAGAGCUAUUCUAUAUGGCAGAAUAGAGAUGGGACGAGUGUCUGGCAACACAUCCAUGCCAAAAUCUAUCUCCCUAUUAGGUGGUAUUCCUGGGAAAUCAUCUGGAAAGAUUUCUGAGAAUUCAUUUACCACAGGGACAGAUCGAAGAGGAAGAUUUUUGGUGUUAGAAUCUUUAACCCGAAUAAAAUGAUACAACCAACCUUUAGAAAUGAGUUUACGGGCCCUGAGAUAAGAUAUGAAGUGCCCUCUAGGUGCUAAAGAGUACCCUUCCUAUUUUAUUGCUGGCUCAUUUGGAAAAGAAAAAGUAACCUUUUAGGUUCUACAGUCUAGAGUGGCAUAACACGAAUAGAGCCAGUCCAUCCCUAGGAUAGUAUAAAAAUCAACCAUAUCAAGCUCUAUGAGAUCUGCCACAGUAUCCUGGCUAAGAAUAGACACAACAUAAUUUUUAUAUAUCCUCUUAGCCACAACAAAAUCACCCACCAGAGUGGAAACAGAGAAAGAGUCAGUAAUGACUUUGGACUCUAACCUAAAACCAACAACCACAUAUGGGGUCACAUAAUACAAGGUAGACCCGAGAUCAAGUAACACAUAAACAUUACAGGAAAAGAUUUGUAAUGUAUAGGUGAUAAUAUCUGGUGAGAACUAUGCCUCCUCGUGGUUAGUCAAAGCGUACAGUCGGUUGCGACAGCUUUCGGUAGCUGAAGUGGCGCCCUUUUAAGGCGGUGGUGGUGCGGAAGAAUUUGCCGGAGAUUUUGCACCACCAACAUUCCUUAUAGCAGAUGGACAAUCCCUCUGUAAGUGACGCAGAUGAACACAUGAAUAACAUACUAAUGCACCCCACUGACACCUUCCUAGAUGUUUCCUACCAUAAGUCUCACACCAUAGAAAAGUAUGAUAUUGCGGAGCCACACUACCCUAUGACUGAGUAUCCUGAGUUCUGGAUUCCUGAUUAUUUUGGAAACUCUAAGAUCUUCUGUCAACUGGGGGUCUGGGCACUGAGGCGUUGCCUGCGGACUGUGCAUUACCCAAAUUCUUCUUCUUCUGCCAUUAAUUACCCCACUUACCACUUUUUGGCUUACUGUGAUGCUAAUCUGUUGUUCUAGCUCUCUUUGUCUGCCUGUCCUUCUCUCUAGACUCAGUGAUUUUCUUUUUCUUUUCUUCUACCUAUUGUAUAUAGACUGACAGCCUAGCAAAGUUAAUAUCCCUAUUUAGCAUCGCCCCUUGACAUUCAAGCACUAGAUCAUCUGAAAGGCUGGAUGUAAACUUCCUCAUCCGGGCUCUAAUAUUGCUGGUCAUCUCUGGUGAAUAUCGGGAUAAUUGGUUAAAAUUCAAAGUGUACUCCUGGACACUCAUAUUUCAUAAACUCCUCAGUUUUGGCCUCCCUCAACUCUAGAGAAAAGAACCGAUCAAGGAAGGCUUCCACAAAUUUACCCCAAGCUGUGGGCUCAGCACUCUUUUUCGCAUCCCCAAACUGUGGGCUCAGUAACAUCCUUGAGUUGAUAAUUUUCCAACUCCACCCCUUCUAUAUCCUCCACAUGUAUCACCUUAAAUGUAAAACCCCGACGUCUUCUUAGCUAAAUUCCAUCCAUGAAAAGUCUAAGCAUUAGCUUUUAGAAUGAUCUAAAUUAAUUUUCAUGUCGAAUUUCCUAGAUUUCAACCUUUCAUUAUGUAGAUAACUAAAUUAUCUUUCCAACAACAUAAGAUUCAUCCAAAAUGGACCCUCGGUGAAGAAGUUAUGACUAAUAAAAGUUUCAGUCAUAAACAUCAUCAUUUUGGUGUCUAACGCAUCGCGGAGAGGGUCAAAAUAACAAUCGUCAAAUUCUAGUGGAGCUCCACGAUAGUGGCGCAUUGCAGAGGCACUCAAUUUCCCACUCAUCAAAUUCCAGUAGACCACCGCGAUUCUGGUGCAUCGCGGUGGCACCCAAAAUCAGGUUUUUAAGUUUAAAUUUCCUGUUCCGUUUAGGAGUCAUUAAGGGUAAUUUUGACUUUUUCCUAGCCUUUAAAGCCAUCCAAAUAAAGGAUUUAGGGUAUGUUUGAGCAACUUAACCGUACUUUCAUCAAAACCAUCAAGAAUCCUCUCUAGAGCUUCAAACAAGAACUUCAAGAAACUCAAGAUUCAACCAUGGGUUUUCAAAAUCGAUUGAAGAUUCGAAAUCCCCGGAUCAUAGGCUUCAAUAAACACCCAUUUUUUCCUAUUUUAAGGUAUGCGGGAUUUUUCUAAAAAUCUCAUGGGCAUAGAAAUCAUGAUUUUAAGAAAGGGGUUUUCAGAUUUAUGAAUACAUUCAUAUUUUAGAAAUCUUGACGGUAUUAUUUUGGUCUUUUAACCUUCCCCAAAUUGAUUUGAAAUUAUAUAUACGUAUGCAUAUGUUUUAUGAUUUAUGAAUGAAUUGAGAGCAUGGUGCACAUGAAUCCCUCUCUUGGUAUGAUUUUCCCAAUUUUCUUAUGAGAAGGAUUGUUUUGAAUGUAUCUUGAAAAGCAUGAUAUGAAAUAUCUUGAUUAAUGCUACAAAUUGAUUUAUGGUUUUUAAUUCGAAAGAGAGGGUUGUGCAUAUUGAUAAAUGUUAAAAAUAUUCAUAUAAUGAAAGAGUGCACGAUUUUGCCAAAAGCACAUGACCACCAUAUGUUUGAACAAUCUCAACAUAGUUUUGACUUGUGUUCUCGAAACAUGAAAUCUUUUAUAUUGUUUGCAUGUUUGGGUGGUCUGAACUGUAUUUUAAUGAAAGAAUUAUGCAUGAUGCAUUAUGACUCAGAAAUAGGACUUGCAAGUCUUGGUGUGAUGACACCAAUUUAGAUUAUGCCAUGAUAAUUCAGAAUAAAUUUAAUGCAUAUUUGAAAUCAGACAUUUCAGAUGAUGAAACUAGAAACAUGCAUGAUUUAGAACAGGAUAAAAUUGGGCAUAAAGAGAGUUUAGGUGGUUUCCCAAAGAAGGCAUGAGUAUUAAACAACUCAUCGCCUAAAACCAUGAUUUGCCAAUCCAGGUUUAUUUAUUACGCUGACCUAGAGCCCUGUGGCUUAUCAGAUUCAGGAACUCCUUGUGGCACACUUGGGUUGGGGGCUUCCCCACCGAGUAAAUGCCAGAUUCCAUACCGCUCGUGGAAUAUCAGAAUUGUAGGGGAGUGCCAUCUAACUUAGAAGUAAUAUACAUAUCAGAACUUGCAUUGACAGGCAGGUUACAUGUUUUUCAGAAAUGCGCCAAUGUGUUUCGAAAGCUACUUGAUGUAUAAUGUUUUGACAAAGUUAUUUCCCAAACUAUUUUAUUUAUAUAUAAGCUUUAUUUUGGAUUUAUUUGUGUACCAGUACAUCUGUAUUAACCCCCCCUCCUCUCUCCAAGUUUUGAGGCUCAGUCUAGGGGUCCAAAAAGGCAGUAGAUUCGUCAGACAGAGUUACAGUGAUUAGUAGAUGAGCCUUCACUAUUCCAGAAGGCCCGUCUUUCAGAUUAUGUCCCUUAUUAUCAUUUUGGUCUAUUGGGGGCCUUUUCCUAAUUUUCUGACAGUUGUUAGAUUUUCCUGUAGUAGAGAUUUUGCAGACUGAGUCAGAUAUUAUUAGAUGUAGUUGAUUUUCAAUUUUCAUACUUAUGCUGAAUUCAGAAUUGACUAUGUUUUCGUAGCAGAUUAUGUUUUCGCAUCUUUUUUAUUUAUAUGAAUAUGUGCAUGCUUACCAGACAGAAAGGGACAUUUGGGGGCCUCAGGGUUUGGGAUGUCCAUCAUGGCCAGGCCUUUAUUCGGGUCGUGAAACACUUGGUAUUAAAGCACGGUUCAUGGUCCCAGCGUAUCUAUGAAAUCACAUCGGGUAGAGUCUUGUUUAUGAGUGUGUAGCAUGCCAUACGUAUAAGCAAGAGGCUACUAGGUGUUUAGGAAUGUUUCUCUUCUUUGUCAUUUAGUUCGUGCUUCAGAUUCUAAUCUAUCCGCAAAUCAAUGAUAUCUUGAUUUUUAGAAAAACCAGUUAUGCCUCCCCGUUGCACCAACGUUAAUGCUUAAGAGGAUGAAGACUGUCCUACUCAUGGAAUGAGGAUACAUAAUAGAGCUCAUAAUCUAAAAACUGUCCCUACUCCGGGAGUCCCUCCAGUCCCAACCAGUCUACCUAGGGCUCCUUGGACUAAUGUUACCCAUCCCCCGACUACUAAGAGGGAUAUUUUGAAUGCAGAAUUUAGAAAAUCUAUUCAUAUACUGAUACAGUUGGUGGAUAAUCAGGCCCAACGAUCAGAAGAUGUUGGGUCUGCACCUGUUAUAUCUGAAGCUACUAGGGUGGGUCUGACCCACCUAAGUUUACUGGCACUAAGGUAGAAGAGGAUCCGCAAGAGUUCAUAGACAAAAUGGAGAAGAUUUCUAGAGUGAUGCAUGUGGAUCAGGUGAAAGGUGUUGAGCUAGCGGUAUACCAGCUAAAUUAUGUAGCGAAUCAAUGGUAUAAUGAGUUGGAAAAGGUGAAGGGUGAUAGUGCUGAGCCCACAGUGUGGGACGAGUUUAUGGAAUCUUUUCUUGACUGGUUCUUUUCUCUAGAAUUGAGGGAAGCCAAAGUGGAGGAGUUUAUAAACCUUAAGCAGGGUAAUAUGAGUGUUCAGGAGUAUACUUUAAAGUUUAAUCAGUUAGCCCGUUAUGCUCCUGAGAUGAUGAGCAGUAUGAGGGCCCAAAUGAGGAAGUUUGCUUUUAGCCUUUCAGAUGAUCUGGUGCUUGAAUGUCAAGGGGCGAUGCUAAAUAGGGAAUUAGAAUUUACUAGGCUGACAGUCCAUAUGCAGCAGGUUGAGAAGAAGAAGAAGAACAUAGCUGAGUCCAGAGAAAAGGACACGCAGGCGAAGAGAGCCAAAUAAGUAGAUCAGAACCCCAGUCAGCAGCACGGUGGUAAUUGGGGUAACAAAUGGCAAAAGAAGAAGUUUUGGAGCAAGGCAUAGUCUACAGCUAGUGCCCCAGCGUCCAGACCUCCAGUUGAUAGACGGUCUCAAAGUUUUUAGGCCAGCCAGGGACCCAGAGCUCAGGAUACUCAGUCGUAAGAUAAUGUGGCUUAGCAAUACCAUUCUUAUCUAUGAUGUGAGACUUGUGGUAGGCAUCAUCCGGGAAAGUGUCAGUUGGGCUCGUCAGUGUGUUAUUCAUACGGUCAAACGGGCCACUUCCAGAGAGAAUGUCCCUCUGAUAGAAGAAAUGUUGGUGGAGCUAAGUCUCAGGAAAACUCUUCUACACCACCACUACCUUAAAAGGGCACCAAUUCAGCUGUCGGGAGCGGUUGCAACCGGCUGUAUGCUCUGACUAAUCUCCAAGAGGCGGAAGCCUCACCAGACGUAGUCACUGGUAGGUUAUAAAUCUUUUCUCGUAAGGUAUAUGUAUUGCUUGAUCUCGGGUCUACCUUAUCUUAUGUGACCCCGUAUGUGGCUGUUGGUUUUGGGUUUGAACCCGAUAUGAUUGCUGAACCUUUCUCUAUUUCCACUUCGGUGGAAGAUUUGAUUGUGGCUAGAAGGGUGUACAAAAAUUGUGUUGUGUCUAUUCUUAGUAGGGAUACUAUAGAAGACCUCAUAGAACUUGAUAUGGUUGCCUUUGAUGCUAUCCUAGGGAUGGACUAGCUCCAUCGGUGUUAUGCCACACUAGAAUGUAGGACUCAAAAGGUUACCUUUUUUUUUUCGAAUGUGCCAGCAAUAAAGUGGGAGGGGCUUUCCUUAGCACCUAGAGGGCACUUCAUAUCUUAUCUCAGAGCCCGUAAACUUAUUUCCAAGGGUUUCUUCUACCAUCUUAUUCGGGUUAAAGAUUCUAACGUCGAAAGUCUCCCCCUUCAGUCUGUCCCAGUAGUAAAUGAAUUCCCAAAAGUUUUCUAGAUGAUCUCCCAGGAAUUCCACCUGAUAGGGAGAUAUAUUUUGGCAUUGAUGUGUUGUCAAAUACCUGUCCUAUUUCUAUUCUGCCAUAAAGAAUGGCUCUUAUAGAGUUAAAAGAGUUGAAAGAAUAGCUAGCAUUUUAUCAGACCUAUUAUUUCUCCUUGGGGUGCACCUGUACUCUUCGUGAGAAAGAAAAAUGGUUCCCUGCGUAUGUGCAUAGACUACCGCCAGUUGAAUAAGGUCACAGUAAAAAAUAAAUAUCCUCUUCCUAGAAUAGAUGACCUUUUAAAAUAGCUUCAGGGUGCUAAGUGUUUUUCAAAAAUAGAUCUUCAUUCGGGAUAGCAUCAGUUGAAAGUUAGGGAGUCAGACAUUCCUAAAAUAGACUUUCAAACCAGAUAUGGUCAUUAUGAAUUCUUAGUCAUGUUCUUAGAGUUCACCAAUGCCCCUUCAACUUUCAUGGACCUAAUGAAUAGGGUCUUCCGUCAGUUCCUAGACCUGUUUGUCAUAGUUUUUAUUGAUGACAUCUUGGUUUACUCUAAAAGUGAGGAGGACCAUGCCAAUCACCUCCGCACUGUUGUUCAGACCCUCAAAGAUCAUAAGUUGUAUGGAAAAUUCUCCAAAUGUGAAUUCUGGCUGAAUUUUAUUUCUUUCUUGGGGAACAUUGUGUCUAGUGAAGGGAUUAAGUUGAUCCCUAAAAGAUUGAGGCAAUAAAGAAAUAUCCCAGACCCACGAAUCCAACCGACAUUCAAAGUUUCUUGGGUUUGGCAGGGUAUUACUGGAGGUUUGCAGAGAGUUUCUCUUCUAUAGCUGCUCCACUUAGUAAGUUGACUCAGAAAAAGGUGAAGUUUUUAUGGUCCGACUCUUGUGAGAAUAGUUUUGAGAAGUUGAAAGACAAGUUGACUACCACUCCUGUUUUGACUCUUCCAAAAGGUAUAGAGGGUUUUUUUGUGUAUUGUGAUGUGUCCCGUAUGGGACUUGGUUUGUACUUAUGCAGUAUGGAAAGGUGGUGGCUUAUGCAUCUAGGCAGUUAAGCAUGAGCGGAACUACCCCAUUCAUGAUUUGGAAUUAGCAGUUGUGGUGUUUGUGCUUAGAAUUUGGAGGCAUUAUCUUUAUAGGGUGCAUGCUGAUAUUUUCACUAACCAUAAGAGUUUGCAUUAUGUUUUCUCGCAGAAAGAACUAAAUCUCAGGCAAAGGCAUUGGAUGGAGCUUUUGAGAAACUAUUACAUGAGCCUUCACUAUCAUCUGGUAAGGCAAAUAUGGUAGCUGAUGCCCUAAGCUGAUUGUUAAUAGGUAGUCUUUCUUAUGUUGGGUAAGGGAAGAGAGAGAUGGUGAAAGAUAUUCACUGAAUUAUAAAUCUAGGAGUGCGACUCUUGGAUUCCGAAGAUGGGGGAAUAGAUGUUCAUGCGAUAACUACAUUUUCCCUUUGUACGAAAGUUAAAAAGAAGAAGGUUGAAGAUCCCAUCUUGAUGCAAAUUAAGAAUGAUGUGGGUCAGCAGAAGGUGAUGUUAUUUGAGAUCAGUGGUGAUGGUAUUUUGAGAUACCAGGGUAGAUUAUGUGUACCAGAUGUGGAUGAUUUGCAGAAUAGAAUCCUUGACGGAGCUCACACUUUAAGGUAUAUUGUUCACCAAGUCUCUACUAAGAUGUACCAGGAUCUGAAAUCUUUGUAUUGGUGGAAUAAUAUGAAGCGUGAUGUGUCUAACUUUGUUUCCAAGUGUUUGAAUUGUCAACAAGUUAAAGUAGAACACAUGAGGCCAGGUGGUUCUUCCCAAGAGAUAGCUUUGCCCUUGUGGAAGUGGGAGAUAAUUAAUAUGGACUUCAUUACAGGGCUCCCAAAGUCCUGAAACCAGUAUGAUUCUAUUUGGGUGAUUGUAGAUAGACUGACCAAGUCAGCCCAUUUUUUGCCUGUCAUGACUAACUAUUCAGGAGAGUAUUAUGCCAAGCUGUUCAUUUCAGAAAUAGUUCAUUUGCACGGUGCGCCUGUGUCCAUCAUAUCCAAUCGAGGUACAUAGUUAUCUUCUAAGUUUUGGAGAUCUUUCCAGAAAGGACUAGGUACCCAAGUGAACCUAAGCACUGCUUUUUACCCUCAGACCAAUGGGCAGGCCGAAUGCACCAUUCAGACCCUUGAGGACAUGUUUAGGGCCUGUGUGAUUGAUUUUAAAAAUAGUUGGGUAGAGCACUUGCCAUUGAUAGAGUUUGCGUAUAAUAACAGUUUCCAUUCUAGUAUUAAGAUGGCACCAUUUGAGGCACUGUAUGGGAGAAGAUGUAGGUCUCCUAUAGGAUGGUAUGAAGUAGGUGAGAUGCAAAUGUUUGGGCCCUAUCUUGUUCAUCAGGCAAUGCAGGAUAUGAAAGUCAUCAGAGAACGACUUAAGAUGGCUCAGAGUCAUCAAAAAUCUUAUGCCGAUGUUAGGAGAAGAGAUUUAAAGUUUGAGGUCGGUGAUUGGGUAUUUCUAAAACCUUCUCCUAUGAAGGGAGUCAUGCGAUUCAGGAAGAAAGGUAAAUUAAGUCCUCGCUAUAUAGGACCAUAUCAGAUUUUAAGGAGAAUAGGUGGUGUUGUGUAUGAGUUAGAAUUGCCUUCCAGUUUGGGUUCUGCCCAUCUGGUAUUUCACAUAUCCACGUUGAAGAAAUGCAUUGGAGACCAUUCUUUGGUGUUUCCUGUCGAAGAGAUCAAGGUGAAAGCCUCCUUAUCAUAUGAAGAGGAAACCAUUGCAAUCCUAGAUCGUCAGGUCCAGAAGUUGAGAAGUAAAGAAAUAGUUUCAAUUAAGGUGUUGUGGAGAAAUCAGAAAGUUGAAGAAGCCACUUGGGAAUUAGAGGAUGACAUGAGAGCAAGAUACCCAAGCCUUUUUGACCCAGUAGAUGACGGAGUUAAAGGUACAACCCUUACCUUAAUCUUUCUAUGCUUUAGUAUGCUUGGAAUCGUGCUUGUCUAUUUUCCGCAUGAUCAUUCGAGGACGAAUAAUUCCAAUAGGGGGAUAUUGUAGCACCCCGACGUCUUCUUCGCUAAAUUCCGUCCAUGAAAAGUCAAAGCAUUAGCUUUUAGAAUGAUCUAAAUUAAUUUUCAUGUGGAAUUUCCUAAAUUUCAACCUUUCAUUAUGUAGAUGACUAAAUUAGCUUUCCAACGAUAUAAGAUAAAUCCAAAACGGACCCUCGGUGAAAAAGUUAUGAAUAAUUUAAAGUUCCAGUCAUAAACAUCGUCAUUUUGGUGUCUAGCGCAUCGCGGAGAGGGUCAAAUUGACAAUCAUCAAAUUCCAGUGGGGCUCCUCGAUGGUGGAGCAUCGCGGAGGCACUCAAUUUCCCACUCGUCUAAUUCCAAUGGAUCACCGCGAUUGUGGCGCAUCGUGGUGGCACCCGAAAUCAGGUUUUUAAGUUCAAAUUUCCAGUUCCGUUUAGGAGUCAUUAAGGAUAAUUUUGAAUUUUCCCUAACCUUUAAAACCAUCCAAACAAAGGAUUUAGGGUAUGUUUGAGCAACUUAACCCUACUUUCAUCAAAAUCAUCAAGAAUUCUCUCUAGAGCUUCAAACAAGAACUUUAAGAAACUUAAGAUUCAACCGUGGGUUUUCAAAAUAGAUUGAAGAUUCGAAAUCCUCGGAUCAUAGGAUUCAAGAGACAACCAUUGUUUUCCUAUUUUGAGGUAUGCGGGGUUUUUCUAAAAAUCUCAUGGGCAUAGAAAUCAUGAUUUUAAGAAAGUUUUCAGAUUUAUGAAUACAUUCAUAUUUUAGAAAUCUUGAAGGUAUUGUUUUGGUCUUUUGACCUUCCCCAAAUUGAUUUGAAAUUAUAUAUACGUAUACAUAUGUUUUAUGAUUUAUGAAUGAAUUGAGAGCAUGACGCACCUUAAACCCUCUCUUGGUAUGAUUUUUUUAAUUUUCUUACGAUAUGGAUUAUUUUGAAUGUAUCUUGAAAAUCAUGAUAUGAAAUAUCUUGAUUAAUGCUGCAAAUUGAUUUAUGAUUUUGAAUUUGAAAGAAAGAGUUGUGUAUAUUGAUAAAUGUUGAAAAUAUUCAUAUAAUGAAAGAGUGCAUGAUUUUGCCAAAAGCACAUGACCACCAUAUGUUUGAACAAUCUCAGCAUAGUUUUGACUUGUGUUCUCGGAACAUGAAAUCUUUUAUAUUGUUUGCAUGUUUGGGUGGUCUGAACUGUAUUUUAAUGAAAGAAUUAUGCAUGAUUCAUUAUGGCUUAGAAAUAGGACUUGCAAGUCUUGGUGUGAUGACACCAAUUCAGAUUUUGCCAUGAUAAUUCAAAACAGAUUUAAUAUAUGUUUGAAAUUAGACUUUUUAGAUGUUGAAACUAGAAACAUGCAUGAUUUAGAACAGGAUAAAAUUGGGCAUAAAGAGAGUUUAGGUGGUUCCCCAAAGAAGGCGUGAGUAUUAAACAACUCAUCGCCCAAAACUGUGAUUUUCCAAUCUGGGUUUAUUUAUUACACUGGCCUAGAGCCCUGUGGCGUAUCAGAUUCAGGAACUCCAACCCUUGCAGCACACAUGGGUUGGGGGAUUCCCCGCUGAGUCAAUGACGGAUUCCAUACCACCCGUGGAAUAUCAGAUUGUAAAGGAGUGCCACCUAACUCAGAAGUAAUAUACAGAUCAGAACUUGCAUUGACAGGCAGGUUACAUGUUUUUCAGAAAUGCGCCAAUGUGUUUCAAAAGCCACUUAAUGUAUAAUGUUUUGACAAAGUUGUUUCCCAAACUAUUUUAUUUACAUAUAAGCUUUAUGUUGGAUUUCUUUGCGUACCAGUACAUCUGUAUUGACCCCCCCUCCCUCCCUCCAGGUUUUGAGGCUCAGUCUAGGGAUCCAGAAAGUUAGUAGAUUCGUCAGACAGAGUUGCAGUGAUUAGUUGGUGAGCCUUCUCUAUUCCAGAAGGCCCGUAUUUCAGAUUAUGUCCCUUAUUAUUGUUUUGGUCUAUUGGGGGCCUUGUCCCAGUUUUCAAAUAGUUGUCAGAUUUUCCUGUAGUAGAGAUUUCGCAGACUGAGUCAGAUGUUAUUAAAUGUAGUUGAUUUUCAAUUUUCACACUUAUGCUGAAUUCAGAAUUGACCAUGUUUCAGUAGCAGAUUAUGUUUCCGCAUCUUCUUUAUUUAUAUAAAUGUGUGCAUGCUAAACAGAUAGAGAGGGACGUUCUGGGCCCUCAGGGUUCGGGAUGUCCAUCACGGCCAAGCCCUAGUUCGAGUCAUGACAUUAAAGAUCUUCUCUAUCUCAUCCACAAACUCCUGUUGAUCUUCUUCUACCUUAGUGCCAGUAAACUUGGGCGGGUUCAUUCUCAUGAACUGACCCACCCUAGUAGCCUCAGAUAUAACAAAUGCAGACCCAACAUCUUUCGAUUGUUGAGCCUGAUUGACCACCAACUGUGUCAAUAUAUGAAUUGAGUGUCUCAAUUCUGCAUUAGAAAUAUCUCUCUGAGAAGUCGGGGGACUGUUAACAUUGGUCCGUAGAGAUCGAGAUGGACUGGUCGGGACUGGAGAUACUCCCGGAGUAGGAAUAGGUUCUGGGGCGAGAGCUCUAUUACGGGUCUACAGCCUGUGAGUGGGACGGACCUCAUCUAUCUGUGCAUUCUGAUAGAUAGUGCGACGAAGAGGUAUGAUCGAUUUUUCUGAAAAGCAAGAGAGCAUUGAUUAGAGGCAGAUUAGACUCCAAAGCAUGAACUAGAUCACAAAGAGGGGAAAUAUUCCUAAACGUAUAGUAGCCCCUUUCUUAUAAGUAUGGCUCGCUACACACCCAUAAACAAAACUCUAACCGACGCGAUUUCGCAGACACCUUGGGACCAUGAACCAUGCUAGGAUACCAAGUUUGUCACGACCCGAACUAGGGCCUGGCCGUGAUGGACAUCCCGAACCAUGAAGGCCCGGGCGUCCCACUCUAUCUGGUAAUCAUGCUCAACAUUCACAUAAUAAAAGGAGAUUCAAAAAUAUAAUCUGAUACGGAAACAUGGUCAUACUCUAGAUUCAGUUAAACAAUAAGGAAUGAAAUCCGAACCCAACUAAACAACAUCUGGAACAAUGUACGAAAUCUAUACUACAUUAAUAUCUGAAACCUAUCAGAAAGCUGGGACAAGGCCCCCAGUAGACCAAAAUCGUAACCACUAAUAAUUGUCUGAAAAUAAACAGGCCUUCCAGAAUAUAGAAGGCUCAUCAACUAGACACUGCAACUCUGUCUAAUGAAACCUACUACUUAUCUGGACCCCUAGACUGAGCCUCAGAACCUAAGAGGUAGGGGGAGGGGGGUCAACGCAAUGUACUGGUAUGAAAAUUAAUCCAAAAUAAAACUUCUAUAUAAGUAAAAUAGUAGAGAGAAAGUUACUAAAACAUCGCGCAUAAACAGUUCUGAAAACACAUGGGCAUUUUUAUAAAAAUCAUAAAUCAUUCUUGUCAAUGCAAUGUCUAUUCUUUGUAUUACUUCUAAGUUAGGUGGCACUCCCCUACAACUCUGAUAUUCCAUGGGCUAUAUGGAAUUCACCAUUGACUCGGCGGGGAAUCCCCCAACCCAAGUAUGCCGCAAGGGUUGGAGUCUCUGGUUCUAAUACACCACAAGACCCUAGGCCAGCGUAAUAUAAUAUACCCGGAUCGGCAAAUCACGGUUUUGGGCAAUGAGUUAUCUAAACUACUUUCCUCUUCAGGAAACCACCCAACAUCUCUUUAUGCCCUAUUUUAGCCGUUUCUGAACAUACAUCAUUCUAAAAUUCUAAAACAUAAAAGCCUGAUUUCUGUAUUAGUCUGUGUCUGUUAUGGCAUUUUCUGAGUUGGUAUCAUCAUACCAAAACUUGUAAGUCGUUAUUCUAAGUCAUAUAUGAUUAUUUUAUUCUAAAACAAUGUUCAGGCCACUUGAUCGUGCAUAUAGUGUAAGAAGGGUCAUAUCUCAAAUCAUAAGUCAAAAUCAUGCAAAGGAUUUCCAUUCAUUCAACAAUUUCAAUAAGUAGUGGCCAACUUCUCAAAAACAUUCUUGAAGUUUCUUUGUUUAUCCAUCUCAACAUUUAAAAUCAUUAAAGCAUUCCUCUCUCCCAUUCUUAAUCAUCAUGAAUUUCACAUAAGACAAAUAGUAUCUUGAAUCAUUCUGCAAACCAUGAAAUGUAAGGAUUCAUAACUUGUAAAUCAAAUAAUAAAGUAAUGGGAGAGGGAGAUUUUAUAUUUCAUGCUCUCGAUUCACAAUUCACGAUUUUCAAUGUAUACGUACAUAUAUUCAAUUCAAAUCAAUUUGGGGAAAGGCCUAAAGACCAAAACAAUAUUAUCGAAGCUUCUAAAACAUGAAUGUAUUCAUAAAUUCAAAAACCCCUUUUCUUAAAAAUCAUGAUUUCUAUACCCAUGAGAUUUUAGAAAAAAUCCCGCGUACCUCUAUUAUGAAGAAUAAUGGUUGAUCCUUGAAGCCUACGGUUUGGGGAUUCCAAAUCUCCGAUCAAUUUCGAAAACCCACGAUUGAAUCUUGAGUUUCUUGGAGGAGAAGUAUAUGAACUAGGGUUUUUGUUUUGAGUGAAAUCUUGAGAAUGUUGUAUAUUAUGCUUAUAGAGGUCUUAAUCUUCUGUUUGGACAUUUUAAGAGACUGGGAAAAAGUUCAAACUACCCUUGUUAACUUCUGAACGAAAUAGGAAAAAUUUAAACUGGGAACCCAAUCUUAUGGGCCACCACGACGUGCCACUAUAGCGGUGGCUCACUAUAAAUUGACGAAUGGGAAUUUGGUCCACUCCAUGAUGCACCACCAUCACGGAGUCUCACUAGAAAUUGACCAUCGUCAUUUACACCCUCUCCACGAUGCACCAAGGACAGGAAUGAUGGUGUUUUACGACUAGGACUUAAAUUAACCAUAACUCCUUCGUCGAGUGUCCGUUUUGGACGAAUCUUAUGUCGACGGAAAACUUAUUCGAUCAUCCACGUAAUGAAAAGUUGAAAUCUAAAGAAUACCAUAGGGAAAUAAGUAUAAAUAAUUCUAGAAGUCAAUGCUUGAUACUUUAAGGACAAAAAUUUAGCUUAGGAAAAACUACGGGGCGUUACAGCGAUCCCAUGUAUGUUUCAAAUAGAGAUGUACCGAUGAGUUAUUUGUUUUCUCCUUCUCUUAGACUUCUUCAUUUUAUUUUCCUCAUUCCAUGAUUGUUCCAAAGUAACUUAUCCUUCCCUUGCUUUCAAUGUUCUCUUGAUCUGAUGUAUAAAAUGUGCAUAAAACUUUAUCAGAUGGAACAAGAAAGAAUACAAGAAACUGAAGAAAGAAACAUAUAUUGUCAUACAAAUAUUGAUCAAUGUCAUCCCACAUUGUUUUCACAAAACAUUAUCCGACUACACUAAUUUACACACACACAGGCCCUGUUGAUUUUCCUAAUUACCUUAAGCUUAGUGAGAUGAAAGUUCACAAACAGUUCAUACUAACAAUAAGAGUAGAAACAAAAGAAUAGAGAAGAACAUGCGGGAUAUUAUUCGGUCCCAAGGCCUGAAGCUCUUCCCCUCCCAAAUCUUCAAUGUAUUGUUUAAUCUUCUUAGCAGAAACUUCAAGUUGAGGGCUCUCUUCAAGUUUGAUGAUUUUCAACGAAAAAAUAUCGCUGAAACUAGGCGGAAUCUCCUCAAGCAUAUGACAUCCCCUCAGUCCUAAUUUCUCAAGUAUGGGAAAGGUAUUCUCUUCUACUUUCCAUGUAGCAAGAAAAUUUGAGAUUCUCAAAGGUGUCUUCCUCCCCCAUGUUCCAUUCAUCCCCCUGCAUGAUUGUUCUCAUAAGGAACAACACUUCAAGGUUGGGCAGUCUCACUAUUGUUGAUAGUGAAUUGGACGUCAGAGGAAAGUUAUACAACCACAAUUUUUUCAAAUUCAAAGGCAAGUUAAAAUCGCACGACCAAUUUUUCACUACAGAGGGCCCACUGUCAUUUGUGUUUGAACUUUCAAAAUCUUCUCUGAGGAAAUCUAGUUUAGUUAGGAAAUCCAAUUUUGGGAACCAAUAUUGCUUUGUUGAAUAAUCCCAUGAUUCCUUGAGAAUAAAUACAAGCUCUUGAAGAUUGGGGAAUCUUAUGAAAAUAUCCUCUAAAUCUUUGGAAUAGGAAAGCACGAGGUUCUCUAAUACUCUCAAGUUCUCAAACUUUGAGUCCUUUGUUCUCAGUAUCGGUACAUUUGUAUCCAAAUCAAAUAAAGAACAAGCAAUCAUGGAUAGCAGUCGCAACUUUACAAGAUCCCAAAUACUCGGUAAUAGGACUAAGGUUGAUCCUUUGUUUUCAACCAUCAAGGUUUCUAGAUUCCAGAGAUUUGAGAACGAUGAAGGCAGAGAUCUAACUUCUGUCCCAAUGCUUAAGCACCUUAAAUAAUUCAACAUGCCCAUUUCAUUCAGCAAAGAAUCUUUCACCAUCAUAAAAGAGCUUCCCAGGAUCAACACGCUAAGAAGCCUCAAGUCUCUUAGGUGACAUGCAUCAGAAAGACGAUCUUCCAUAUUGUCUCCAGUUAUCUCCAAAGAAUAGAGGUGUUUACCAAAAUGCCCUUUCAUUUUUGAACUAAACAGGAUGAAAUUGUUAUCCUCAAAGUGCUCCUUAUCAUAAAAAAUGUCCACAAUACGUGGCAUCAAAUCUGAAGAAGAAGAUGGAUCACUUGAACUUAUCUGACCAAACAACUUUUCCUCUCUUGCUUUUAUCAAACAAAAGUCAAGCACAAGAUCAUGUAGUUGGAAAGUAGGGUAACCACCUAUCUCAUUGAAAGCAAUUACCAAACUACAGGAAAUUAAAUUAUCCAAAUAAAUUUCCAUCACUUCUUUCACACUCUUCAUCCCUAUCUGUUCAACAAGCCCUUCAGCACGCCAAUACAUUUUCAACAUAUCUCUAUCCAUUGCACUGUCCUUCAGAUAACUUGCAAGGUAGAGAAAGCAUGUCUUUAAGUGAUGAGGCAAAUGGUCAUAACUUAAUUCUAUAACCUUCAUCACAUCCACUUCACUGCUGAAAAUGAAGGAAUUCAAAUUAUUUUGAACUUCAAGCCACACAACCCUUUUAUUUUCCAAACCUACAAUGACACCAGCAAUCAGAUCAACAACCAAAGGAAGCCCUUUACAAUUUUGGGCUAUUUCUUUACCAACAUCCAAUAGUUCAUCGGGGAAACUCUCUUUUCCAAAUUCCCUUUUCUCUAAUAACUCCUAACUUGCUUCUGGUCUUAGCAUUCGAAGGUUAAGAGGAUCUGUGUUGCACUUUCCAUGAAAAGCCACUUCUUUUUGCCGAGUCAUCAUAAUAAUUCUACUUCCUUUCUCAACUUAAGGGAAAGGUCUUGUUAAAUCAUCCCAUGUAGUAGUAUCCCACACGUCAUCCAGCACAAUUAGGUACUUUUUUCCAUACAAUUGUUUCCGCAGCUUAUCAGCAACAUUAAUUUCCUUGCUGAACUUCAAAUCUGAGCUCUUCACUUGAUUAAAAAGUUUCACCAGCAACUUUUUCUCGUCAUAUUCUUGGUCGACUGUGCACCAUGCACAAAGGUCGAAAUAACUACAAACUGAUUCAUCAUUGUAUACUUUGUACGCCAAAGUAGUUUUGCCCGAACCCGGCAUACCCGUGAUUGAGAUGACAUCUAGAUCUUUCGGUCCACUAAUGAGCUUAAUAAUCAACCAUUCUGUCUCCUCCUUAAGACCUACAAUUAUUUUACCAGUCGUCAAUGACUUGCUUUCAACUAGCUUCUUGGGAGAGUUGACAACAACGCGGCUCCUAUUCUUGGGAAUCUUCUCAAGUAAAUUGGAGACAUCUUCUUUGAUAAGCCUGAUCCUUUUUAUGGUGAUGGGGAGUGAGAAAAUAAGAUUUAAGAGACCAUUAUCUCUUACAAUAAUUGAAUCGAUGACGUCUUUUGCCUCAUAUGCCAUGUCUAAAACACGUGACAAGAGAUCUUUAAUCAAUUCUUGCUCAAUGUUUAUGAAGGAAGAUCUUAUGAAUUCUAGGUCUUCUUUCACCUGUCCAGUUUCUUCCUUUAUCAAUACAAUUGAAUAAGAAUUGGAAUCUAGCAAAUCAUUUAGGUGUCUGUGCAGUAGAUGCAUAAAGAGGGGCCCAUCACUCGUGGGAAAGGAAGAUUGAGAUGAGUCCGGGCCCAUCACUAGAUAUGUCAGCAUUAAUCACACAUAAAAUGUUUUAACAUUAAAUCAUAAACAUAAUAUCCCAAAACUUUGAAUUUUCAAAAAAGGAAUUUGUAUGAUUAUGGAAAAUCACGUCCUAUAUGUUCAAGAAAAUCAGAACCUAUCACUACAAAUACGUUUAUUUUUUUAUGCAUUGUAUGUUAUUUUAACUUCCCUCACGCAUGACGUUUUUUCGUUCCUUCAAACCUUAUAUGAUAUAUGGAACUUAAUGGCCUGAAAAAUCCAGCUUCUAGAUGCAUAUGGUCCUUAUUAAGAGGAAGUGAUACUUAUUCGGCAUGAUUGAUUGUGCAAUAUAUUGUGCAGAUUUCUCUCUCUUAUUUGUGCCUUAUUAAAUGUACAUAAUAUUCUAGCUGAUGCUUAGGGAUUUAGAUAUCUAGUUACCUUAGUUGGCCUUCUCCUUACUUGUAUUUAUAUCUCUGUAACCUUUGGAUAAUAUACGUCUAAUAUACUACUACUUCUUCAUCUCUCAAACCUUUAUGGUAUCAGAGCCUUUCUAAACUCCAACGGGUCUUCUCAUCUCUUUCAAGUUUUCCUAUCAGUUCUAUGGCAUCCAUGGUGAAUUUGAUGUGCCUCAAGUUAUAAAAACUUAUUCCAGGAGGCCAAAAUAAAUAAUUAAAAGACUUGAUAACUAUCAUGAGACAAUUAUGGGGUGUUUCUUCUGUAGUAAAAGGGACAGGGCAGUAGAGGUAGGUAUUGAGGAAAAAGGAAAAGGGAAUUCUGGAGAGUUCUAGCCUCUCGAAUGUCUAGAAAUGUGGGAGGGUUCUAGCCUCCUGAAUGUCUAGGAUUGAGAAAAUCUGUGUAAAUUUAGCAUUAUGUAUUGUUUAACUGAAGUUCAUUCAAGUAUUAGGAUAUAACAUUUAGUGUUAGUAGUGUUUAAAGUGUUAGCAAUAUCUGAGUGGUUGUUUUCAGAAUUCUGAUUGUAAUUUCCGUCUAUUUAGUAUAAAACAUCAGUAUUUGUACCUUUAUUUACAAUUUUCUAUAGAAAAGUCUAUCAAUUUGUUAUCAGAGCAGUAACGUUCAGGUAUGGUGAGUAAAAUAGAGGGGCACGUUAACUGGUAGAGACAAAUUUGACAAGGGUAAGAGAAGAUGUCAGAAAUUAGAAGGAUGUUUUAAGAAAUGAGUCGCUUGCAAGAAUUGAAGCCCAAGGGUAAACUGUGAUUGCAGAAGCAUCUCCUUCUCAAACCAAAUCCAUCAAAAACCAAGAAGAGGGAAGCAAUGUCAACUUGUAUGGAGAAAAAGAUGGGAAGAAGUUUCAGAAACUACAAUUACUAGUUUUAGAAGGAGAGUAUCCUUUAGGAUGGAUUUUCAGAGUGGAACGAUAUUUUGAAGUGAAUGAAAUUUCUGAAGUGGAAAGAUUACGGGCAACAAGUAUUUGUUUGGAAGGAAAAGCCUUAAAUUGGUUUUAUUGGAUGGAAUCUCACCAACAAAUGUCAACUUGGAAAGACUUCAAAAGAGAGUUGUUGAACCGAUUUCAUGCUUCUCCAAAGAUCAACCAAUAUGGUGUCUAAAUGGGGCUGAAACAGACUAUCACAAUCAUUGCGUUUCGUGAAGAAUUUGAAAAGGUGUCAGCAUCUAUGAAUGAGACGUCAGAUAAAAUGUUAUUGGGAGCAUUUUUGAAUAGUCUAAAAGAGGAAAUUCAUGCAGAAGUGAUGCUUUUAUGGGCUCAAACAUUGAGGGAGAUAAUCGAGAUGUCUCAAAAGGUGGAGGAUCAAAAUUCUAUUUUGUAAGAAGUUCAAAGUUUUAAAUUUGAACCAAAUACAGGAAGUUCAUGCAAUAUACUAGUUGGGUUUAGACCCAAUUAUCCUCGAGUCACAAACAUACUUGAAAUAGGUGACUCAAGAACUGGAUCAGCAGGCAGUAACACUAAUUCACCAGUGCAUACUGCCGCAAAGUCGACUACUUUGAUAGAAAAAUCAGAGGGAAAAUUUAUAAGGUUUUUCGAUUCAGAAUUUGCUAAAAAAAGGACAACAAUGAUUAUGUUUUAGAUGUGAUGAAAAAUUUGGCCCCAGUCAUCAUUGUAAAAAUAGACAGCUUAACCUAUUAAUUAUUGCAGAGGCACCCAAUAUGGAUGAAGGUGAUAUGGACGAAAUCUUUGAGUCUACCAGAGAAGUUGUAGUUGAAAGGAAAUCUAAGAGUACUAUGAUAGUGUAGAAUAUGAAAUUAUCAAUCUGCACUUUCCAGAUUUUCACCUUGAGGACAAGGUGACUCUUCUCUAACCUUCAACUAAUGAUAUCCCGAACAAAGGUCUAUCUUUGAAAAGUAUUUAGCACCCUGAAGUUGGUCAAAGAGAUCAUCAAUCCUAGGAAGAGGAUAUUUAUUUUUAACAAAAUCCAACAGUAACUAGACAACAUCUGAACCAGUCUGCGAAAUCUCUACUACAUGCUAAAAUGACAACUAUAUAAAAACUGGGACAAGGCCCCCAACGGACCCAAAAUAAAAUAAAUAACAUAGUCUGAAAGAAACAGGCCUUAUGGAAUAAAGAAGGCUUACUACUUCACAGUUCGUUUCUACCUUAGAACUCUACUGCUUAGCCGGAUCUCUAGACUGAGCAUCAGACCCUGGAAGGUUAGGGGGUCAAUACAAUUGUACUGGUACGCAGAUCAAAUCCAAAAUAAUAAUUUUUAUUCAACAUAUAUGAGAGAAAUUUAAAAUAGUUCAUAAAUAUAUCAUAUGGUAAGAAAACACAUGGGCAUAUUUAAAAUACUCUAAAAAAUUAUCUGGACUCUACGACACUCUUUGUUUUACUUCUAAGUUAGGUGGUAUACCCUACAACUCUGAAAUUCCAUGGACUACAUGGAAUCUGCCCUUAACUUGGCAGCCAAGCCCCUAACCCAAGUUUGUCACAAGGGUUGGAGUCUCUGUCCCUGUACGCCACAGGAUAAUAGACCAGCACAAAAUCCCUCGUAGGGAAAUAAUGGACCCAUAUCGGCAAAACAUAGUUUUGGGCUAAGAGUUACUUGAACGCAAGCCACCUAACCCUCUUUGUGCCCAUUAUUAACUCUUUAAAAUAUGUAUUCUCUGAAAUUAAACUCUGAAAACUCUAACUCUGUUAUGGCAUACUUACAUAUGGUAUCGUCAUACCAUUGACUUGUAAUUCACAUCUAUGAGCCAUUAAUAGCAUACUAUAAUCUCUAUUUUCAAUACAUAAGUUUAGGACCACAAUAUCCAUAAAUCAACUCAAGGAAAUUCUUUCUUUAAACUCAUGUAAACACAUGCAAAAACUCUCUUUUUAACAACAUUUCAAUAGCAUAAGGUGGUCAUGUCAAGUUACUCAUUCACAUGAAAUUCUUUAUUUUUAAAACAAGGACAUAAUUAUAUCAAGAAACUCCCUCUCAUCAUCUCUAAAUCAUGUUCAAAUACUAUGAUAAUGAGAAAACUACUUUCAAAUCAUAAAACAUGUAUUUCAACUCUUUCCGACAAGAUCAUAAACUUUAAUUCAUCAUAAGAGAGGGAUUUCAUAAUUUUUCUCUCAAAAAAAUCUUAAAUCUCAAUUUUCAUACAUAUACAUAUGAGUAUAAAUCAACUUAAGGUGAAAGACCACAAGGCCAAAAAAAUAAUAGCAUUGAAACAUUCAAAAUGCAUAAUUUAAAACAUAAAUUCCAAAAUCCCUUUUUAAAAUUCAUGCUUGAUAAACUUUAAAUCAUGUUCAAGUGUUUCAACAAGCCUAUGUAGUUUUUAGGAUUAACCCCUCAUACCUUAAGUUGUUUAGGAAGAAGAGUGGAUUCUGAAUCACACCUUAGUUUCUUGAAGUUUUUGGCUUGAAUGAAGAGCUCUUGAUCUUAGGGAAAAGAACUAGAGUUUUCAAUUGAGGAAUUUUAUGAGUUCUCUGAUGUAAUUUGCUUCAAAAGGGGUUUAAUCCCGUGUUUGGGCGUAUUGGGGUGAAGGACAAUGAUCCAAUUGCCCUUAAAAAUACGGAGUUAGACUGCAGUAAUUUUCCCCAGCCGGACUAACCAGGGCGCCGCCACGCCUAGUCUGCCGUACUUUCCAAGGCGCUGCCCUGCUUAGUCCGCCGGACUUACCAGGGCGAUGUGGGCUAAUUGCACUGACUCACUGUUUUGCAACCCCAAACACACCUUUACGCUCAUUCAAAAAUUCUGAAACUCCCCCGAGGUGUACUUUUGACUUGCUCCAUUGUGUAUCAACAAAAAAAUCAACAAACGGAGGUCGAAAAGGUUAAAAAUAAAAUCCUCGAAGAUUGGGAGCUCAAAAUGAGACUAAGGCUCCAUUUGUUUUUUUAAGAUUCAAACGUCUGAAUCUGAAUGCACAUCUGAAUGAAUAAGAUGUUGUCUCUAGAUCUAAAAAACUGAAUGAUUAAGACUAUUUGUUUUUCAACAUCUAAAUGUGUAAAAAAAAUUAUUUGUAUACAUAAUAAAAUAAAAAAUAUAAUUCAAAUAAAAAAUAACUAUAUAUUAAAAAAGUAUGUAAUUUAAUACAAUAAAAUUAUUAGUACUUGAUUGAGAAAAAAUGUUUAUGUUUGUUAUUGAUAGUGGAGAUGGCUUAUAAUGGUGGUUGCGGUGAUGAUGAUUGUGUUAGUGAUUAAUAAUGUUGGUGGUGAUAAUUGUGAUGGUCGGUAUUGUAGUGACUGUUAUAAUGAUGGUGGUUGUUGUGAUGUGACGUUGCUUGAUGUUAGUAGCUUAAGAUGUUGAUUGUGUUGGCUAAAACAUGAAUGCAUGAUGAUUGAGGAUGUGUUGGUGCUAGUUGGAGAUGUUAUUUAUUGUGAUGGUGGAGAUGGUUUUUAGUAGAGAUAACUUAUAGCGAUGGUAUUGGUUGAAGUGGUGGUAGAGGUGGCGUUACUAGUGACAAUAGUGGUGGCAGCCAAAGAAUGUGUAGAGGUUAUGAUGUAUUACUGGUAGUUAGUGGUGGUGCUAGUUGUGAUAGAUGAGUUGGUUGAUGGUAGGGAUUGGCUGGUAGUGGUUGCUGAUUGUAGUAUUGUUGACGGCAGUGGUGGUAGUGAAUAUAAUUAGAAUAAAAGAGGUAGCAGGUGUGGUAGCAGUUGACAAUUGUAGUUGGUAGCGGUAUUUUUUAUCGAUGGUGGAGGUGGGUGGUGGUGGUGGAUGGUGGUUGACAAUGGUGACGGUGGCAGAUGUGGUUAGUGGUGGUGACCAUUGAAUAUGAAUAGAGUGGUGAAUAUAAUCCAACACCAGAAUAUCCGUUCAGACCUAUUAAGACUUGGUUCUAGAUCUAAAUGAUUAAGACCUAUUCAGACCUAUUAAGAGUUAAAACCUUAAUAAAAAAUAAAUGCACUUAAUGGUCUGAAGUCUAAACCAUUCAGAUUCAGAACUCCAUUAAGUGCAAACAAAUGAGGCCUAAGUCCUUUUUGACACUUACGAAAAUUUUCAAGUUUUCAACUCUAUAAGCAUGCUACUAGGAGAUAACAUGUGGAGGACUUUUGUGGGGUGUUACAGAAGCUGCAUCAUUUCAAUUCACGUGCAUUUUUCUUGAACCAACUUGUCUGAAAUUUGAGAAGGGGCACGAGGCUUAUCAUUGCACAUGAGGCCAAAUAUUGUACAUCAACACCCAUUUAAACAUCUUUGUCAUUAAAUACUUCAGCCUAUUGGAUCUUGUGAAAGUUGUAUCCUUCUUGUCACAGAAAGGGCUCUUAGAGAAAUAUCAAACCUCUUAGCCUCUUGGAUGAUUUAGGUAGAUGCCCGAGCGAUAUAUCUGCAGGGGGAGGGGGAACGGGGGCUAGUGCAUCAGCUAUGGGGUACGAUAACAGUUGGAGCAGGAGUAGCAGCAUGUGCAGCUAAAUUAUUCACACAUGCAGGCUUAGCUACAACAGCAAUUUUGACGAAUUCAUCCAACAGAAAUUACCCUUACGUUGAUUCUUCAUUCAAAAAUUCGUUAUAUUCCAACAGAGAUUUUUUCCUCUAUCAUGUUACCAAGUAACUUCACAUUGUCAAAAUUGUACUUCCGAAGCACUAAAAGAUUAACCAAAACAAUUACAUAUAUAUUUUCAACAUCAUGACUCCAAUAUGAUUAGUCCACAUUAUGAAACUGAAGAUAAAUUUAGUAAAGGGAAAAGGAGACAGAAACUGGAGAAAACAAAAGUUUAAGAUGAUCACUUAUUGAUCAAAGUCACUGAGCAAUAACAUACUUACAUAUGAUACUUAUUGGCAAACCAGAGGCAACACUUCCAAAGUGACAUAGAAAACAAACUUGGUGUUAGAUUUCUAUAAUAUUGAACUAAGAGCUUGAAGAAGAAGAGUAGAAGAUUCUAGAAGAAAAGUAGUUUUUCAUUGAUUGAUUUUUCUUUUCUUGUUAUGGCACUACAUGUUACAUUAAUAGAGUUAGUUUGAUUCUGGUGAUAGCUGUAUAAUGACAGCUGUCACACUUAACCAACUAACUAACUCACACAUACAUCACAAACAUACUAACUUCCUCUAACUAACAUCAACUUGUUGAUUACACUUUUCACUAUCUUAACACUCCCCCUCAAGUUGAUGGCUUAAAGAUGUUUUUCAUUCCCAGUUUACUUAGUAGAUAUUCAUUCUAACUCUUCCCUAAGGAUUUUGUGAGAAUGUCUGCUAACUGGUCCUCUGUAGGCACAUGAUUGGUCUUGAUCAUCUUCUGACUGGUUCUUUCUCUCACAAAAUGACAAUCUAUAUCAAUGUGUUUUGUCCUUUCAUGGAAAAUAAGAUUAGCAGCAAUCUAUAUUGUUGCUUUGUUGUCACACAUCAAGUCUACAGGUUGUUUGAUCUAAAUUCCUAGCUCUUGAAACAGUCCAAGUAACCAGGUGAUCUUUGCACUACAAGUAGCCAUGCUUCUAAACUCUGCUUCUACAGAGCUCCGGACACAGUCUCUUGUUUCUUUGAUUUCCAAGAGACUAAAGCACCUCCAAACUUUAUUACAUACCCAGCCACUAAUCUUCUAGUUUGUAAGCAAGCACCCUAGUCAGAGUCACAGUAGGCUGUCAAUUUGUUAGAAGUUUCUGUAGGCAUAAACAAUCCCAACCUAGGAUUACCUUUUAUGUACCUCAUCAUCUCCUGUUCCAUUGGAAACAUGAUUUUCAUAUUCUACAGAUGUUAGUUUCUGAUUCAUUUUUAGUGAAGUGCUAGCAGGUUUUGAUCCACUUAGCCCAGCCUCAGAUAUAAGUUCAAGAGCAUACUGUCUUUGAUUCAGCACUAUCCCUUCCUUGCACCUAGAUACCUCUAUGCCCAAGAAGAACUUCAGGUCACCAAGAUCCUUCAUUUUAAACUUCUGCUGCAAAUUUGAUCUAGCUUGAUUAAUCAAGGUGAUGUUUUUUCGUGUUAUUAAUAGAUCAUCCACAUAGACAAGAAUAAUCACUAUUUCUUUUUCUCAUUUUUUGGUAAACAAGGAGUAGUCAUAAUAACUUUGACUGAACCCCAUUUGUGAGAGUGCAUCAGUCAGCUUCUUAUUCCACUGUCUAGGGGCCUCCUUUAUGCCAUACAAGGACUUGUGUAAUUUGUAGACUUUUUAAGUCUCCCCCUGUCUGCAAAAACCAUCAAGAAUAUGCAUGUAGACCUCUUAUAACAGAUCACCAUUAAGAAAACCAUUGUGCAUAUCCAUUUGAAAAAUUAACCAUUGUCUAGAAGCAGCAAGAGCAAGAACGGAUAUUACUGUUACCAUCUUUGCAAUAGGAGAGAAAGUAUCUGAGUAAUCAACCCCAGCCUAUUGACUAUAACCCUUAGCUACUAGUGUGGCUUUAUACCUUUCUACCACUCCAUUUGCCUUGUAAUUUACUUUUUACACCUACCUACAAAAAAUAGGAACUUUACCAGGUGGCAAGUCAACAAUAGACCAAGUAUGAUUCUCCUCAAGAGCUACAAUCUCCAGCUUCAUAGCCUCAACCCAAGAGGGAUCUUUGAAGACUUCAAGGAAAGUGGAGGGUUCAGGAAUAAAAGUAUGGAUAGAGAGAGCUGGAUUAUACUGAGGAGAGAGUUGAGAGUAUGUUACAUAGGAAGAUAAUGGAUACAAACUUUGGUGAGAUGAGACAGGCUUGGUAGUGACAGUCAUGGAUCUAAAUGGGAGGUUUCUUACUUCUGGUUGAUUUUCUGAGAAGAGGAGGGUCAGAAUAAGAUGUAGAGAGAUGAAUAGGAACUGAGGGUGAAGGUACAAGGCCAUGCUCCAACUCAAGAGAGACUAAAGAGGAAGUAGGAGAAGGAAUAGAGGGGAAAAAUAAAAAGGGGACUGAAUGAUCAACAGGAGUUGACUGCAGGUCAGGAAAUAAUUGAGAGUCAGUGGAAACUUGGUAAAGGAAAGGAAAAGUGGACUCUUGAAAGAUGACAUUUCUACUAGUAAAGAAUAGUCUGGUAUGAAGAUCAUAUAGUUUGUACCCUUUCUGGGUGGAUGAGUAGCCCAUAAAGACACAAGGAAUUGCUCUAGCAGCAAACUUAUCUGAACAAUGAAUGAUAGAGGCAUAGUCUAAACAGCCAAAGACUUUUAAAUGAGAAAGUGAAGGAACCUGUUGAUGGAAGAUUUCAAAGGGAGAUUUAUAGUUAAGUAUUUUUUAGGGAAUUCUAUUAAGCAAGUACACAGAAGUCUCAACACAUUCACCCCAAAACUUGAGAGGUACACCUGCUUGAAAUUUGAGGGAUCUUGCAACUCCAAUAAUAGUUCUAUGUUUUCUUUCCACCACCCCAUUUUGCUGAGGGGUAUAGACACAUAAAGUUAGUUGCAAAAUACCAGACAUAAGAGAUUUAAACUCAUGACUAAAGAACUCACAACCAUUAUCAGAUCUCAUAAUUUUCACAGAAGUAGAAAACAAGUUUUGCAUUCUAGUCAGAAAAUCUUUGAGUACAACUAUCACUUCAGACUUAAACUGGAUAAGAAACAACCAAGUGAAUCUAGAAUGAUCAUCAAUAAUGGUAACAAAGAAUCUCUUUUUAUCAUAGGUAGGAACGCUAUAAGGUCCCAUUUAUCAUAAUGAAGCAGAUAAAAGGGAGCUAUAGACAGAGAGUUGCUAUGCUAAAAAGAAAGUUUAGUCAUCUUAGCAAGGGGACACACAGUGCACUUGUGAUCUUCAAACUUCAAAUAACUCAGUUCAGCAUGCCUUUUAAGCACCUCGAUAGAUGUAUGACCCAUUUUUUUGUGCUACAGAACACUGGAAUUAGAAAGCAACUUCACAUUAUUGGCACAUCUAUUUACACUUGUAGGUUUAGAGGAAGCAUUUUGGAGAAUGUAAAGCCCUUAAUCUUAUUUACCAAUCCCCAGCACCAUACCAAUAUAGAGAUCCUGGAAGAUACAGAAGUCAAGAAAAAAAUUCACUGAACACUGCGACUCCUUGGUAAGUUUUGAUAUAGAUAGAAGAUUUUAUUUAAACUCAUACAAAUAUAAUACAUCAAUAAUGAGGGAAUUUCUGAGUACACCAGAGGUGCCUUUCUGAGAGACUGGAACCUCAUUACCUGUGGGAAGAUAGACCUGACUUUGUGAAGACUGAGGUAUUUUAUGAUAACUAUGCAACAUAUCAAGGUUGGAAACCAUAUGAUUAGAAGCACCGGAGUCAAUAAUCCAACUAUCACUUAAAAUAGAAUCCUUGUCCUCCUUCCCUAUAUUGAACAGAAUGACAAUCUAUUGAUAUUAUUUUGGUGUAAAAUGAGAAGUAGGACUCGAAGUAAUCUAGGAUGAACUAUGUUGAGACACCUUAUCACUGGUAGAAUAUGUGUCCACUGAGGAUAUAGAGUCUACCAUAUGUGCAUACUGUCCUGAUCCUUUCUUCUUGGACUUAGGCCAAUCUGAUGGGUAACCAAUCAACUUGAAACAUUAAUCCUUAGUAUGACCAUUAUAACCAUAGAACUCAAAAACCACUGGUGGUCUUUUCUAUGGAACACCUCUAUAGGUGGAAGCUGGUGGUCUUCCCUCAUAAAUACCUGCAGUCUUAACUUAACUUGUACUUCCUGAACCACCAGGACCUAGAUAUCCACCUUUCCCUUUGUAACCUGGUUUAUGGGUAAAGAGAGUUGUUGCAUAUAGUGUAUCACAAAGAUGACUCACAGAGGAACUAGAAGUUAUGUAUCUCUGGCUUUCAUGAUCCACAAUCAUGGAGUACACUUUGCUAAUGGAUGGCAUAGGGAUCAUUAAUAGGAUUUGGCUUCUACACUGAGGGUAUGUUUCAUUUAGAACCGUUAGGAACUGUAACACUCUUUGAUAAUCAAAAUGUUGGGCAUAAUUUCUAGAUUCAGGGCAGCUACAUCUAGGAGAAGGCAUAAGAAAAUCAAACUCAUCCCAAAGAGUUCUCAUUCGAGAAAAAUAAUCAGCAACUGACAAAGUUACCUGAGAGAGGGUCACAAUUUCUCUAUGUAAGUAGAAUACUCUAGAGCCAUUCACCUUAUCAUACCUUUUCUUUAAAUCUAUCCACACAGCAUUAGAGGCAUAGAUAAUACUACUCAACAUAUCCUUUCGUACUGAAUUCAUACUCCAUGACAAAACAACAACAUUAACUCUCUCCCACUGAUCAUGUACAAAUUCAUCAAAGUGAUUUUUGGAUAUCUCCUAUCAACAAAGCCUAUUUUGUUCUUGCCUAUGAGACUUAAUGACAUAGAUCUACUCCAUAGGGCAUAAUUAUCAAUGCCAGUAAGCUGGAUAGAAAUAAGAGAGCUACCUGGAGUGUCGUUUGGAUGCAAAUACAGAGGAUGAUUGUGGUCAAUUUUAAUUGUACCAGCUGAUGUAGGUGUAUUUGUAGGUGCUGCAAUUGUAGUUAAAGGAUCUGCAGCGGAGUUUUAAGUAACCGCCAUUAAAUCUCAUUGUAAGCAAUAGAACAAUAGUUGUUAUUCUUACUGAUCAGGUGAAAUCGAUAGUCUCUAGCAUCGAUUACAACCAGCAAUCAGUAGUGGCGCUGAUACCAUGUUAUAUUUCUAUAAUAUUUAGCUAAGAGCUUGAAGAAGAAGAGUAGAAGAUUCUAGAAGAAAAGUUGUUUUUCAUUGAUUGAUUUUUCUUUUCUUGUUAUGGCACUACAUGUUACAUUUAUAGAGUUAGUUUGCUCCUUGUGACAGCUGUAUAAUGACAGCUAUCACACUUAACCAACUAAAUAACUCACACAUACAUCACACACACACUAACUUCCUCUAACUAACAUCAACUUGCUGAUUAAACUUUUCACUUUCUUAACACUCGAAAAAAACGCAACGAAGAGCAGAUAGAAGUUCUUAGAACACUAACCACUUGCAUCAGGGUCUUAAAGGAGAUCGACUUCUAUUACAUUCUACAAUGAGCUUAAAAUAGCCCUUUGCGCAUAGUAUGUGCUUUCCACCUUAGAGUUGGAAACGCCAUCUGGUCACUCCACAAACUUCACCUCGUUAAGUUAAUUUUUGAGUUUGUCUACCAAAGCUCAUCAAUUCUAUAUUUAAUUGACUUAAAGGAUGCCACCUGCAGAAAUGACAUCAUGGUUAGAAGAUAGUAGUGAUGAAACUAAGAGUAUCCGAAAUUGGAAAAGAAUUAACCUAGACCUACACUGGACUCAUUCAAUUCCCAUCAAUCAAUGCAUUAAUUCGCACAAGAGGAUUUUAAUAACACUUACUGAUGCAUGUCCAUUCCAAAUGCCUAUCGAUGGCUGAUUCCACCAGCCUGCAUGGAAAUUAUAACUCCUUGCACACAAAGAUUCCACCCCCUGUUGCGUCCCUUCUUGGCAUAUGGUCAUGUUGGGAAGUUGCACCCUCCGUGUAGUAUGUGUUUGCCACCUUAAAACUAGGGCCACAGUCGCCCACCUUAAACUUCUCCUCAUUAAGUUAUUUAUUCGUGUUUGUCAACCAAAGUUAAUGAACAUAAAGGUACCACCUACAGAAAAGAAACCAUGGUUAGAAGAUAUUAGCGAUAAAAAUAGCAGCAACAGCACUUUAAAAGUACUAAAAGUUUAACCAUAACAGUUGUAUACAUUCAUUCAACAUCAAUACUCCAACAUCAUGAAACCGAAGAUAAAUUUAGCAAAGGAGACUGGAGAUUGAAAAACAAAAGUUUAAGAUGAUCAUUUAUUGAUCAAAGUCAUUGAGCAAUAACAUACUUACAUAUUAUACUUAUUGACAAACCAGAGACAACACUGCAAGACAACUCAUUAAGUUAUUUUUUCGACUUUGUCAAUCAUAUGCUUAGUGGACAUAAAGGUACCACCUGCAGAAAAGAAUUAACCUUCAGAAAAGGUGAUAUUCUUGGCACCUUAUUACCCUGGACGUAUUCAAUUCCCGUCGAUCGAGGUAUUAAUAGGCACAAGAGGAUUUUUAAUGACAAUUACAGUUGCACAUGAGCCUAAAUGUUGUAUAGCAUCAGCUAUAUACACAUCUUGAUCAUUAAAUACAUCUGCAUUCAACACCAAACGCUUACUGAUGGUUGAUUCCACUAGCCUGCAUGACAAUUAUAACUCCUUGUAGGCAGAGAUCCAGCUUCUUGUUGCAUUGGAAUUUCUCAAUGACUUCAGUACCUUAAGAGUUUUCACAUGUUUGUGAUGACGUAUUUCUUGAAAGAUUUACAGAAACUUGAGAAAAAUUGAGAGGUUGCUGACAUUCUGUUUCACUUACUUCUUUCCCAAUAGCAAAGAGGCGGCAACUCCAUGUAUGUUUCAAAGAGAUUAUUACAGUUGAAACCGCCGGCAUUCAGUGGCAGAAAAGUUGCAGUACAAGGCGUAGCAGUGGCACACCUAAUAGGAGGUGAACCGAGCAUGGAGGAGGAGCUGAGGACAGAAAGGAAGAGUUCCACUUUUAAAAGUUCUUUAGACAUAUGUAUGGCAUUCUGUAUCUUAAUGUCAGUGUUAAUAUGGAUGACUAUUGUAUGACGUACCGAUGACUUGGCAGAAGUAAGAUUACAAGAAAUUGAAGAAAGAAACAUAAAAAGUCAUAGAAGGAAAAAAUUUUGCAGUAGUCAGACAAAUAAAAAGUUCAAACAUCAAAUGGUGUUUACAAAACGUUAUCCACAAUGUUAACUGCCACACAUAGACAAAAAAAAAGUAGUUUAUACAAUAAAGAAGAAAAAAGAACUUCACAAACAGUUCAGUUGAGGCUUUCAUCAAACGCGUUCAGUGUAGACAUCUUUUUACGCUGUGGCAAUUGCCACAAAAAGAAUCAGAAUGGAGAAGAACCUGUUCUGUUGGUGCUCAAGAUAUUUCUACCUGAAGUGAGUUCCCUCCGUCAUAUCUUCAACAUAUUGUUUAAUCUUCAAAGCUGAAUCUUCAAGUUGAGGGCUCUCUACAAGUUCGAUAAUUUUUAAUGAACCAACAUCCCCAAAAUUAGGCGGAAUCUCUAUAAGCUUACGACAUCUCCCCAGUUCUAAUUUCUCAAGCCCGGGAAAGGAUUCCUCUCCAAACUCCCACUUAGCAAGAAUAUUCCAAAUACAAAUAUUUGAGAUUCACAAAGAUGUCUUCCGCCCCCAUGUUCCAUUCUUCCCCCUCGAUGAUGGUUCUAAUAAGCAACAACUCUUCAAGGUUGGGCAGUCUCGCUAUUGUUGAUAGUGAAUCGGAUGUCAUAGGAAAGUCCCACAACGAUAAUAUUUUCAAAUUGGAAGGAAAAUGAAAAUCCCACGACCAAUUCGUCGCUAAAGAGUGCCCACUAUCAUUUGUGUUGGGUUCGAAAUCGAGAGGGCGUCAUGAGGAAGCUAUUAGUUGUAAACUAUAAAGACAAUAACUCAGAUGACAAAGAAAACAUACUAAAAAUAUAAUAUUAUUAUGUGAUUUAGCCAAUUGGCCUACAUAUAAAAAACUAAUAUUAAAAACAUAAAACUAAUAAGAGAGAAAAUCUCCCCCUAAAUGAAAAUCUUAAAAGACUAUAUUGUGGAUGCUAUUGUGUUAUGGUAUGAGAAGGGGAGUAUUCUAUUUAUAUAUGUCCAAAACCUUUCAACCAAAAAAGAGGUUAGCCAAAUAUGGAAAAGAAUUAUAUGUUUUUCUUUCAGGAAAAGUAAAAGUAAUUAUGGUAACUUUUAUUUUUCUUCUAAGAAAAAAUAAAACUUAAAUAUAAUAAGAAAAUCAGGGCAAAAACCCUAACAAAUCUCCCCUUUUUGGCUUGAUUUUCUUCACUUGAUCUACCUUCUUCUUGUGCAUGAUCGUUGUUCUUCAUAUAUAUUCUUCAUAUAUCACUGUUGUUUGACAUGCUUUAAAAAUUGAAGCUUUUUGGGUUAAAAAUAUAUAAGCUCUUUCGGGUUAAAAACACUGGAACCCUUUAUACAGUUAAAAGUAAGCUUUCUUUUCAAAGAUGUAAUAGCAGGAUUAUUGAAAAUAUGAUUGACAAUCGUCUCCACAUGUAGUUUUUGGACAUAUAUCUUCAUUAUCAUCAAAUUUGUUCUAACUUUGUUCUCAACAAGUCCUCAAUCUGAACCAUCGAAUCAUUGAACCAUAGGCUCUAAUACCACUUGUUGGGUUCGAAAUCGAGAGGGCGUCAUGCAGAAGCUUAAAGUUUGCAAAUCAUGAGAUGAUAAAUCAGACGACAAAGAACACAAUAACUAAAAGCAUUAAAUUAUUAUAUAUUUUGGCCAAUCGACCUACAUAUUAUAAAACCUAAUAUUGAAAAACAUUAAACCUAUUAGGAGAAAUUUCCCCCUAAACAAAGAUUCUUUAAUAACUACAUUGUGGAGUCUCUUGUGUUGUUGUAUCUAUUUAUAGAGGUUCAAAACCAUUUCUUCGAGAAAGAGGUUUGCCAAAUAUGAAAAAAAUUUAUAUUUUCCUUUUAGAAAAAUAGAAGUAAUUAUGGUAUUACUUUUAUUUUCCUCUAAGAAAAAUAAAACUUAAAUUUUGUAAGAAAAUGUAACACCCCGACAUCUUCUUAGCUAAAUUCCGUCCAUGGAAAGUCUAAGCAUUAGCUUUUAGAAUGAUCUAAAUUAAUUUUGAUGUGCAAUUUCCUAGAUUUCAACCUUUCAUUAUGUAGAUGACUGAAUUAGUUUUUCAACAAUAUAAGAUUCGUACAAAACGGACCCUCGGUGAAGAAGUUAUGAAUAAUUUAAAGUUCCAGUCGUAAACAUCAUUAUUUUGGUGUCUAGCGCAUCGCGGAGAGGGUAAAAUUGACAAUCGUCAAAUUAUAGUGGGGCUCCGCAAUGGUGGAGCAUCACGAAGGCACUCAAUUUCCCACUCGUCGAAUUCCAGUGGACCACCACAAUUGUGGUGCAUCGCGGUGGCACCCGAAACCAGGUUUUUAAGUUUAAAUUGCCAAUUUCGUUUAGGAGUCAUUAAGGGUAAUUUUGACUUUUUCCUAGCCUUUAAAACCAUCCAAACAAAGAAUUUAGGGUAUGUUUGAGCAACUUAAUCCUACUUUCAUCAAAAUCAUCAAGAAUCCUCUCUAGAGCUUCAAACAAGAACUUCAAGAAACUCAAGAUUCAACCGUGGGUUUUCAAAAUCGAUUGAAGAUUCGAAAUCCCCGGAUCAUAGGCUUCAAUAGACACCCAUUAUUUUCCUAUUUUAAGGUACGCGGAAUUUUUCUAAAAAUAUCAUGGGCAUAGAAAUCAGGAUUUUAAGAAAGGGGUUUUCAGAUUUAUGAAUACAUUCAUAUUUUAGAAAUCUUGACAGUAUUAUUUUGGUAUUUUAACCUUCCCCAAAUUUAUUUGAAAUUAUAUAUACGUAUGCAUAUGUUUUAUGAUUUAUGAAUGAAUUGAGAGCAUGGCGCACAUGAAUCCCUCUCUUGGUAUGAUUUUCCCAAUUUUCUUAUGAUAUGGAUUGUUUUGAAUGUAUCUUGAAAAGCAUGAUAUGAAAUAUCUUGAUUAAUGCUACAAAUUGAUUUAUGGUUUUCAAUUCGAAAGAGAGGGUUGUGCAUAUUGAUAAAUGUUGAAAAUAUUCAUAUAAUGAAAGAGUGCAUGAUUUUGCCCAAAGUACAUGACCACCAUAUGUUUGAACAAUCUCAGCAUAGUUUUGACUUGUGUUCUCAGAACAUGAAAUCUUUUAUAUUGUUUGCAUGUUUGGGUGGUCUGAAUUGUGUUUUAAUGAAAGAAUUAUGCAUGAUGCAUUAUGGCUCAGAAAUAGGACUUGCAAGUAUUGGUGUGAUGACACCAAUUCAGAUUAUGCCAUGACAAUUUAGAAUAGAUUUAAUGUAUGUUUGAAAUCAAACUUUCCAGAUGUUGAAACUAGAAACAUGCAUGAUUUAGAACAGGAUAAAAUUGGGUAUAAAGAGAGUUUAGGUGGUUCCCCGAAGAAGGAGUGAGUAUUAAAUAACUCAUCUCCCAAAACCGUGAUUUGUCAAUCUGGGUUUAUUAAUUACACUGGCCUAGAGCUCUGUGGCAUAUCAGAUUCAGGAACUCCAACCCUUGUGGCAUACUUGGGUUGGGGGCUUCCCCGCCGAGUCAAUGGCGGAUUCCAUACCGCCCGUGGAAUAUCAGAAUGUAGGGGAGUGCCACCUAACUCAGAAGUAAUAUACAGAUCAGAACUUGCAUUGACAGGCAGGUUACAUGUUUUUCAGAAAUGCGCCAAUGUGUUUCGAAAGCCACUUAAUGUAUAAUGUUUUGACAAAGUUGUUUCCCAAAUAAUUUUAUUUACAUAAAUCUUUACUUUAGAUUUCUUUGCGUACCAGUACAUCUGUAUUAACCCCCCUUCCUCCCUCCAGGUUCUAAGGCUCAGUUUAGGGGUCUAAAAAGGUAGUAGAUUCGUCAGACAGAGUUGCAGUGAUUAGUUGGUGAGCCUUCUCUAUUCCAGAAGGCCCGUCUUUCAGAUUAUGUGCCAUAUUAUCAUUUUGGUCUACUGAUGGCCUUUUCCUAAUUUUCAGACAGUUGUCAGAUUUUCCUAUAGUAGAGAUUUCGUAGACUAAGUCAGAUGUUAUUAGAUGUAGUUGAUUUUCAAUUUUCAUACUUAUGAUGAAUUCAGAAUUGACCAUGUUUCAGUAGCAGAUUAUGUUUCCGCAUCUUCGUUAUUUAUAUGAAUGUGUGCAUGCUUACCAGAUAGAGAGGGACGUUCUGGGCCCUCAGGGUUUGGGAUGUUCAUCAUAGCCAGGCCCUAGUUCGGUUCAUGAAAAACUUGGUAUCAAAGCAUGGUUCAUGGUCCCAGGGUGUCUACAAAAUUGCGUCGGGUAGAGUCUUAUUUAUUAGUGUAUAGCGCGCCACACUUAUAAGCAAGAGGCUACUAGGCAUUUAGGAAUGUUUCUCUUUUUUUUGAUUUAGUUUGUGCUUCAUAGUUUAAUCUGUCCCCUAAUUAAUUAUCUCUUGCUUUUAACAAAAACCAGUUAUGCCUCCUCGUCGCACCAAUGUUAAUGCUCAAGAGGACGAAGUCCGUCCCACUCAUGGUAUGAGGACACGUAACAGAGCUCACACUCUAGAAACUUUCNNNNNNNNNNNNNNNNNNNCUCCGGGAGUCCCUCCAUUUCCAACCGAUCUACCUAGGGCUCCUCACACUAAUGUUAACCGUCCCCUGACUACUCAGAGGGAUAUUUCGAAUGCAGAAUUCAGACAAUCUAUUCAUAUAUUGACACAGUUGGUGGCUAAUCAAGCCCAACGAUUAGAAGAUGUUGGGUCUACACCUGUUACAUCUGAAGCUACUAGGGUGGGCCAGUUCAUGAGAAUAAACCCGCCUAAGUUUACUGGCACUAAGGUAGAAGAGGAUCCACAAGAGUUCAUAGACGAAAUGGAGAAGAUUUUCAGAGUGAUACAUGUGGAUUAGCUGGAAGGCGUUAAGCUAGCGGCAUACUAGCUAAAGGAUAUAGAGAACCAAUGGUAUAAUGAGUAGAAAGGGGGGAAGGGCAACAGUACUGAGCCCACAGAGUGGGACGAGUUUGUGGAAGCUUUUCUUGACUAAUUCUUUCCUCUAGAGUUGAGGGAAGCCAAAGAGGAGGAGUUCAAGAACCUUAAGCAGGGUAAGAUGAGUGUUCAGGAGUAUACUUUAAAGUUUAAUCAGCUGGCCCGGUAUGCUCCUGAGAUGACGAGCAAUAUGAGGGUCCAAAUGAGGAAGUUUGCUUUUGGCCUUUCAGAUGAUAUGGUGCUUGAAUAUCAAAGGGAGAUGCUAAACAGGGAAUUGGAGUUUGCUAGGCUGACAGUCCGCAUGCAGUACGUUGAGGAGAAAAAAAAAAGAUAACUGAGCCUAAAGAGAAGGAAAGGCAGACGAAAAGAGCCAGAUCAGCGGAUCAGAACCCUAGUCAGCAGGGUGGUAAUUGGGCUAACAAAUGCCAAAAGAAGAAGUUUUGGGGCAAGGCACAGUCUACAGCUAGUGCCCCAACGUCCAGACCUCCAAUUGAUAGACGAUCUCAGAGUUUUUAGGCCAGCCAAGGACCCAGAUCUCAGGAUACUUAGUCGCAUAAUAGUGUCGCUCAGUAGUACCGUUCUUAUCUGCUAUGUUAGAAUUGUUGUAGGAAUCAUCUGGGAAGGUGUCAGUUGGGCUCAUCGGUGUGUUAUUCAUGCGCUCAGAUGGGCCACUUCCAGAGAGAUUGUCCCUUUGCUAGGAGGAAUAUUGGUGGAGCUAAGUCUCAGGAAAACUCUUCUGCACCACCACCGCCUCAAAAGGUCACCAAUUUAGCUGCUGGGAGCGGUCACAACCGGCUGUAUACUCUGACUAAUCGCCAGGAGGCGGAAGCCUCACCAAACGUAGUCACUGGUACGUUACAAAUCUUUUCCCAUGAGGUAUAUGUAUUUCUUGAUCUCGGGUCUACCUUAUUUUAUGUGACCCCGUAUGUGGUUGUUGGUUUUGGGUUUGAACCCGAUGUGAUUGCUUAACCUUUCUCUGUGUCCACUCCAGUGGGAGAUUCGAUUGUGGCUAGAAAGGUGUACAAAAAUUGUAUUGUCUAUGCUUAGUAGGGAUACUUUAGCAUAUCUCAUAGAACUUGAUAUGGUUGCUUUUGAUGCUAUCCUAGGGAUGGACUGGCUCCAUCGUUGUUAUGCCAUACUAGACUGUAGGACCCAAAAGAUUACCUUUUCUUUUCCGAAUGAGCCAGUAAUAGAGUGGGAGGGGCAUUCCUUAGCACCUACAGGGCACUUCAUAUCUUAUCUCAAAGCCCAUAAACUUAUUUCCAAGGGUUGCUUGUACUAUCUUAUUCGGGUUAAAGAUUCUAACGCUGAAAGUCUCCCCCUUCAGUCUGUCCCAGUAGUAAAUAAAUUCCCAGAAGUUUUUCCAGAUGAUCUCCCAGGAAAUCCACCUGAUAGGGAGAUGGAUUUUGGCAUUGAUGUGUUGCCAGAUACCCAUCCUAUUUCUAUUCUACCAUAUAGAAUGGCUCCUGCAGAGUUAAAAGAGUUGAAAGAACAGCUAGCAGAUCUCUUAGAUAAGGGUUUUAUCAGACCUAGUGUUUCUACUUGGGGUGCACCUGUACUUUUCGUGCGAAAGAAAGAUGGUUCCCUACGUAUGUACAUAGAUUACCGCCAGUUGAAUAAGGUCACAAUGAAAAAUAAAUAUCCUCUUCCUAGAAUCGAUAACCUUUUUUAUCAGCUUCAGGGUGCUAAGUGUUUUUCAAAAAUUGACCUUCAUUUCGGAUAUCAUCAGUUGAAAGUUAAGGAGUUAGACAUUCCUAAAACAGCCUUCCGAACCAGAUAUGAUCAUUAUGAAUUCUUAGUCAUGUCCUUUGGGUUUACCAACGCCCCUACAACUUUUAUGGACCUAAUAAAUAGGGUCUUAUAUCAGUUCCUAAACCUGCUUGUCAUAGUUUUUAUUGAUGACAUCUUGGUUUACUCUAAAAGUGAAGAGGACCAUGCCAAUCACCUCCGCACUGUUCUUCAAACCCUCAAAGGUCAUAAGUUGUAUGUGAAAUUAUCCAAGUGUGAAUUCUGGUUGAAUACUAUUGCUUUCUUGGGGCACAUUGUGUCUAGUGAAGGGAUUAAGGUUGAUCCCUAAAAGAUUGAGGCAGUAAAAAAUGGCCCAUACCCACGACUCCAAUCGACAUUCGGAGUUUCUUAGGUUUGGCAGGGUAUUAUCGGAGGUUUGUAGAGAGUUUCUCUUCUAUAGUUGCUCCACUUACUAAGUUGACUCAGAAAAAGGUAAAGUUUUUAUGGUCUGACUCUUGUGAGAAUAGUUUUGAGAAGUUGAAAGACAAGUUGACUACGGCUCCUAUUUUGACUCUUCCGGAAGGUACAGAGGGUUUUGUUGUGUACUUGAUGUGUCUCGCGUGGGACUUGGUGUGUACUUAUGCAGCACAGAAAGGUGGUGGCUUAUGCAUCUAGACAGUUAAAGGUGCAUGAGUGGAACUACCCCACUCUUGAUUUGGAAUUAGCAGCUGUGGUGUUUGCACUUAGAAUUUGAGGCAUUAUCUUUAUAGGGUGCAUGUUGAUAUUUUCACUGACCAUAAGAGUUUGCAGUAUGUUUUCUCACAAAAAGAACUAAACCUCAGGCAAAGGCAUUGGAUGGAGUUUUUGAAAGACUAUGACAUGAGCCUUCACUAUCAUCCGAGUAAGGCAAAUAUGGUAGCCGAUGCCCUCAAAAGAUUAUCUAUUAGCAGUCUUUCUCAUGUUGAGAAAGGGAAGAGAGAGAUAGUGAAAGAUAUUCACCGGCUUGCAAAUUUAAGAGUGAAACUCUUGGAUUCUGAAGAUGGGGGAAUGGUUGUUCAUGAGAUAGCUACGUCUUCCCUUUGUGCGGAAGUUAAAAAGAAGCAGGUUGAAGAUCCCAUCUUGAUGCUAAUUAACAAUGAUGUGGGUCAGUAGAAGGUGAUGUCAUUCGAGAUCGGUGGUGAUGUUAUUUUAAGAUACCAGGGAAGAUUAUGUGUUCCAGAUGUGGAUGAUUUGUGGAAUAGAAUCUUUGACGAAGCUCACACUUUGAGGUAUGUUGUUCACCCAGGCUCUACUAAGAUGUACCAGGAUCUGAAAUCUUUGUAUUGGUGGAAUAAUAUGAAAUGUGAUGUGGAUAACUUUGUUUCCAAGUAUUUGAAUUGUCAACAAGUUAAAGCAGAACACAUGAGACCAGGUGGUUCUUCCCAAGAGAUAGCUUUUCCCUUGUGGAAGUGGAAGAUGAUUAAUAUGGACUUCAUUACAGGGCUCCCGAAGUCCCGAAACCAGUAAGAUUCUAUUUGGGUAAUUGUAGAUAGACUGACCAAGUCAGCCCAUUUUCGCUUGUCAGGACUAACUAUUCGGGAGAGGAUUAUGCCAAGCUAUUCAUUGCAAAAAUAGUUCAUUUGCACGAUGCGCCUGUGUCCAUCAUAUCCGAUCGAUGUACACAGUUCUCUUCUCAGUUUUGGAGAUCUUUUCAAGUGAACCUAAGCACUGCUUUUCACCCUCAGAUCGAUGGGCAGGCCGAACGCACCAUUUAGACCCUUGAGGAUAUAUUAAGGGCCUGUGUGAUUGAUUUUAAAGAUAGUUGGGUAGAGCACUUUCCGUUGAUAGAGUUCGCGUAUAAUAACAGUUUCCAUUCUAGUAUUAAGAUGGCACCAUUUAAGUCACUGUAUGGGAGAAGAUGUAGGUCUCCUAUAGGAUGGUAUGAAGUAGGUGAGAUGCAAAUAUUUGGGCCCUAUCUUGUUCAUCAGGCAAUGCAGGAUAUGAAAGUCAUCAGAGAACGACUUAAGAUGGCUCAGAGUCAUCAAAAAUCUUAUGCCGAUGUUAGGAGAAGAGAUUUAGAGUUUGAGGUCAGUGAUUGGGUAUUUCUAAAAGUUUCUCCUAUGAAGGGAGUCAUGCGAUUCGGGAAGAAAGGUAAAUUGAGUCCUCGCUAUAUAGGACCAUAUCAUAUUUUGAGGAGAAUAGGUGGUGUUGCAUAUGAGUUAGAAUUGCCUACCAGUUUGGGUUCUAUCUAUCCGGUAUUUCACAUAUCCAUAUUGAAGAAAUACAUUAGAAACCAUUCUUUGGUGUUGCCUAUAAAAGAGAUAAAGGUGACAGCCUCUUUAUCAUAUGAAGAGGAACCUAUUGCAACCCUAGAUCAUCAGAUCCGAAGUUGAGAAGUAAAGAAAUAGUUUCAAUUAAGGGGUUGUGGAGAAAUCAGAAAGUUGAAGAAGCUACUUGGGAAUUAGAGGAUGACUUGAGAGCAAGAUACCCACACCUUUUUGACCCAGUAGAUGACUUAGUUGAAGGUACAACCCUUACCUUAAUAUUUGUAUGCUUUAGUAUGCUUGGAAUUGUGCUUUUCUGUUUUCCGCAUCAUCAUUCGGGGACGAAUGAUCCCAAGAGGGAUAUUGUAACACUCCGACGUCUUCUUAGCUAAAUUUCGUCCAUGGAAAGUCUAAGCAUUAGAUUUUAGAAUGAUCUAAAUUAAUUUUCAUAUGGAAUUUCCCAAAUUUCAACCUUUCAUUAUGUAGAUGACUGAAUUAGCCUUCCAAUAAUAUAAAAUUUGUCCAAAAAGGACCCUCGGUGAAGAAGUUAUGAAUAAUUUAAAGUUCCAGUCGUAAAUAUCGUCAUUUUGGUGUCUAGCGCGUUGCAGAGAGGGCCAAAUUGACAAUUGACAAAUUACAGUGGGGCUCCACAAUGGUGGCACAUCACGGAGGCACUCAAUUUCCCACUCGUCGAAUUCCAGUAGACCACUGCGAUUGUGGCGCGUUGCAGUGGCACUCGAAAUUGGGUUUUUAAGUUCAAAUUUCCAGUUCUAUUUAGGAGUCAUUAAGGGUAAUUUUUAAUUCUCCUUAGCCUUUAAAACCAUCCAAACAAAGGAUUUAGGGUAUGUUUGAGCAACUUCACCCUACUUUCAUCAAAAUCAUCAAGAAUCCUCUCUAGAGCUUCAAACAAGAACUUCAAGAAACUCAAGAUUCAACCGUGGGUUUUCAAAAUCGAUUGAAGAUUCGAAAUCCCCGGAUCAUAGGCUUCAAGAAACACCCAUUGUUUUCUUAUUUUGAGGUACGUGGGGUUUUUCUAAAAAUCUCAUGGGCAUAGAAAUCAUGAUUUUAAGAAAAGGGUUUUCAGAUUUAUGAAUACAUUCAUAUUUUAGAAAUCUUGACGAUAUUGUUUUGAUCUUUUGACCUUCCCCAAAUUUAUUUGAAAUUAUAUAUACGUAUGCAUAUGUUUUAUGAUUUAUGAAUAAAUUGAGAACAUGACGCACAUGAAUCCCUCUCUUGGUAUGAUUUUCCCAAUUUUCUUAUGAUAUGGAUUUAUUUUGAAUGUAUCUUGAAAAGAAUGAUAUGAAAUAUCUUGAUUAAUCCUACAAAUUGAUUUAUGGUUUUGAAUUCGAAAGAGAGGGUUGUGCAUAUUGAUAAAUGUUGAAAAUAUUCAUAUAAUGAACGAGUGCAUGAUUUUGCCAAAAGCACAUGACCACCAUAUGUUUGAACAAUCUCAGCAUAGUUUUGACUUGUGUUCUCGAAACAUGAUAUCUUUUAUAUUGUUUGCAUGUUUGGGUGGUCUGAACUGUGUUUUAAUGAAAGAAUUAUGCAUAAUACAUUAUGGCUCAGAAAUAGGACUUACAAGUGUUGGUGUGACAACACCAAUUCAGAUUAUGCUAUGAUAAUUGAGAACAGAUUUAAUGCAUGUUUGAAAUCAAACUUUUUAGAUGUUGAAACUAGAAACAUGCAUGAUUUAGAACAGGAUAAAAUUGGGCAUAAAGAGAGUUUAGGUGGUUCCCCGAAGAAGGCAUGAGUAUUAAAUAACUCAUCGCCUAAAACCGUGAUUUGCCAAUUCGAGUUUAUUUAUUGCGCUGUCCUAGAGCCCUGUGGCGUAUCAGAUUCAGGAACUCCAACCCUUGCGGCACACUUGGGUUGGGGGCUUCCCCGCCGAGUCAAUGGCGAAUUCCAUACCACCCAUGAAAUAUUAGAAUUGUAGGGGAGUGCCACCUAACUCAGAAGUAAUAUACAGAUCAGAACUUGCAUUGAUAGGCAAGUUACAUGUUUUUCAGAAAUGUGCCCAUGUGUUUCGAAAUCCACUUGAUGUAUAAUGUUUUGACAAAGUUGUUUCUCAAACUAUUUUAUUUACAUAUAAGCUUUAUUUUGGAUUUCUUUGCGUACCAGUACAUCUGUAUUGACCCUUCCCCCCUCCUCCCUACAGGUUUUGAGGCUUAGUCUAGGGGUCCAGAAAGGCAGUAGAUUCGUCAGACAGAGUUGCAGUGAUUAGUUGGUGAGCCUUCUCUAUUCCAGAAGGCCCGUCUUUCAGAUUAUGUUCCUUAUUAUUGUUUUGGUCAACUGGGGGCCUUGUCCCAGUUUUCAGACAGUUGUCAGAUUUUUCUGUAGUAGAGAUUUUGCAGACUGAGUCAAAUGUUAUUAGAUAUAGUUGAUUUUCUGUUUUCAUACUUAUGCUGAAUUCAGAAUUGACCAUGUUUCCAUAGCAAAUUAUGUUUCCACAUCUUCUUAUUUAUAUAAAUAUAUGCAUGCUUACCAGAUAGAGAGGGACGUUUCGGGCCCUCAGGUUCAAGAUGUCCAUCACGGCCAGGCCCUAGUUCGGGUCGUGACAGAAAAUCAGGACAAAAACCCUUACACUUGUUGGGUUCGAAUUCGAGAGGUCGUCAUGCGGAAGCUUAAAGUUUUCAAACCAUGAGAUGAUAAAUCAGAUGACAAAGAACACAAUACUUAAAAGCAUUAAAUUACUAUAUGUUUUGGCCAAUCGGCCUUCAUAAUAUAAAACCUAAUAUUGAAAAACAUUAAACCUAUUAGAAGAAAUCUCCCCCUAAACAAAGACUCUAAAUGACUACAUUGUGGAGUCUCUUGUGUUGUUGUAUGAGAAGAGGGAUUUUCUAUUUAUAGAGGUUCAAAAUCAUUCCUUCAAGAAAGAGGUAUGCCAAAUAUGAAAAAUUUUUAUAUUUUCCUUUUAGAAAAAUAAAAGUAAUUAUGGUAUUACUUUUAUUUUCCUUUUAAUAAAAAUAAAACUUAAAUUUGGUAAGAAAAUUAGGAGAAAAACCCUAACAAAACUCCCUUUUUUGGCUUGAUUUUCUUGACGGAAUAUUCUUGAUCCUCCUUCACACGAUCUUCAUAUAUCACUGUUGCUUACCAUGAUUAAAAGUUGAUAUUUAUUAAAAACUGGAGCCCUAUGCAUUGAAAAUAGAAGAAUGGGUUAAUAUUAUUGGAGCCCCAUGUUACUGGGGUUGAAAGUAGAGCCUUGUGCAUUGAAAGAAAGCACAGGUUAAAAGUGGAUCCCAUGCGUUAAGAGUUGAAAGGAUCCCAAGCGUUAAACCAAGUAUGGGUUGAAAAUUGAAGCCCAGAAACAUGGGUUGAAAAUUGAUUUUGAUUUUAAAGAUGGAUUAGCAGCAGGAUCGUUGAAAAUUUAUUUGAAUCUUUUUCUCCACAUGUAGCCUUUUUGGGCAUAUAUCUUCAUUAUCAUCAAAUCGGUUGCAACUUUGAUCUCAACAUGUCCUCAAUCUGAACCAUAGGCUCUGAUACCACUUGUUGGGUUCAAAAUCGAGAGGGCGUCAUGCGGAAGCUAUUAGUUCCAAACCAUAAAGACAAUAACUCAGAUGACAAAGAAAAACAUACUAAAAACAUAAUAUUAUUAUGUAAUUUGGCCAAUUGACUUACAUAUAAAAACCUAAUAUUAAAAACAUAAAACUAAUAAGAGAGAAAAUCUCCCCCUAAACGAAAAUCUUAAAAGACUACUUUGUGGAUGCUAUUGUGUUAUGGUAUGAGAAGGGGGGUCUUUUAUUUAUAGAUGUCCAAAAUCUUUCCUCCAAAAAAGAGGUUAGCCAAAUAUGGAAAAGAAUUAUAUUUUUUUCUUUCAAGAAAAGUAAAAGUAAUUAUGGUAACUUUUAUUUUCCUUCUAAGAAAAAAUAAAACUUAAAUAUAGUAAGAAAAUCAGGACAAAAACCCUAAUAAUUUGUGUUUGAACUUUUAAAAUCUACUCGGAGGGAUUCUAGUUCAUGAAGGAAAUCUAAUUCUAGGAACCAAUAUCGCUCUGUUGAAUAAUCCCAUGAUUCCUCGAGAUGAAAUACAAGCCUUUGAAGAUUGGGAAACCUUUUGAAAAUAUCCUCUGUUUCUUUCGAAUAGGAAAGCACAAGGAUCUCUAUUGCUCUUAAUUUCUCUAACUUUGAGUCCUCUUCUAUCAGUAUUGAUUCAUCUGUAUCCAUAUCAUAGAAAGAACAAGCGUCAAUGUACAACACUCGCAACUUUACAAGAUCCCCAAUUCUCGGUAAUAGUACCAAGGUUGAUCCUUUGUUAGUCACCACCAAGGAUUCUAGAUUUCUGAGGUUUGAGAAAGAUGAAGGCAGAGAUUUAAAUUUUGUCUCAAUUCUUAAGAACCUCAAGUGAUUCAACAUGCCUAUUUCAUUCAAUAAAGAAUCUUUCACCAUCAUAAAAGAGGGACACAGGAACAACACUCUAAGAAGCCUCAAGUCUCUUAGGUGACAUGCAUCAGAAAGACGAUUUUUCAUCUUGUCUCCACUUAUCCGCAAAGAAUAUAGGUGUUUACCAGAAUGCC